CACGGCUUGAGCAGGUGGGACAACGUGGAACAGGUCACCGGAAACAUACUUAACUGCUCCUUCUUCAGCGGGAAGAACUUUGUCCAUGACCUUUGGAAGGUCCAACACAGUGCACGUGAUGUGAGGGUAGGCCUCGACGAUGGACCUCGCGGUAGUCCCAUCGCCACCGCCGCAGUCAGUGAGAGACUCAAGCCCAUCGAACAGCUCACGGCACUGCCGGAGCACGGGGCCGAUCCCCAUGUGGUCGUGGGCAGCGAGGGCGUCGUGGAGCAGCUGAUCCAUCUCCGGGUCGAGGAGCACCAUGCUCUCCUCGAAGAUGGCCGCGCCAUGCACGUCCUCGAACGGCGAGGGAACGGCUCCAUCGAAGUCCUUCCUGAACCAGUCCGCCAGCCCCAUGGCCGCCUCCACGUAGUAGCGCGAGGCCGCGGCGCGCACGAGGGCCGUCUGGCUAGCGUCGCCGUCGAUGCGGACGCCGUCUACCAGAAGGUACGAGAGCGGGUUGAGGCGGUACGUUCCGGCGUCGGUUGCACUGAAGACGCCCGCCGUGGCGAGUUGGCGCAGCAGGCGGGCGAGGAAGGGCAGCUUGGACGUGGGGAGGGAUAGGGCGGCGACGAGUUCGGAUGGGGACGCGGCGCCGCCGAGGCGGUGAAUGGCAGUGGGGACGCCAAGGUCGACGGCGCACCGGAGCGCCAUAGGCGUGAGGUAGCAGAGGGUGUGGCGCCACAGGUCCGACUGCGCCUGGAGCAGCUCCGUGUCGGUGGGGACAAACACCUUCUCUGCCUGGCCUGCCAUUGCCGAUGAUCUCUAUCUCUCAGUGCUGUACGUGUUGUGCACUUCGAUCUGGUAGAUAUAUAGGGGACGGAGGACACUCUCAUAUAAUAUAGCAAUGUUUGCUGUCAUUUCUCGUGGAACACGAGGGUGAUGACCACGACACUAUAUCGCUAUCGACGGGCCAGGAUAGCGUAUCGAUACAGCGCAGAAAGAAGACUCAAGACUGCUCGCUGUGGCUGGAAAUGGAAAGGAGGCACGUGCGGCUUUGAGAUAGACAGACCGACUGUACACACAUUACUUUCGUGGAUUCGAAUCGAAUCGAUAAACCUAAAUACUUCAUGGUGCACGCACACGAUUUUGCUGAACCGAGCGGCCGUGCUUGGACCGCUCAUUGCGAACGCAUCGUUUGGCCCACGACCGCCUGGUGUUUCCUGGUCGGGGCGAGACGUGGUUAGCUUAUGCGCUAUCCGACAAAGCCGGUGUGACACCCUUACUUUCUCUCCUGAUAAAACAAAGGCUUAUCCUUAUCAUCUUUUCAUCGUCUUUAACGUAUCCGGCCAAUAAGCAGUGUGCCCCGGCCGGAGGCCAAGCCAAGGCGGCCAACCGGAGAAACCUGGAGAGCAGGUCAGCCAAGGAGCCGGAAAAGCAGUGCCGCAACCUCCUCCCGGCGAGGCAUGAAACCAAACAAAAUUCUCCCAAACGGGUCGGACCGCAGCGGCGCGGUCGUGUUUGCCUUGGACGCACCCCCAUGGUGUUGCUGCCGCUGCUGGUGGAGCUGUGCAAGUCCAUUGGUGUGCACACGCUGCUGCUCAUGGAGUUAUGGUGCCCGGCAUCAUUGGAGCUCAGCUCUUGUACCUACUGCCCGCCGAAUCGCCAGGCAACGUCGUCCUAUUCAGAGCUUACCGACAUGGUGCUCACCUAAAUGCUAAUAAAAAAUUCUAGUUCCUGCAUGGCUGCACAACCUUUAGUCUUGGUUGAUUAUCACGAGUGCUUUUUUGCCUGAGUAGAUUAUUCAAUAGUUAUAGUUGCACAUAUAAUAGUCUGUGGUAGUAUAUAUGAUUUAGAAAGUUGCACAACACGAUGAUACUAAGUUGGCUAGAUGAUGUUUUUGCUUAAAUUGAUCUAUUCUUGUCCGUCGUAUUUUUAGUUGGCAUCCAUGACACGAUAAUAUAAUAUAGCAAUGUGUUUGCUGUCAUUUCUCGUGGAACGCGAGGGUGACGACCUUGACACUAUAUCGCUAUCGACGGGCCGGGGUAGCGUAUCGAUAGAGCGCAUAAAGAAGACUCAAGACUGCUCGCUGUGGCUGCAAACGGAAAGGAGGCACGCGCGUCUUCGAGACAGACUGACCGACUGUACACACGUUCCAUUCGUGGAUCCGAAUCAAAUCGAUAAACCUAAAUACUUCAUGGUGCACGCGCACGAUUUUGCUUAACCGAGCGGCCGCGCUUGGACCGCUCAUUGCGAGCGCAUCGUGGGGCCCACGACGGCCAGGUGUUUCCUGGUCGGGGCGAGACGUGGUUGGCUCGAGCGCUAUCCGACAAACCCGGUAUGACACCCUUACUUUCUCUCCUGAAAAAACAAAGGCUUAUCCGUAUCAUCUUUUCAUCGUCUCCUCGAAUCUGGCGAGGAAGCAGUGUGCCCCAGUCGAAGGCCAUGCCGAGGCGGCCAACCAGAGAAACCUGGAGAGCAGGUUAGCCAAGGAGCCAGACCAGCAGUGCUGCCACCUCCUCCGCCCUCUUUUUAUGAGCUGGAGCCGGAGCCGCCAUGGAACUCACGCGAGAGGGCCACCCUACGCCUCGCUACUCCUUCCUCCCAUGGUGUUGCUGCCGCUGCUGGUGGAGCUGUGCAAGUCCAUUGGUGUGCACGCGCUGCUGCUCAUGGUGUCAUGGUGCCCGGCAUCAUUGGCGCUCAGCUCUUGUACCUACUGCCCGCCGAAUCGCCAUGCAAUGUCGUCCUGUUCAGAGCUUACGGACAUGGUGCUCACCUGAAUACUAAUAAAAAAAUUUAGUUCCUGCAUGGCUGCACAACCUUCAGUCUUGGUUGACUAUCACGAGUGCAUUUUUGCCUGAGUAGAUUAUCCAAUAGUUGUAGUUGCACAUAUAAUAGUCUGUAGUUGUAUAUAUGAUUUAAAAAGUUGCACAACAUGAUGAUACUAAGUUGGCUAGAUGAUGUUUUUGCAUAAAUUGAUCUAUUUUUGUCGGUCAUAUUUUUAGUUGGCAUCCAUGACAUUAUAAUAUAAUAUAGCAAUGUGUUUGCUGUCAUUUCUCGUGGAACGCGAGGGUAACGACCAUUACACUAUAUCGCUAUCGACGGGCCGGGGUAGCUUAUCGAUAGAGCGCAUAAAGAAGACUCAAGACUGCUCGAUGUUGCUGGAAACAGAAAGGAGGCACGUGCGGCUUCAAGAUAGACCGACCGACUGUACACGGAUUCCAUUCGUGGAUCCGAAUCGAAUCGAUAAACCUAAAUACUUCUUGAUGCACGUGCAUGAUUUUGCUGAACCAAUCGGCCACGCUUGGACCACUCAUUUCGAGCGCAUCGUGCGGCCCACGGCCACCAGGUGUUUCCUGGUCGGGGCGAGACGUGGUUGGCUCAUGCGCUAUCCGAACGGUGUGAACCAAUCGCUCCCUUAAUUUCUCACCUGAAAAAACAAAGGCUUGUCUUUAUCAUCUUUUCAUCGUCUCCAUCGAAUCCGGCGAGGAAGCAUGUUAGGAAUAAGCCACGCAUGAGUAUGUGCUCGUGUGUGUGAUCUAUGUGCAUGGGUGUGACCGUGUACAUGCAAGAUUCUGUUAGUGCAUGCCCUGAUUAGUUAGCUAGUUUGUUGGCUUGGCCAGGUCGCCGGACGAGCGUGUAUGUGAGCGUACGUUUCGGUGAAAGAGUUACCUAGCUAGGUAGGCGAUCCGUUGGGUUCGGCCGUGGCGUGCGUGUCGUGGGAGCGCACGGCCGGGCAUGCACAUCCUGCGGGCGAGGUGGGCUGUGCGUCGUGCGCCAGCCCGGGUAUAAAUUCUAUAGACGCGGGAUAGUUGUAAUGCACUGAGUUGAGCACCAUGUAGACAUUGCAAAAGGAAGAAAGAUUCGCGCGUUCGUGCACCGGUCCGAGAAACUUGUGUCCACUGCGUUCAUCUCCUUCCUUCUUUCUUGUUCAAGCGAGUGAGUUGAGAGGGAGAGGUAGUUCGGGGUUUGUCCCAACAUUUGGUAUCAUGAGCUGGUUCAUCUUGGGCGUCGUUCUUCUUGCCAGAGGUGUGCCGGCGGUGGCGGAGUUCGCCGCGGUUGCGUGAUGCUCCAGGCCGUGGGUCGGCCUAUGGAGGAGUGCGGCGCGGCGAGGAGGCCACGGUGACUGCGGCGGCAUGGUGAGGAGGCCGCGGAGGACCUGCGUGGUGGCGGCUUCAAUGACGACGACGGCGCGGCGAGUGCGUUGCGGCGGCUCGGCGCGACAACGGUGGAGGCGCGUGGCACGGAGCCGCAGCGCUCGUGUCGGAUGCGUCAGGCGCGUGUAUGGGCGCGCGCCGGGCGUGUCAGGCGCGGCGGGACCGUGGUGUAGGGUGGCCGUUGGCGAGCGGGGGUGUGCGCAUCGUGGGCUCGCCGCGUCUAGAUGUGUGCGUGCAUGUCGGAGGGGGCGCGGGCAGAGCGGACGGGACGGGCGCUCGACGUAGGCUGGGACGUGGGUGCGUGCCCGGCGCGUCCCUGCAUAUAAAACCCCACCCGUGUACAUUGUAAUAGCAGUGCCCGGAGUCGAGUUCGAGCUCGAGGGAAUCAAGGUCGUUGGUGUACCAGGAAGAGAAGCUGUGGCGUGUGUCGCCGGAGAUGAAGAAGGCGUUCUCGAUGGCAGUCGACGAGAGGCCGGAGUCCUGUCAGGAUGGGCGGCGAGGUCGUGGCUUAGAUGGGAGAAUGUUAGGAAUAAGUCAGUCAUGAGUAUGUGCUCGUGUGUGUGAUCUAUGUGCAUGGGUGUGACCGUGUGCAUGCAAGAUUCUGUUAGCGCAUGCCCUGAUUAGUUAGCUAGUUUGUUGGCUUGGACGGGUCGCCGUAGGAGCGUGUAUGGGAGCGUACGUUUCGGUGAAAGAGUUAGCUAGCUAGGUAGGCGAUCCAUUGGGAUCGGCCGUGGCGUGCGUGUCGUGGGAGCGCACGGCCGGGCAUGCGGAUCCUGCGGGCGAGGUGGGCUGUGCGUCGUGCGCCAGCCCGGGUAUAAAUUAUGUAAAUGCGGGAUGGUUGUAAUGCAUUGAGUUAUGCACCAUGUAGACAUUGCAAAGAGAAGAAAGAUUCGGGCGUUCGUGCGCCGGUCUGAGAAACUUGUGUCCACUGUGUUCAUUCCCUUCCUUCUUUUUUAUUCGAGCGAGUGAGUUGAGAGGGAGAGGUAGUUUAGGGUUUGUCCCAACAAAGCGGUGUGCCCCGGCCGGAGGCCAAGCCGAGGCGGCCAACCGGAGAAACCUGGAGAGCAGGUCAGCCAAGCAGCCGGACCAGCAAUGCCGCCACCUCCUCCGCCCUCUUUCUAUGAGCUGGAGCCGGAGCCGCCUGAGGGCCACCCUACGCCCCGCUACUCCUCCCGGCGAGGCAUGAAGCCAGACAAAAUUCUCCCAAACCGGUCGGACCGUAGCGGCGCGGUUGUGUUUGCCUUGGACGCACCCCCAUGGUGUUGCUGCCGCUGCUGGUGGAGCUGUGCAAGUCCAUUGAUGUGCACACGCUGCUGCUCAUGGAGUGCUGGUGCCCGGCAUCUUUGGCAUUCAGCUCUUGUACCUACUGCCCGCCGAAUCGCCAGGCAACAUCAUCCUGUUCAGAAAAAAAUUUAGUUCCUGCACGGCUGCAUAACCUCCUGUCUGGGUUGAUUAUCACAAGUGCGUUUUUGCCUGAGUAGAUUAUUCAAUAGUUGUAGUUGCACAUAUUAUAGUCUGUAGUUGUAUAUAUGAUCUAGAAAGUUGCACAACACGAUGAUAUUAAGUUGGCUAGAUGAUGUUUUUGCUUAAAUUGAUCUAUUUUUGUUAGUCAUAUUUUUAUUUGGCAUCCAUGACACUAUAAUAUAAUAUAGCAAUGUGUUUAACGUUUCAUUCAUGUAUUCGAAUUGAAUUGACCGACCGUACACGUGUUCCAUUCGUGGAUUCAAAUUGAAUUGAUAAAAGACCGAGUUUAACGUUUUCACGUACGCUACGCUACGCCGUCCUUGAUUGGAAGGAAAGGAAAGGUCUUCCUUCCUUUCACGUUGCUCCACGUGAACGUUCUCCGCGUCACGUUUUUCAUCAUCAAACAAACCAACCAAAACGUGUUUUAACGUUUUCCUUGGUUUGGUCAUCAAACAAUGAAAUCGGUGCACGCCAGCCCCUCACCAGCGGGAGGGCCUCGAGUCCCCACGGCCGCUGGUGACGGCAAGGCUUCUCCCUGCCACACCCUCAGACAGCAGCAAGGAAGGAGGAAGAGGAGAAGGGGAGGCUAGGCGACGGGAUCUGGGAGCCUCCCGGCUACCACACGAGGGCGACUCGGGAGGGCGCUGUGGCUAGGCGACGGGAUCUCCUUUCUUCUGGAUAGUUUUGAAGAUGAUAUAGAAGAUUAUGUGUGUCGGGAGUGUCGUGUCAUGUCGUGCCAAACAUUCAGAGCUGCAUGGCGCUCCAACGUCGUCGACGAGGCUCUGUAUGCCUGCCAUCCACGGACGAGCUCCUCACGGCUCUCGCCUCAUCUUCGUCUUCGUCUUCAUCUGAUCGACAAAACCUUUGAAAGGCCACACCUUUUGUAUUUUCUCCAAGUCGUUCCCAGAUCUUCUCUUCCCGACGACCCGGCCCAGGCAUGAACGACAAGCUUGCCGUACGGCCGGGCCAGUGUGCUCUCUCGUCUCUAGUCUGUUGUUCUGUGCCGGGACACCAGUGCUGAGGAAGCAUGCAACUAAUCAAGGCGAUCUCUUUGGACCACACCCGCAACUGAUCACGAGGUCCAAGAGUGGCCAUCAUCCCUGCCGACUAGGGCCGGUCCUAAGAUUUUGGGGGCCUUUGGCGAAACUAUAACCAAGGGCCUCUUAAUAUAAAUAUCAAAAUAAUAAUUAAUAUAUGUCUAUAUCAAAUGUUGGGCGCCUUCUCCACUAUUAUUUCCCUUUCUUUGUUAAUUAUUAAGAUAUCCCCAUUUUUGGAUCAUAGAUAUCCAUAAAAAAUUCUUUUGUGUCCAAACUAGCAUAUUCUAUACAAGAUGAAUUAAAUAUGUGCUCAUAAUCACUUACAUUGUUUUCAUCUGUUGGCUGCCGUUCUGCCUUGUCUUCUGGAUUAAGGCUAGUAGCCCGGUCAAAACAAAUGUCAUGGCUGGAUUUCUUCAACUCCUCAUAUUACUCUUAGAAAAAACAAAUAAUAAGUGUCACGUGUGUGGCACUUAUAAGGGUCCACAAAAAAUUAUCAGUGUAUCCUCGCUGUAACUAUAUUAGUUCAUUGUCUCAUUCUUUUUUUUUCUUUCCCCACCAGAUGCAUAUGCUUUAGACGGCAUGCCGUGCUAAAAUUUACAGAAUCAGAAAAAAAAAAUAGAAACUAACUCAUAGUUACAAAGGUGUUAAAUCAAUUCAAUCAAAUCUUACCUAACAUCAGUUUAUCAAAGCGAACUCACAAGUUCCAAAUCCCAAUACCAUCUCUUUCUGAAGUGAGUAUGUUGGGGUUGGGUUGUAGUCUAGAUCCUUCACGUACGUGUAUCACAUGAUCUUUAGNNNNNNNNNNNNNNNNNNNNNNNNNNNNNNNNNNNNNNNNNNNNNNNNNNNNNNNNNNNNNNNNNNNNNNNNNNNNNNNNNNNNNNNNNNNNNNNNNNNNNNNNNNNNNNNNNNNNNNNNNNNNNNNNNNNNNNNNNNNNNNNNNNNNNNNNNNNNNNNNNNNNNNNNNNNNNNNNNNNNNNNNNNNNNNNNNNNNNNNNNNNNNNNNNNNNNNNNNNNNNNNNNNNNNNNNNNNNNNNNNNNNNNNNNNNNNNNNNNNNNNNNNNNNNNNNNNNNNNNNNNNNNNNNNNNNNNNNNNNNNNNNNNNNNNNNNNNNNNNNNNNNNNNNNNNNNNNNNNNNNNNNNNNNNNNNNNNNNNNNNNNNNNNNNNNNNNNNNNNNNNNNNNNNNNNNNNNNNNNNNNNNNNNNNNNNNNNNNNNNNNNNNNNNNNNNNNNNNNNNNNNNNNNNNNNNNNNNNNNNNNNNNNNNNNNNNNNNNNNNNNNNNNNNNNNNNNNNNNNNNNNNNNGUGCCGCGGUCCAACGCUUACUCGCCGUGUCACACCUAAGCAAAGCGCCCAAGCAAGAGCUAUACUGGAUUCAUCCUCCAUCGGGAUGGGCUAAGCUCAACAUAGAUGGUAUUCAUGCCCCUUCGACCGGAGAGGCUGCAGGGGCAUGGUUCUACGCGAUGAGAGAGGCGACAUCAUCUAUAUUGGUUGUAGAAAAAUUCUUACAUGCGAUAAUGACCUUGGGGCAGAGCUAGCUGCAUGCAGAGAGGGCUUGAAGCUAGCUCUACACCGGUCGAGCCUGCCCAUUAUGAUCGAGCUUGACUAUGCCGAAGGAGUGUCUAUGUUGCUAGCACAAACUGAAGCUAGAACACAUCACCGGUUACUCGUAUGGACCCUGCACUGCAGUGUGGGUGUGCUCGGGGCAAGACUUUGUUGUAAACCUUUCUAAGGCUGACAAGCCUCCUUGAGUAAUGAAAUCUCUCUUUACACCGCAAAAACAAAAACAAAAACUUCAAGAAAGGAAAAGGUGUGUACGUGCAUGUUUUGAUGUGUAGGCAUAUUAAACUAUGUACUAGUCCUCAUCAGCGCAAGAUUGAUGGAUCCGGUCGUCAGAUCUGUGGGAACGAGUGGGAUCAACCACUUCGCUGCAACCAAGACGAGUCCUAUUAACUUACCCUAAAUUGCAAGAUAAUAAGUGAUUGAACCACUCAUUAAUGCCCCGGUCUUUGGUCUCCUGCAUGCAGUACCAUAUCCAGCCAAUCCCUGGCCUUUUGGAGUAAAGGGGUGUUUGUUUACAUGGACUUAUUAGUGUAGGGACUUAAAAAAAUCCCUUUUAGUCCCAUCUGAAACAAACAAGAGGGACUUAUAGAGACUUAAAGUGGACAUUUAGGACUUAUGAAACAAGAUCAUGAGGGAGAGUCUUUUUGGGACUUUUAGUUGUAAUAUGGUCUUUUAGUCAAUGUUUAGUCCCAGAAACCAAAUAUGUAAGGACUUUUUAGGGACUAACGACUUUUUAGUUGGGACUAAAACAAGUUCUAUUACUUAUGAACAAAACAGGGCCUAAAGUCUGUUGAUCCAUGCAGCAUGCAGUAUUGCCUGAGUAAAAUGCUCCGGUAAUCUGCCUAAUUUAAUGCAUGCCGAUUAAUUUUACGGGAAUAUCUGAGAUUCAUGACCCACUCGGAGGGAGUGGUAUAGUCCAGUCAUUAAGGCUAAAACAAUACAUCUUGACCAGCCGUCGGAUCGGCGCAGACGGCUGGGAUCAGUCGGAGAUGGGGAUCAAUCCCUGGUAGGCGGUGACGGGCCAAUCGCAAGCAAGCAGCAAAAUUUCUUUUCUAUUCCUUAGAUUUAGACUAGUAAGUGUGCACGUGCAAAUGCACGUCUCGACUAAUAUGACAAACAUAUGUAGGAAUUAACAUACACAUAAAGAUAUUUUGAUUGCACUCAAAAGACUACUACAAAUCAAGAAACACUUUAGGCCAAGUUUGGCAACAUAGUUUUCUCAAAACAAUAGUAAUCGAAAACCUCAGUAUUCAAUUGCCUAGGCAAUGAAUUCUUCAGUUUUUAAAAAUCACAGUUUUUUCAGUUUAUAAAAAAGUGGUCAAGACCUCUUUCUUAAAUACUACCAAAAAAACCAUGGUACUGGAGAUACUACGGUUUAUAAAGCUAUGAUAUUUGUUGAAGCCAAACACCUCAAAGUUUUGAAAACUUUGGUUUAUGAGAAAGCGGUGGUAUUCUCCAAAUACUUCAAAAAAACUGAGCAGCCAAAUGCAGCCUUAAUGUAUGACCAACUGGUCAUAUGCAUUGAGCCAAAAAAUUAUCCCAGUAUUUCCUAAUAAGGCUAGUGAAUUCUCGUAAACAUGCGGAAUGUUAUUUGCGGCUUCAUUGUUGAUGUAGUUGAGUAGCUGCACCAAAAAUUGCUUCUUUAUCUGGUCACCAUCCUGAAUGAAAAUAGUAAGUCAAUAUUGAUCCUGCAAAUUGGUUGAUUUAGUUCUUUCGCAUCCCAUGAGUGCAAUAAAUUAAAAGCAAAAUAACCAGAGAAGUUCCUGUAGAUAAAUGCAUUACCAUUGUCUUGAGUGUUAGAAAAACUAAAUAAGAUGCUUUAGUGGGUUUCAUAGGUAGUCACCUGUCUGUGCUUUCUGGAACACAAGCUAGUAAUCGACCAUGGAAAAAUAAACAUCAUUCCAUUUGGGAUUUGCUACUUGGAGUGCUUGGUUUAGGUAAAAUGAGAUGCACAUCCUUCAAAGAUGGAACUCGGCGGGCAUCAACUCUCUUGCGCAUCAUAGUAAACAAAAGCAAGAAACUUAAGGACGAGAGAAGAAAAGAAAGUAAAAUUCAGACAAGUUGAAUUAAUUUGGAAAGGCUAAUGCAUUAGAUUAAUACUAUAAAUACCAUAUACCAAGCAUCAUGCUGAAACCAUAGUGAGUACUUACAACAGUUCUUGUAAUAAUUGAGUACUUACAACAUCUUAACAUUAGAACAUUGUACGCAAUAUCUCAUUAAUGUUCGAAUCAGUAUAAGGGAAUAGAAAUCACAUCCAAUCCCAUAAAAUAUUACAUUUGCUAAGUGCAAUGUCUGAACUGACCGCAACAUAUGAUUAUUCAAGAGGGACAUCACUUUACUAAACGAAAAUUGUAAAUGAUACAGAAAAAUAAGUAUCACAAAUAUGAAUGGAACUCAACAACAAAACCAAUGAAGCAAAAGCAAAGACUGCUUAUGAGCUAGUUUAUUUAGAUUGAAACUGAUGAGCUAGUUCAUUUAUUAGCUAGUUCCUUGCAUGAGAUGUAUUCUCUUGAGAAACAUGACACCUUAAAAAAACACAGGACACCUUAUAUUGAACUCAACAACAACAGCUUGUGUUCUACUAAGUGCAUGUAGAGUUGUCCAUUAACCUGAACAUCAUCAACCUAACUUGGAAAAAUAAAAAUGUUAAUGUCAGAGUUCAUACUUCCAUUUCAUCUUGUGCCUCCUUUCUAUUUCUCUACCAUUGGGUACUCGAGCUUGAAGCUGAUUCUACCUCCAACCUUUACUAGGACAAAACAUAAGACCAUCUCAUUGUCGGAAUUACAACAGUGCUCAAUUCAACAACUAAUUUCUCAGAUUCAUUACUCUAGUAAUUGUUAGUUUGCUCCUAAACUGAUAGUACUCCCAGUUUACAUGUUUUGUGUAUAUGUGUUUUGGCUUUUUCAAACUUGAUUGGUGCUCAUGGUGUUACCAAAUUACCAAUAAGCACCAGCUGCAAUCAAGAAUAGUACACCACCUCUCCACUUAAUCCACAACACAGUCCUACAGAAUCAAGUUAAUUUUUUUCCUCUACUAAUGUAUACAGGAAGCAAAAAAUUCAGGUUCAGUCAUAUGAAUGUAGUACAAGCUUUUUUCAGGUUCAAACAACAUUGUAGUGGAAGCUUUUUUCAGGUUCAGACAAAUUCGUAAAAUAAUAAUAGGGAAGAAGAAAGUACAAAAACUGGUUGUAAUCAUUUGUAACACCGCUUCCAAUGGAGGUUUAACACGUGGUUCACCGACCUUUGGACCGCACAAAAUGAACAGUGUGCCUACAACACUACAGAGCUAGUAACGACUAAAAGAUUUCCUGCAUUGAACAAAGCAAAGUAUCCUCUACAAAAAGGGAUUUGUAAACCAUUGCUACAACAUAUGAUAUUCUUUCCUUUGAAAAUUGUUGUUCGUCGUAAUAUCAAAUUACCAAAAAGGUUAUAGGUGCAACCAAUAGUGCGUACAUUACAAUUCCACAACCUCCAUUUCACCUACUCGAGCAAACAAUAUUUUCACAAUGACCAGUGUAAACUUUUAGCUCUGUCACAAUAACCAUAAAUGUUUACUAUCCCUGAAGGAAUUUUCGCACAAGAUCGACCCAUUGAAUUUUUGGAGGGUGUGUGUGUGUGUGUGUGUGUGUGUGUGUGUGUGUGUGUGUGUGUGAGAGGGGAGGAUGGGGGCAGGGGGAGUUUGUAGUAAUGCAACCUGUAGCAUUCUGAACAGGAGUCGACACGACAUGCGAAUCCUGGAUGUCCAGGCUGCCUAGCCCAGCCGCUUCCGCCUUGUUGCGAGGUAGGUAAGCCAGUAACCUGCCGGCUGCUCUGCUUCCACUGCUGCUGCCGGCGCCAGUUUUAGGUGGUGAGGUGGAAGACCGAAUGAGGAGGGCAGUGAAGGAACUACAGUGAGAUUUUAACAUCAUAAAAUUCUUUAGGAGAUUUAUGUACUCCAAAUAUUCUGAAAUUUGUACACCAGCGAGUAUGCACUCACUAGCUAGCAACUGAAUUGAUAUAGCAGAUAAUAUUCCCCAUAGUGCACAAAACAAUUGAAGCAGAUGAACAAGCAGAAAUGAAUAUUCAGAUAGGACCAUGCUUACAUAAUGGCUACCUUCCAGAUGGAGAAGUUGAGGAGGAGGAUAGGCAGCAUCAUAUCGGCCGCUGCCACCGUCGAAUGUCCCCAUAUCCUCCUCUUCCUACUUUCACUGUUCAUUUGCUCGUCCAGCGCUUGCGUGCAGCUUCUGGCAGCAAGAAGCACCAAAGAACUGAAAAUACCUUACCAUAUUUUUAUAAAUGGCAUCCCUAAAAUCAAAAGGUUGGAACUUCAAAGGAAAAGAUCACAGCAACAAACUAUGGAUUAUGUUGUUGCAAACUUGCAACUGCAGGAAAAUUUACCUUUUUCUGUACAUAAAUACCUUAUAACCUUUUCUAUUAACAGAUGCUGUAGAGAUGCUGUUACUUAAACAAAAAUGCAGGAAAAUAUCAUAUGAAAUCAUCGAUCUGGAUCCUUUUUUAAAUACAACAACGGAUCCAUGUAAGAAGAAUUAAACCUAAAAACCAGAGUACUGCAUACAAACUAUGAGCUAGCUUACUUUUUGCAUGGCUAACAACUUGAAAAUCUUGCAACAGAUGUAACAAUAAAAAAAUCUAUUAGACAUGAUUUUGAAAAAUCUUGUAACUGGCAUGUCAAACGUAUAGGGUAAUAUCAGAAGUCCAGGUGCUAGUCACAUGAACCUGCACCAUGUAGGUAAUUAUCCAGAACAAAAAUAACCUAUUGUUGAACUUGUCACAAACCAUGGAAGAAAUCACAUCAAGUCAGUAUAACGAUUAUCCCUCGUCAGAUAAAAAGUUGCUGGAAUAUUUUUUUAUCGACAAUAAUAGUACAGUUCAUAACAAAUAAAUCAAGAUCGAGCUCGAGCCUAUAUUCAGAAUCAGACCAGAAAACUUAGAUAAUUUAAUUUAGGAUCUGAAAGAGGGGGGAGAGCUUAAUGGGUGGUUGUGCUCCCGAUCUAGCGGAAGAGUAUGAAGUAGGCGCUACAGAUCACUAGCAUACGGGAGCCAUCAAUCAACUGUCUCGAGGUCGAGCAGUGGCAGGGAGCAGACGUCCAUGUAGUGAAGCCUGCGGAUGGUAUACCGCAUCAGCGCGUGCUUGAGCAAAGGGAAGAAGGGGCGGAUGGUAGAGUGUACCAACGGGGAGGAGGCCCUAUGGAAGGAGACAGAGACAGGAAGACCCGCUUCACGCCGCCGCCUCCUUCGAUCCGUGUUGGUCGUCGAAGCUUGGUUGGUUGUUGCCCGGGGGCCGUGGGCUAUGGCGGCUCGAUGAAGAUGAAAGAACGGUGUACGACGGUGCAAGUGGGAGGGAAGAGGAUGGGCGCGAGGUGGUAAAUGACUGGCGGUCGGAAGGGGAAGAGGGGGCAGCGAGAUCUCCGUCAUGGUCGUGGGCGACGGGCGUUGGCUUGGUUUCUUCCAAGGGAGGCGCCGGAGAGGGAGGCCGCGGGGCAUGCUCCGGCAGUUGGGCGGUGGAGGCAAUUGGGUGGGCUCAGAGAAAAUAGUGGGGGAUGGGCGCGGGGGCGGUGGAGGCACGGGCGGGGUUAGUGCGAUUUCUUUUUUCUUUUCUUUGAAGUGUUUGUGCGGGUUAGUGCGGUUGCUAAAACAUGUGUUUGAUCUAAAACGCGUUUGAUGAGCGAUCUGGAACCUACAAAAAUCAAUAGACGGAUGAGAUGUUGUUUUGUUCGGUGGAGGAGAGGAACGAUUCAUUCCUUCCCUCGCCGCCCCGUCUCCCUCGCACGCCGCCGGCCAUGGCCUCCGCCCUCUCCCUCUCACCCUCACUCGCCGCUGGCCACCGCCCUCUCCUACUCUCAUCCUCUCCCCUCUUCACAAGAUAAGAUAAGAGAACCAAUUAGUCCAGUCGGCUUGCCGCUAGCCGACUGGAAGCCAAUCGGCCUGUGGUGGGCUGAUUAGGGGCAUGUGGCCAUUUUUCUUUUUCUGUUUUUGGUUUUAGUUGUUGUUUUCUAUUUAUUCUACCUAUCAAAUGAAUCUAGUUUGUGUUGAAACUUUUUGCAUAAAUUACUAGCAAUAUUAACAAGCCACAUAUAAAUUUUCAUAUUUUUUGGAAAACCAAAUUUUUACAAUUGUAUUUGAUAGCUCCUGGUGAAUAUAGAUCGGGUUUAAAUUUAUCUAUCCAAAUUGAUUUUUUUAUUUUUAAAGAUGUCAAAAUAUCAAGGAGAAUAAUUUAAUUUUUUUGUGAAACAAUUUGAGAAUACAUUUUUAGCUGAUGAAACAAUUUGAAACAAUAUGAAACAUUUUUUGUGAAAUAAUUUGAGGAAAAUUCUUUUUUGGCUUAUGAAACAAUUUGAGAAUACUUUUUUGGCUUAUGAAACAAUUUGUGAAUUUUCCUCAAAUUGUUUCAGAAAAAUUGUUUCAUAUUGUUUCAAAUUGUUUCAUAAGCCAAAAAAAAAUUCCUCAAAUUGUUUCACAAAAAUGUUUAAACCAUUCUCCUCAAUAUUUUAACAUUUAUAAAAAUCAAAAAAAUUAAUUUGGAUAAUUUAAUUUAAAUCCUAUCGGUUUCACCAGGAGCUAUCAAAUGUAAAUAUGUGGUUUUCCAAAAAUUAUGAAAAUUUAUAUGUGGCUUGUUAAUAUUGCCAGUAAUUUAUGCAAAAAGUUUCAACACAAACCAGAUUCAUUUGAUUGCUAGAAUAAAUAGAAAACGACAACUAAAACCAAAAACAGAAAAAGAAAAAUGGUCAUAUGCACCUAGUCGGCCCACAGCAGGCCGAUUGGCCUUUAGUCGGCCCGCAGCAAGCCGACUGGGACUAAUUGGCUUGCUGCGAACCAAUUAGUCCCAGUUGGCUUGCUGCGGGCCGACUGGAGGCCAAUCGGCCAACCGUGGGCCGACUAGGCUCAGUUUGCCUGCAGCGGGCCGAUGGUGUAUUAUUUUUGAAAAUAAAAAUAUCGGCAUAAUAUUUAUGCAAAUUAAAUGAGUAAAUGUAUUAUAUUAUUUUAAAAAAACUAGCGCGAGGAUGCGGCCGUCUGCUCGUCCGUGCGGUUCCGCUUUUGCCUGCUCUGUGCCCACGCCAUGGAGAUAGAGCUUCCUCUGUUUGCUCCCCUCUCGAGCCCACCUUGGAUCUGCUCUUAUCUCCUCCCGUUCCAUCAUUUGGUUCCCUGCUCACGCAGGCACGCGUCCGACACCACCAGCAUUGAACCCUAGCCGGCAUUGUUUGGCUGGGAGAAGCAGCUCCCCUCCUCGUCGGCUACCCCUGCCUGCCCCUCCGCUCUGCUCUCUCGUGUGCCCACGAUGGCCUUCUUGUUCCUAAUUUUGAUUUGGACACCGUAUACACAUGAUGAGGAUUAGGCAUGUGUAAUGGGGAUUGGGAUGCAGAUUCCAUAUCUGCAAGUGUAAUGACUAGAAACUGAUCAAGUUCCUCCUGAGUUCAGAUCCCAAUUUGCUUGCUGCAUUACAUUAAAUGGCUGUGUGAAAACUGAAACUUUGAUCACAUAUAUAAUUUUGUCUGGUCAAUGGUUAGUGCACCCCCUCCUCCAAUUUGUCUAGAUCAGGCUUAUGUGUUAUCUUCAUUACAUCCUCUACUAGCAAAACGAUCCAAGUGAAAAAUUAACAAUUUCCUGCGAGAUUGUCAAGCGUGGGCAUCCUUUUGUAUUUAUAGUCUCCAAAAGUUAUAGAUAGGAGGCACAUGGUGUUUCGAAAUAUUACAUGCAUUGCCUACUGCUUGGUGCCUAUAUUUACAGCUUCUUCCUGCGUCUGUUGUUGUUCUUCCAGGGAGACCGUUACUGUGAUUUCCCUGUGCUCGUUUGGAGGAGGCGUUCAUUCCUUUUAAGCCCCCACUACUAGAAAAAAUCUUAUACACAGAAACUUACCAGUAGCGCGGGCUAAAAAAAAGCGCUACUAUAAUUUACCACUACCGCGUGUGAAAUAAUCGUGCUGCAGCUAAGUUUGUAGCAGUAGCGUGUCUCGCUAAAGAAGCGCUACUACUACAAUUCCCCUACUGUUCUCGACAGGCUACCAUUAGUAGUAGCAUGCUUAGAAAAAGUGCGCUGCUGCUAAGACUAUUGUAGCAGCGUGUUUUACGCACAAAGCGCUACUGCUAAGGAAAGAAAAAUAAAAUGAAAAACAUAUAGAAAAGUAAAUGAAAAUGAAAGAAAUAGAAAAAUGGGAAGGAGAAAAAGAAAAUGUGAAUGAAAAUAAAUGAAAAAUAAAAAUAAGGGAGAAAGACGUAGCAGCAGCGGGCUUUUUGGACACGCGCUAUAGCUAUCUUAGCAGUAGCGCUUGUUGCCAUCCAGCCCUAUAGCUAACGUAGCAAUAGCGCUUUUCCUGGAACGCGCUACUGCUACUUUUGAAUUAACCACGCGUGGUUCUUCUUCCCCGCGGCCAUUUCACCCAAAUCGAACUCGCGCGUCUGUUGUCGCCGCUGUCGUCGCCCGGCCGCCGCGCGCGGUCUCCCUUCGCCCUCCGCAUGCCGUCGACGCCGCCCCCGACCCCGACCUCGACACCCCCCUACAUCGCCGCCCUCCGGCGUGCGCCCGCCGCCCCGACCCCGACCCGUCCCCGACCUCGACGCCGCGUGCCCCUCUCCCUAACUCCGCCGGCGCCCGAGGUGAGCACGCCCUCUUUUGGUGUCAAAACCGGCGGAUCUCGGGUAGGGUGUCCCGAAUUGUGCGUCUAAGAUCGAUGGUAACAGGAGACAGGGGACACGAUGUUUACCCAAGUGAUACGUCUCCAAUGUAUCUAUAAUUUUUUAUUGUUCCAUGCUAUUAUAUUACUUGUUUUGGAUGUUUAUGGGCUUUACUCUACACUUUUAUAUCAUUUUUAGGACUAACCUACUAAUCGGAGGCCCAGCCCGAAUUGCUGUUUUUUGCCUAUUUCAGUGUUUCGAAGGAAAGGAGUAUCAAACGGAGUCCAAACGGAAUGAAACCUUCGGGAGCGAUCGUUUUGGAACAAACGCAAUCCAUGAGACUCGGAGUGGACAUCAAGAAGCGAAUGAGGCGGCCACGAGGGUGCCCGGCGUGCCCUGUAAGGGUGGGCGCGCCCCCGCCCUCGUGGGCCCCUUGAGCGUCCACCGACCUACUUCUUCCUCCUAUAUAUGUCCACGGACCCCGAAAACAUCCGGGAGCACCACGAAAAACUAUUUCCACCGCCACAACCUUCUGUAUCCGCGAGAUCCCAUCUUGGAGCCUACGUCGGCGCUCCGCCGGACGGGGAAUCGACCAUGGAGGGCCUCUCCAUCAUCCCCAAGGUCUCUCCGAUGAGUUGUGAGUAGUUUACCACAGACCUUCGGGUCCAUAGUUAUUAGCUAGAUGGAAUUCUUCUUUCUUUUUGAUUCUCAAUACAAAGUUCUCCUUCCUCUUCUUGUAGAUCUAUUCGAUGUAACUCUUUUUAUGGUGUAUUUGUCGAGAUCUGAUGAAUUGUGGGUUUUUGAUCAAGUUUAUCUAUGAGAAAUAUUUGAAUCUCCUCUGAAUUCUUUUAUGUAUGAUUGGUUAUCUUUGCAAGUGUCUACGAAUUAUCAGUUUGGUUUGGCCUACUAGAUUGAUCUUUCUUGCCAUGAGAGAAGUGCUUAGCUUUGGGUUCAAUCUUGCAGUGUCCUUUCCCAGCGACAGCAGGGGCAGCAAGGGACGUAUUGUAUUGUUGCCAUCGAGGAUAAAAAGAUGGGGUUUAUAUCAUAUUGCAUGAGUUUAUCCCUCUACAUCAUGUCAUCUUGCUUAAUGCGUUACUUUGUUCUUAUGAACUUAAUACUCUAGAUGCAGGUAGGAGUCGGUCGAUGUGUGGAGUAAUAGUAGUAGAUGCAAAAUCGUUCGGUCUACUUGUUGCGGAUGUGAUGCCUAUAUACAUGAUCAUGCCUAGAUGAUCUCAUAAUAUGCACUUUUCUAUCAAUUGCUCGACAAUAGUUUGUUCGCCCGCAGUAAUAAUUAUACUAUCUUGAGAGAAGCCCCUAGUGAAAUCUUUGGCCCCCGGGUCUAUCUUUUAUCAUAUAAGUUUUCCAUCUACUUUUAGUUGCAUCUUUUAUUUUCCAAUCUAUAUCAUAAAAAUACCAAAAAUAUUUAUCUUAUCAUAUUAUCUCAAUCAGAUCUCACUUUCGCAAGUUACCGUGAAGGGAUUGACAACCCCUUUAUCGCGUUGGUUGCGAGGUUCUUGUUUGUUUGUGUAGGCGCAUGGGACUUGGAAAGGGCCUCCUACUGGAUUGAUACCUUGGUUCUCAAAAACUAGGGAAAUACUUACGCUACUUUGCUGCAUCGCACUUUCCUUUUCAAGGGAAAAACCAAUGCAUGCUCAAGAGGUAGCAAGAAGGAUUUCUAGCGCCGUUGCCGGGGAUGUCUUCGCUCCAGUCAAGACAUACCAAGUGCCCAUCACAAACUCAUCUCCCUCACAUUACAUUAUUGACCAUUUGCCUCUUGUUUUCCUCUCCCCCACUUCACCCUUGCCAUUUUAUUCGCCCUCUCUUUUCCGUUCGCCUUCCAUUUUCCAUGGCCGAGUCAAAAAGAACUAAGGGUUCUCUCUGAGUUAUAGUACUUUGGAUAGUCCCUCUGUCCUCUCUAAGCUCCUAAAUAAUGAUGUUGUGGAAAGGCCUGCCGGGGUUACCAAUGAGAAUUUAAAUAAUUUUGAUGAAGAGGACUCUGGAAUUUUUCGUUAUUUACUUGAUGAGUCUUUAAAAGAUGCUUGGGAUAGGCUAUUAAGGAUUAGAGCUAGCUAUGUGCCACAAUAUCUAAUUGAGAUUUAUCUAAGAAGCUUUUAUGUUGGGUUACCACCUUCGUUUAAACAGGUUUUAGAUUCUAUUUUUGAAGAAGGUUUUCUUGAAGGAGACGCUAUAGACACUUACGAAAAAAUGAAAACUAUAUUUGGGCACCCCAUGAAUGAUAAGGUUGAAUCCACCACUCUCUUAUGCUUUUAUCAAAACGAAAUUAUUAGAGAUGAAAGCUAGCCUAGAUGCAAAUUUCCGUAACGUGCUUAAUCUUUCUUCCUCCAUUAAUGGCCACGUGAUUUCCUAAAAUAGAAGGAAAAUGCUAUAGAUAAGAAAUUUUCUCUUUUCUUUCCGAAUACCAAAGAUGGCAAUACUUAGAUCCAUUCUGGCUUUUAAUGCCUAGCUAGGGGCGUUAAACGAUAGCGCUUGUUGGGAGGCAACCCAAUUUUAUUUUUGUUCCAUGCUUUUUUUUCCUGUUUAGUAAUAAAGAAUUAACCUAGCCUCUGGUUAGAUGUGGUUUUAUGUUUUAAUUAGUGUUUGUGCCAAGUAGAACCUAUAGGAUAACUUACGGUGAUAGUUAAUUUGAUUCUGCUGAAAAACAGAAAGUUUGCGCUCUCGAGAAAAAAAUCAAUAAAUCACAGAAACAUGCUUUUGCAUUGAUUCUUUCCGCUGGUGAUCAAUAGACAAAUUUCCUAGGACGUCCUAUUUUGGUAGGAUUUUUGGAGUUCCAGAAGUAUUCGAAAGUUACAGAUUGCUACAGGCUGUUCUCUUUUUGAUAGUUCUGUUUUUCAUGUGUUCUUUGCUUAUUUUGAUGAAUCUAUGGCUGGUAUCGGGGGGUAAGAACCGUAGAGAAGUUGUAAUACAGUAGGUUUAACACCAAUAUAAAUAAAGAAUGAGUUCAUUACAGUACCUUAUGUGGUGGUUUUUCUUUCUUGCACUAACGGAGCUUAUGAUAUUUCCUAUUGAGUUUUGUGUUGUGAAGUUUUCAAGUUUUGGGUAAAAAUUUGAUGGACUAUGGAAUAAGGAGUGGCAAAAGCCUAAGCUUGGGGAUGCCCAUGGAACCCCAAGAUAUUCAAGGACAACCAAAAGCCUAAGCUUGGGGAUGCCCCGGAAGGCAUCCCCUCUUUCGUCUUCGUCUAUCGGUAACUUUACUUGGAGCUAUAUUUUUAUUUACCACAUGAUAUGUGUUUUGCUUGGAGCACCUUGUAUGAUAUGAGUCUUUGAUUUUUAGUUUACCACAAUCAUCCUUGUUGUACACACCUUUUGGGAGAGACCCACAUGAUUUAGAAUUUAUUAGAAUACUCUAUGUGCUUCACUUAUAUCUUUUGAGCUAGAUAGUUUUGCUCUAUGUGCUUCACUUAUAUUUUCUAGAGCACCGUGGUGGCUUUAUUUUGAAGAAAUUGUUGAUUAAUACGUCCAUUUUGCAUCAUGCUUUUAUAUCAAUAUUUAUUGCGUUAUGGGCUGUUAUUACACAUUAUAUAUCAAUACUUAUGGCUAUUCUCUCUUAUUUUAUAAGGUUUACCAUGAAGAGGGGGAAUGCCGGCAGCUGGAAUUCUGUCUGGAAAAGGAGCAAACAUUAGAAACCUAUUCUGCACUGCUCCAAAAGACCUGAAACUCCACAAAACUUAUUUUUCGAAUUAAUAAGAAUUAUUGAGCGGAAGAAACACCUCAGGGGGCCCACACCCUGGCCAGGAGGGUGGGGGUGUGCCCACCCCUACUGGGCGCGCCCCCUGUCUCCUGCGCCCCCUGGUGGCCCUCCUGUGUCCAUCUUCUUCUAUAUGAAGGCUUUUACCCUGGAAAAAAAAUCAUGGGCAAGCUUACGGGACGAAACUCCACCGCCACGAGGCGGAACCAAUCUAGAGCUCCGGCAGAGCUGUUCUGCCGGGGACACUUCCCUCCGGGAGGGGGAAAUCAUCACCAUCGUCAUCACCAACGAUCCUCCCAUCGGGAGAGGGUCAAUCUCCAUCAACAUCUUCACCAGCACCAUGUCCUCUCAAACGCUAGUUCAUCUCUUGUAUCCAAUCUCGUAUCCAAAACCACAAAUUGCUACUUGUGGGUUGGUAGUAGUGUUGAUUACUCCUUGUAGUUGAUGCUUAUUGGUUUACUUGGUGGAAGAUCAUAUGUUCAGAUCCUUAAUGCAUAUUAUUACUCCUCUGAUUAUGAACAUGAAUAUGCUUUGUGAGUAGUUACGUUUGUUCCUGAGGACAUGGGUGAAGUCUUGCUAUUAGUAGUCAUGUGAAUUUGGUAUUCGUUCGAUAUUUUGAUGAGAUGUAUGUUGUCUUUCCUCUAGUGGUGUUAUGUGAACGUCGACUACAUGACACUUCACCAUUAUUUGGGCCUAGAGGAAGGCAUUUGGAAGUAAUAAGUAGAUGAUGGGUUGCUAGAGUGACAGAAGCUUAAACCCUAGUUUAUGCAUUGCUUCGUAAGGGGCUGAUUUGGAUCCAUAUGUUUAAUGUUGUGGUUAGGUUUACCUUAAUACUUCUUUUGUAGUUGCGGAUGCUUGCAAUAGGGGUUAAUCAUAAGUGGGAUGCUUGUCCAAGUAAGGGCAGUACCCAAGCACCGGUCCACCCACAUAUCAAAUUAUCAAAGUACCGAACGUGAAUCAUAUGAGCGUGAUGAAACUAGCUUGACGAUAAUUCCCAUGUGUCCUCGGGAGCGCUUUUCUCAUUAUAAGAAAUUGUCCAGGCUUGUCCUUUGCUACAAAAUGGAUUGGGCGACCUUGCUUCACUUUAUUUACUUUCAUUGCUUGUUACUCAUUACAAUUUAUCUUAUCACAAAACUAUCUAUCACCUACAAUUUCAGUGUUUGCAGAGAAAACCUUACUGAAAACUGCUUAUCAUUUCCUUCUGCUCCUCGUUGGGUUCGACACUCUUACUUAUCGAAAGGACUACGAUAGAUCCCCUACACUUGUGGGUCAUCAAGACUCUUUUGUGGCACCGUUGCCGGGGAGUGUAGCGCUUUUGGUGAGUGGAACUUGGUAAGGAAACAUUAUUAUAGUGUGAUGACAUUUUCUAUUACUUGUCACUAUGGAAACUAAUCCUUUGAGGGGCUUGUUUGGGGCAUCUUCGCCCCGACCAGUAGAGCAAAGAGUUGCUCCUCAACCUACUGAACCUACUGAAAAUGUUUACUUUGAAAUUCCUUCGGGUAUGAUAGAGAAACUGCUAGCUAAUCCUUUUGCAGGAGAUGGAACAUUGCAUCCCGAUUUACACCUUAUCUUUGUGGAUGAAGUUUGUGGAUUAUUUAAGCUUGUAGGUAUUCCCAAUGAUGUUUCCAAAAGGAAGGUCUUCCCUUUAUCUUUGAAGAGAGAUGCAUUGACAUGGUAUAGGCUAUGUGAUGAUACGGGGUCUUGGAAUUAUACACGAUUGAUGUUGGAAUUUCACCAGAAGUUCUAUCCUAUGCAUCUUGUUCAUCGUGAUCGUAAUUACAUAUAUAAUUUCUGGCCUCGCGAAGGAGAAAGCAUCGCUCAAGCUUGGGGGAGGCUUAAGUCAAUGUUAUAUUCAUGCCCCAAUCAUGAGCUCUCUAGAGAAAUGAUUAUUCAAAAAAUUUAUGCUCGGCUUUCUCUCAAUGAUCUCACCAUGCUCGAUACUUCCUGUGCUGGUUCUUAUAUGCUGAAGACUAUUGAAUUCAAAUGGGACUUAUUGGAAAGAAUUAAACGCAACUCUGAAGACUGGGGUUCCGACGAUGGUAAGGAGUCAGGUAUGACACCUAAGUUUGAUUGUGUUAAAUCUUUUAUGGAUACCGAUGCUUUUCGUGGAUUUAGCGCUAAAUAUGGACUUGACUCUGAGAUAGUAGCUUCUUUCUGUGAAUCUUUUGCUACUCACGUUGAUCUCCCUAAGGAGAAGUGGUUCAAAUAUAAUCCUCCCAUUGAAGUAAAAGUAGUUGCACCUGUUACAGUUGAAGAAAAGGCUAUUACUUAUAAUGAUCCUAUUGUUCCUACUACUUAUGUUGAGAAACCACCUUUUCCUGUUAGAAUGAAGGAUCAUGCUAAAGCUUCAACUGUUGUUCGUAAGAGUAAUACUAGGACUUAUACACCUCCUGAGCAAAUCAAAGUUGAACCUAGUAUUGCUAUGGUUAAAGAUCUCUUGGAUGAUAAUUUAGAUGGGCAUGUUAUUUACUUCUGUGGUGAAACUGCUAAUAUUGUUAAACCAGAUACUAAGAUACAUAGACCUGUGGUAGGCAUGCCUGUUAUUUCUGUUAAAAUAGGAGAUCAUUGUUAUCAUGGCCUAUGUGAUAUGGGUGCUAGUGCUAGUGCAAUACCUAUUUCCUUAUACCAAGAGAUUAUGCAUGAUAUUGCACCUGUUGAGUUAGAAGAUAUUGAUCUUACAAUUAAGCUUGCCAAUAGAGAUACUAUUAGGCCUUUUGGGAUUGUUAGAGAUGUUGAAGUCUUGUGUGGGAAGGUCAAAUACCCUGCUGAUUUUCUUGUUCUCAGUUCCCCCAAGAUGACUUUUGUCCCAUUAUAUUUGGUAGACCAUUCUUGAACACUGUUAAUGCUAAGAUUGAUUGCGAAAAGGAUGUUGUUAUGAUUGGCUUGGAGGAUAUGACUCAUGAAUUUAAUUUUGCUAAAUUUCAUAGACAACCCCGUGAUAAAUAAUUACCUAGUAAAUAUGAAAUAAUUGGUCUUGCUUCUAUUGCCGUGCCUCCUACUGAUCCGUUAGAACAAUAUUUGCUUGACCAUGAAAAUGAUAUGUUUACGAAAGAAAGAAGGGAAAUAGAUGAAGUGUUCCUUAAACAAGAACCUAUUCUGAAACAUAACCUUCCCGUUGAAAUUCUAGGGGAUCCUCCUCCACCCAAGGGUGAUCCCGUGUUUGAGCUUAAACCAUUACCUAAUAAUCUUAAAUAUGCUUAUCUUGAUAAAAAGAAGAUAUAUCCUGUUAUUAUUAGUGGUAACCUUUCAGAGCAGGAAGAGGAAAGAUUAUUGAAAACUCUGAAGAAGCACCGUGCGGCUAUUGGAUAUACUCUCGAUGAUCUCAAGGGCAUUAGCCCCACGUUAUGUCAACACAAAAUUAGUUUGGAGGAUGAUGCCAAACCAGUUAGAGAUCCUCAACAACGAUUGAAUCCCAAGAUGAAAGAAGUGGUUAGAAAGGAGAUACUAAAGCUCCUUGAGGCAGGUAUAAUUUAUCACAUUGCUGAUAGUGAUUGGGUAAGUCAUGUCCAUUGUGUUCCUAAAAAGGGAGGUAUUACUGUUGUUCCUAAUGAUAAAGAUGAAUUGAUCCCGCAAAGAAUUAUUACAGGUUAUAGGAUAGUAAUUGAUUUCCGUAAAUUAAAUAAAGCUACUAAGAAAGAUCAUUACCCUUUACAUUUUAUUGAUCAAAUGCUAGAAAGACUAUCCAAACACACACAUUUUUGCUUUCUAGAUGGUUAUUCUAGUUUGUCUCAAAUACCUGUGUUAGCGAAGGAUCAAUCAAAAACUACUUUUACUUGCCCUUUUGGUACUUUUGCUUAUAGACGUAUGCCUUUUGGUUUAUGUAAUGCACCUGCUACCUUUCAAAUAUGUAUGAUGGCUAUAUUCUCUGACUUUUGUGAAAAGAUUUGUGAGGUAUUCAUGGAUGAUUUCUCCGUUUAUGGAUCCUCCUUUGAUGAUUGCUUGAGCAACCUUGAUCGAGUUUUGCAGAGAUGUGAAGACACUAGUCUCGUAUUGAAUUGGGAAAAGUGCCACUUUAUGGUUAAUGAAGGCAUUGUCUUGGGGCACAAGAUCUCCGAGAGAGGUAUUGAAGUUGAUAAAGCUAAAGUUGAUGCUAUUGAAAAGAUGCCAUGUCCCAAGGACAUAAAAGGUAUAAGAAGUUUCCUUGGUCAUGCCGGUUUUUAUAGGAGGUUCAUUAAGGACUUCUCUAAAAUCUCUAGGCCUCUGACUAAUUUAUUGCAAAAAGAUAUUCCUUUUGUCUUUGAUGAUGAUUGUGUAGAAGCAUUUGAAAUACUUAAGAAAGCUUUGAUCACUGCACCUAUUGUUCAGCCACCUGAUUGGAAUUUACCUUUUGAAAUUAUGUGUGAUGCUAGUGAUUAUGCUGUAGGUGCUGUUCUAGGGCAAAGAGUUGAUAAGAAAUUGAAUGUUAUCCAGUAUGCUAGUAAGACUCUUGAUACUGCCCAAAGAAAUUAUGCUACUACUAAAAAAGAAUUCUUAGCAGUUGUGUUUGCAUGUGAUAAGUUUAGACCUUAUAUUGUUGAUUCCAAAGUUACUAUUCACACUGAUCAUGCUGCUAUUAAAUAUCUUAUGGAAAAGAAAGAUGCUAAGCCUAGACUCUUCAGAUGGGUUCUCUUGCUCCAAGAAUUUGAUUUGCAUAUUAUUGAUAGAAAGGGAGUUGAGAACCCCGUUGCAGACAACUUGUCUAGGUUAGAGAAUGUUCUUGAUGACCCACUGCCUAUUAAUGAUAGCUUUCCUGAUGAACAAUUAGCGGUCAUUAAUGCUUCUCGUACUGCUCCUUGGUAUGCUGAUUAUGCUGAUUACAUUGUUGCUAAAUUUAUACCACCUAGUUUCACAUACCAACAAAAGAAAAAGUUCUUUUAUGAUUUAAGACAUUACUUCUGGGAUGACCCACACCUUUAUAAAGAAGAAGUAGACGGUGUUAUUAGACGUUGUGUACCUGAGCAUGAACAGAAAUAGAUCCUACGCAAGUGUCACUCCGAAUCAUAUGGAGGACACUGUUGGAAAUAUGCCCUAGAGGCAAUAAUAAAAGGAUUAUUAUUAUAUUUCCUUGUUCAUGAUAAUUGUCUUUAUUCAUGCUAUAAUUUUAUUAUCCGGAAAUCGUAAUACACGUGUGAAUACAUCAUAGUAGAAAAGGGGGCAAUGGCCCAUGCCAGUUCAACCCAUUAGUCCUGGUUCAAUCCAGAACCGGGACCAAUGGAGCUAUUUGCCCCGGUUCGUGAGCCCAAGGGGCCGGCCGGGCCACGUGGUCCAUUGGUCCCGGUUUGUCCGGACCUUUUGGUCCCGGUUGGUGGGACGAACCGGGACCAAUGGGCCUGGCUCAUGGCCCACCACUAUUGGCCCCGGUUGGUGGCAUGAACCGGGACCAAAGGCUUCCCUUUAGUCCCGGUUCAUGCCACCAACCGGGACCAAUAGUGGUGCCUAUAUAUACCCCCUCCCGCAAGAGCAGAGCACAGUGCUCUGUUUUUUUCUGGCCGAGGGGGAGAGGGCUUGGUGGUGCUCUAGCUCACCUCCUAUGCACACAAGGUGUUCGAUGGAAUGCCCGAGCCACACUACUUAAGGUUUCUCCUCUCGAAGCUCGACCGCCAAGCUCCGUUUUCCUCAAGAUGGAUCUGGGUUUAGCGGUCCGUCACGCCCCGUCCCCAUCUUCACCACCGUCGAUCACCCGCGCCGAUCUCAUCGCCGGCACCACCGUGGUGAGCCUCUUGUUCUUAUCUUUUUUCUGAAAGGAAAAACAUUCUUACUUGUAUGUUUAGAUAGAUACUUGUAUUAUUUUCUUACUUUUAUUAUUGCAUCUUAUAUAGUGCGAUGGUUUUGGUAUCCGCCCCCGUCGGCCCUCGUCCUGUCUAUGAUUCGGAUGUGGUAUAUAUUAUCUUUUCAUAACUAUUGGUUCAUUUAUUGUUUAUGAAAAUUAUGCCGACCAACGUGACAUAGAUUUUAUUUAUCUAGGAGGUUGUUGAACCGGAAAUUCCAACCGACCCUAUUGUCGAGAGGUUAAAUUUAGUUGAAGAAGAAAACAAUUUCUUGAAGGAAAAAAUAAAAAAACUUGAGGAGAAGAUGAUAUUGGAGUUGCAUGUUGCGGAUGUCGUCGAUGAUCACAAGAUCAAGAUGGAUGCAAUGCGCUUGAAGAUGAGAAAGAUUAGAAAAUAUGCCAUUCAUACCGAGUCUUGCUAUCAUUAUGUCGUUGGAUCAGUUGUUACCUUGGUUGCGAUUAUGAUCGCAUUUGUUUUCGCAUUGAAAUGUUUUACAUAGUUUCAAUGUAUGGUUUAAUUAAUUUAGAUGCUCUGCAGAGCUUUAUGUUGUUAGAUGAGAACUAUGUAUGUACUUUGGUUUUUAUGUGAUGAUGAACUUCUAUUAAUUUGGUCACUUAUAAUUAUCUAUUCAUGAUGUUCUGUAAUGAUUUUUGACACACUUAAUUAUAUAUAAUGCACGCAGAUGAACCGGCAAUGGAUGUACGGUGACAGACACACCUCCGAGUACAUUAAGGGCGUGCAUGAUUUUCUCAAAGUGGCUGAGGCAAACAAGCAGAAUGGUUUUAUGUGUUGUCCAUGCCCUAUAUGUGGGAAUACGAAGUCUUACUCUGACCGGAAAAUCCUUCACACCCACCUGCUUUACAAGGGUUUCAUGCCACACUAUAAUGUUUGGACGAGGCACGGAGAAAUAGGGGUUAUGAUGGAAGACGGCGAGGAAGAAGAGUACGAUGACAACUAUGUGCCCCCUGAAUACGGUGAUGCUACUGAACAUCAAGAUGCACCAGACGAUGUGCACGAUGGUGCUGCAACGGGCGAAGCUGCUGAAGAUCAAGAGGAACCAGAGGAUGUGCCCGAUGAUGAUGAUCUCCGCCGGGUCAUUGUCGAUGCAAGGACACAAUGCGAAAGUCAAAAGGAGAAGCUGAAGUUCCAUCGCAUGUUAGAGGAUCACAAAAAGGGGUUGUACCCCAAUUGCGAAGAUGGCAACACAAAGCUCGGUACCGUACUCGAAUUGCUGCAGUAGAAGGCAGAGAAUGCUGUGCCUGAUAAAGGAUUUGAGAAGCUACUGAAAAUAAUGAAGAAGAAGCUUCCAAAGGAUAACGAAUUGCCCGACAGUACAUACGCAGCAAAGAAGGUCGUAUGCCCUCUAGGAUUGGAGGUGGAGAAGAUACAUGCAUGCCCUAAUGACUGCAUCCUCUACCGCGGUGCCUACAAGGAUCUGAACGCAUGCCCGGUAUGCGGUGCAUUGCGGUAUAAGAUCAGACGAGAUGACCCUGGUGAUGUUGACGGCGAGCCUCCCAGGAAGAGGGUUCCUGCGAAGGUGAUGUGGUAUGCUCCUAUAAUACCACGGUUGAAACGUCUGUUCAGAAACGGAGAGCAUGACAAGUUGAUGCGAUGGCACAAUGAGGACCGUAAGAAAGACGGGAAGUUGAGAGCACCCGCUGACGGGUCGCAGUGGAGAAAAAUUGAGAGAAAAUACUGGGAUGAGUUUGCAAAGGACCCAAGGAACGUAUGGUUUGAUUUAAGCGCGGAUGGCAUUAAUCCUUUCGGGGAGCAGAGCAGCAAUCACAGCACCUGGCCCGUGACUAUGUAUGUAUAACCUUCCUCCUUGGAUGUGCAUGAAGCGGAAGUUCAUUAUGAUGCCAGUUCUCAUCCAAGGCCCUAAGCAACCCGGCAACGACAUUGAUGUGUACCUAAGGCCAUUAGUUGAAGAACUUUUACAGCUGUGGAAUGGAAACGGUGUACGUACGUGGGAUGAGCACAAAAAGUAGGAAUUUGACCUAAAGGCAUUGCUGUUCGUGACCAUCAACGAUUGGCCCGCUCUCAGUCACCUUUCAGGACAGACAAACAAGGGAUACCACGCAUGCACACACUGUUUACUUGACACCGAUAGUAUAUACCUGGGAAGCUGCAGGAAGAAUGUGUACCUGGGCCAUCGUCGAUUUCGUCCGACCAACCAUUAAUGUCGAAAGAAAGGCAAGCAUUUCAAAGGCGAGGCAGAUCACCGGAAGAAGCCCGCCAUGCGUACCGGUGAUCACGUACUUGCUAUGGUCAAUGAUUUACACGUAAUCUUUGGAAAGGGUCCCGGCGGACUAGCUGUUCUGAAUGACGCUGAGAAUCACGCACCCAUGUGGAAGAAGAAAUCUAUAUUUUGGGACCUACCCUACUGGAAAGACCUAGAGGUCCGCUCUUCGAUCGACGUGAUGCACGUGACGAAGAACCUUUGCGUGAACCUGCUAGGCUUCUUGGGCAUGUAUGGGAAGACAAAAGAUACACCUGAGGCACGAGAGGACCUGCAACGCUUGCACGAAAAAGAGGGCAUGCCUCCGAAGCAGUAUGAAGGUCCUGCCAGCUACGCUCUUACGAAAGAAGAUAAAGAAAUAUUCUUUCAAUGCCUGCUGAGUAUGAAGGUCCCGACUGGCUUCUCGUCGAAUAUAAAGGGAAUAAUAAAUAUGCCAGAGAAAAGUUCAGAACCUAAAGUCUCAUGACUGCCACGUGAUUAUGACGCAACUGCUUCCGGUUGCAUUGAGGGGGCUUCUACCGGAAAACGUCCGAUUAGCCAUUGUGAAUCUAUGUGCAUUCCUCAAUGCAAUAUCUCAGAAGGUGAUCGAUCCAGAAAUCGUACCAACGCUAAGGAGUGAUGUGGCGCAAUGUCUUGUCAGUUUCGAGCUGGUGUUCCCACCAUCCUUCUUCAAUAUCAUGACGCACGUCCUAGUUCAUCUAGUCGACGAGAUUGUCAUUCUGGGGCCCAUAUUUCUACACAAUAUAUACCCCUUUGAGAGGUUCAUGGGAGUCCUAAAGAAAUAUGUUCGGAACCGCGCUAGGCCAGAAGGAAGCAUCUCCAUGGGCCAUCAAACAGAGGAUGUCAUCGGGUUUUGUGUUCACUUCAUUCCUGGCCUUAAGAAGAUAGGUCUCCCUAAAUCGCGGUAUGACGUGGAGACUGACUGGAAAAGGCACGCUUGGAAGGGACUCAAUAAUAUGCAGGGACAGAUAUUCUUGGUCUCAAGCACACUACACAGUUCUACAGAACUCUACCUUGGUGACCCCGUAUGUCGAUGAACACAAGAACAGUCUGCGCUCCAAACACCCGGAGCAGUGCGACGACUGGAUUACAUGUGAACACAUCAGGACUUUCAGCAGUUGGUUGGAAACAUGUCUCAGAGGUGACAGCACUGUUUGUGAUGAGCUGUACUUGUUGUCCAGGGGACCAUCUUUGACUAUAAUGAUUUGGAAAGGAUAUGAGAUAAAUGGGAAUACAUUUUACACGAUUGACCAAGAUGAAAAGAGCACCAACCAAAACAGCGGUGUCCGCUUUGAUGCAGCAACCGACAAGGGAAAUGACACAUAUUAUGGUUACAUAGUAGACAUAUGGGAACUUGACUACGGAGUAGAUUUUAAGGUCCCUUUGUUUAAGUGCAAGUGGGUCAAUCUGUCAGAAGGCGGGGUACAGGUAGACCCACAGUACGGAAUGACAACAGUGGAUCUGAAAAAUCUUGGGUACACUGACGAACCGUUCGUCCUAGCCAAUGAUGUGGCACAGGUUAUCUAUGUGAAGGACAUGUCUACCAGACCGAGGAAAAGAAAAGAUAAGGAAGCGAAUACAUCAUACAAUGAGCCAAAGCGCCACAUAGUUCUUUCAGGAAAAAGGGACAUCCUGGGAGUGGAGGGCAAGACAGACAUGUCUGAAGAGUAUGAAAAGUUUCAUGAAAUUCCCCCCUUCAAAGUCAAGGCUGACCCAAGCAUCCUGAUAAACGAUGAAGAUUAUCCAUGGUUACGGCGCAAUAAGCAAAAGACAGAAGCGAAGAAAAAGUGAAGACUUUCUCCCGCAACUAUUAUGAUGAUACCAUGCCAACUUUGUAACAGACGAGUAUGAUACCAUUGUCCGUUUUGUACAUGCACAUGCUAUGCCAACUUUUUCAGAGUUCAUUUGAAAACUAUGAAUUUGAAAACCUCGCCAACCGAAGGGCGCUCACACCGGUUUAUAAGCCCGUCCCUCUACACGCCUUGUUGAGCUCACAAACUUGUGAUUCACACAAAUUCCAAAGAAAACUAAUGGCACAAACAGAAAGUUUAUAAUUUUGCUGACCUAAAAGCAAAAAGAAUUAAAAAAUAAAGCAAAAAACCAAAAGAAAAUAAAUAAUGCAGAAAACAAAACAAAAAACUUGAAAAAAAUAAAAAUAGCAACAAUAAGUAUUUUGUUGUAAGUAGAAACAAAAUAAAAUAAAUAAAUAAAGCAAAAAAGUGUUUUCAAAUUUGAAAACUAAUGGCACUAACAGAAANNNNNNNNNNNNNNNNNNNNNNNNNNNNNNNNNNNNNNNNNNNNNNNNNNNNNNNNNNNNNNNNNNNNNNNNNNNNNNNNNNNNNNNNNNNNNNNNNNNNNNNNNNNNNNNAAAGCAAAAAACAACAAAAAAUAAAUAAUGCAGAAAACAGAACAAAAAAACUGAAAAAUAAUAAAAAUAGCAACAAUAAGUAUUUUGUUGUAAGUACAAACAAAAUAAAAUAUAUAAAGCAACAAAGAAAACAAAAAAAGUGUUUUCAAAUUUGAAAACUAAUGGCACUAACAGAAAGUUUAUAAUUUUUCUAAAACUAAAAGCAAAAAGAAUUAAAAAAUAAAGCAAAAAACAACAAAAAAUAAAUAAUGCAGAAANNNNNNNNNNNNNNNNNNNNNNNNNNNNNNNNNNNNNNNNNNNNNNNNNNAACAAAAUAAAAUAUAUAAAGCAACAAAGAAAACAAAAAAAGUGUUUUCAAAUUUGAAAACUAAUGGCACUAACAGAAAGUUUAUAAUUUUUCUAAAACUAAAAGCAAAAAGAACUAAAAAAUAAAGCAAAAAACAACAAAAAAUAAAUAAUGCAGAAAGCAAAACCAAAAAACUGGAAAAAAAUAAAAAUAGCAACAAUAAGUAUUUUGUUGUAAGUAGAAACAAAAUAAAAUAAAUAAAGCAACAAAGAAAACAAAAAAACAAAAAAAAGUGCCACCUACUGGGCCCCCACGACCUGAAUACGAGUAGAAACCCUACCAUGGGCCAGGAUUCAGGCCCGCGGGAGGCUCAGUAGGCCCACAGGCAGAGAUUGCACGGUUAGGCCCGAAAGCCUGCAGUUGAGAGGAGCUCGGGUGGGUGGGCGCAGUAGAGUUAUAAACCACACUCGAGCUCUCUCAACUAGCAAGGUGGGACUAAACUUUUCGGCGCGGGGCAGCACAAGGCCUUUGGUCCCGGUUGGUGGCACCAACCGGGACUAAAGGGGGCAUUGGUCCCUGUUCGUGGCACCAACCGGGACUAAUGCCCCCCUUUAGUCCCGGUUAGUGCCNNNNNNNNNNNNNNNNNNNNNNNNNNNNNNNNNNNNNNNNNNNNNNNNNNNNNNNNNNNNNNNNNNNNNNNNNNNNNNNNNNNNNNNNNNNNNNNNNNNNNNNNNNNNNNNNNNNNNNNNNNNNNNNNNNNNNNNNNNNNNNNNNNNNNNNNNNNNNNNNNNNNNNNNNNNNNNNNNNNNNNNNNNNNNNNNNNNNNNNNNNNNNNNNNNNNNNNNNNNNNNNNNNNNNNNNNNNNNNNNNNNNNNNNNNNNNNNNNNNNNNNNNNNNNNNNNNNNNNNNNNNNNNNNNNNNNNNNNNNNNNNNNNNNNNNNNNNNNNNNNNNNNNNNNNNNNNNNNNNNNNNNNNNNNNNNNNNNNNNNNNNNNNNNNNNNNNNNNNNNNNNNNNNNNNNNNNNNNNNNNNNNNNNNNNNNNNNNNNNNNNNNNNNNNNNNNNNNNNNNNNNNNNNNNNNNNNNNNNNNNNNNNNNNNNNNNNNNNNNNNNNNNNNNNNNNNNNNNNNNNNNNNNNNNNNNNNNNNNNNNNNNNNNNNNNNNNNNNNNNNNNNNNNNNNNNNNNNNNNNNNNNNNNNNNNNNNNNNNNNNNNNNNNNNNNNNNNNNNNNNNNNNNNNNNNNNNNNNNNNNNNNNNNNNNNNNNNNNNNNNNNNNNNNNNNNNNNNNNNNNNNNNNNNNNNNNNNNNNNNNNNNNNNNNNNNNNNNNNNNNNNNNNNNNNNNNNNNNNNNNNNNNNNNNNNNNNNNNNNNNNNNNNNNNNNNNNNNNNNNNNNNNNNNNNNNNNNNNNNNNNNNNNNNNNNNNNNNNNNNNNNNNNNNNNNNNNNNNNNNNNNNNNNNNNNNNNNNNNNNNNNNNNNNNNNNNNNNNUCUUCCUCUUUUCUUCCUUUUCCUUAUUUUCCUUUCUCGAGGGAUAAGAAGAAAAAGAAGAGGAGAAGAAGAAAGAAAGGAAUAGAGGAGAAAGAAGAAACUUCGACACGAGGGGGGGUACCGAUACCCCCUCCCCGAUAACAUUAUUUUCCCAUGUAUAUGUAUGUCGCGUCGUUGUCGAUAUAAUGAGGGUGUCGAGGGUCGGGAACUAGGGUAGAGGGUCGAGGGUCGUUAAGGGGUCAAGGGUCGAGGGUUUCAGGGUCGAGGGUUCGAGGGAUCGAGGGUCGAGGGUUCCAGGGUCGUCUAGGGGUCGAGGGUUCCAGGGUCGUCGAGGGUUCGAGGGGUCGAGAGAGGUUUCGUAGUGGCAAAGUAUUGAAGAAAUCCAUGGCUUCAUCAUUAGCCGGAAGUAACCAGGGCAUGAUGGUACGAAGUCCUCCAAAGUUAUUCUGGAAUGGAGUCCCGAAUAGGAUAAUUUGCCUUUUUGUACGAAUCUCAGCAAAGGUCUUCCAAAUAACGAUAUUCGGAAGGUUCUUGCUGAACUUUGUACCAAAAAGCGAAUUAUCCUAUCUUUGACUCCGUUCCAAAAUAACUUUGAAGAGCUUCGUACCAUCAUGCACCUGUUACUUUCGCCUAAUAAUGAAGACAUGGUUUUGUUGAAUCCUUUGACACUAGGCAACCUCCCGACCCCUCGGCGAUCCUCGACCCCUUGACCCUCGACCGCUCAGCAAUCCACGACCCUCUACCCUACCGCGGGCGUCGAUGCCCACGUCACUUGUGGGACAUAGAUGUAGUGUUCAACGCCGACCCCCUCCCGAUAGCUUCAACACGUGGGGGGGUCGAUAUUACCCCCUCCUUGAAGCGUUCUCGAGGCCACCCCCUAACCCUUGAAGCGUUGUCGAGGCCACCCCAAACCCUAGAGAAGCAGCGUCGAGGCCACUAAUAUGAUUCCUUAUUGUGAUUAGCUAGCUAGUCCUACGUUUGCCACUAAUAUAUCCAUAUUUGUCAUGUUUGAAUAAUAAUUGCCAUGUUGUAAAUAUUUGUAGAAACUAUGGACACCCCCCGAGACGAAGCACAAGAAGCAUUGUUGAGGGACAUAAUCGCACAAGGAAGUGAUGCCGUCUGCUCGUUGAUGUUUCUCAACGACAACGAUGGUCUGGAAGGAGAGGGUGAAGAAGCAGCUGGCUAUGAUUUACAUGGCUCCGAUGACCCAAUGCCGGUGCAAGAAGGAGAGGGUGAAGAAGUAGACCGUGAGGACGGCUCCGGUGAUCACCAAACCGAGUCCGGCCAGGUAUAUAUAUUAGUUAAGCCUGUGCUGACUAGCUAAUUGAUGCAUUCAUUGUUUUGGUAUGUACACAUAUUAAUUAACUCUCGUCUUUGUUCUUUUUUCUAGCCCUCCGGAUCGAGCACAACUUCGGUAAAGAGACGAGGCCCGAAGAAAAAGUUGAGCUCGGAUGAAAAGUUUGAGAUCAUACAAAUCGCGCGUGACGGCCAACCGAUUGAACCCUACCGGACAAAGAAGGCAUUUGUUGCUCAGUGCGGGGUUCUGGUUAGGGAUAAGAUCCCGAUCAGCAUCUACCAAUGGUAUAAGCCUAAGAACGAAGACCCUGAGGUGUCUUAUGUCAAUGAUAUGCAGAAAAAUGAUCUUUGGACUGAGCUGAAGUCAAAUUUCACCCUACCGCCGGAGGAUGACCCGGAGAAGCCAGUUAUAGAGCCAUUAAUCAAGUCUUUUGCUCUGAAUAAGAUGGCAGACCUAUUCAGGAAUUGGAAGAAAGACCUCAAUAGGUAUGUCGAAAAAAAUGAGACACCAGAAUUCAAGGGCAAAUAUGAGAAGAUCAGAGAUGACUGGCCCGCAUUUGUGGCCCACAAGACAUCGGAAAAGAGUAAAAAGAUGUCGCCGACAAACAAGAGAAAUGCUGCGAAGAAGAAGCUUCACCAUCGCACGGGGUCAGGUGGCUACCUCGUAGCCCGGCCUAAGUGGGCCAAGGCUGAGAAUGAUCUGCUUGAUAAAGGGAUCGAACCAGAGACAAUGAACUGGCCAGACCGUUGCCAGACUUGGUUCUUUGGGGCCGGCGGAUCCUUGGACCCUAUAACAGGGAAGUGCAUUUGGACGGACAAACAAUUGAACAUACCAGUCAAGAGGCUUCAGCAAUAUAUCGAAGCAGCGCAGCAAGGGACGUUCGUUCCAGACAGGGAGAAGGACGAGCUCACAAUGGCCCUCGGCAAUCCUGAGCACCCUGGACGGACACGAGGCACGCCAGGCUCCGUUUCAUGGAAGGCUGGAUUUCCGGACGCAGGGGGUUACAAAACCAGGAGAGGAGGAAGAAACUGGAGCAAAGCCAACUGCAGGCGCUGCACGAAAGGGUAAUGGGGCUAGAGGAACGAGAAGCAGAUCGCAGCAAACGACUUGCCGAAGCUUCCCCCGAAGCUACCCCGCCAUCUCAGCGGAGAAGCAGCGUGGCUUCCACCGAGCUGCUUCAGCCAGAGCAUGCCUUGACGGCUCCUGCCAGCUAUCCCGUGGAUGCUAUCACGGAUGCUGAAAAUUGCCACCUUAUGGCGCAAUGGAGCAAUUUGAAGGUCAAGGCGGCUGUUGGCUCUGUUUAUCCUACUAAACCCGACUCAACUUUUCACUGCCGGCCGAUUCAAGAAGGAUAUGCUAAGGUGAUGGUCGAUGAAAUAAUGGAGGGAUUUGAGGACCUUCGGCUUGACCACCCUACCGAACUGGACGCCUCCGCCUCCUCCGCCUCCUCCGGCGAGUCAGUGCACUCCGCCUCCUCCAUCGCCUCCUCCUUCGGCGAGUGACGAUCAGGGCACUCGGCCGGCUCCUUCUCCGUCGCGUGGUGGCACUCCGCCUCCUUCUCCGCCUGCGCCGGCGCGCCCGAGCAGCCAGCCUCCUCCUUCUCCGCCUCGUCAGCAAGGGCGGAAGAGACCCGCCGCCGCUCCGGCUGCUCCGGCGCGUCGUAGUCCUUCUCCUCCGCCUCGUAAGCAAGGAAAGAAGACAUCCGCUCCGUCUGCUCGGCAGGCGUCUAGCAGUACAGCCAAAGGCGGGAGGAGAUACAGAUUCGGUCCUUCUCUGAAGACUCCAGAGAAGUUACCGUACGAGAGGAGCGAGGAGGAAAACGCGAAGAUCACGCAGACCGAAGUGGAUGACUGGUUUCAAGGGUUGAAAGCAAAGAGACAUCCACCUCCGGAGGAGAAGGUAGAUCCGGUGAAAGCGAAGCGCACUCUGGCUGCCCUAACAAAACCACCCAAGUCUCCGCCGAAAGGCAACUAUGAGCGCAUUAUUGGAAAGGCAUUUGUCGAAGCGGAGAGGUCGGGAAGUACUAAAAGUGAUCAAAGGAUGAAAGAACGACGAGCUGGGAAACAAAUUGCCCAGCUCAGCGAACAAGCGAAGCAAUCAUGCCCCCCGCUCAAGGUGCAUGCUAGCGACAUCGUCGAUCCGAGGAUGGUGCCCGGUUACGGCAAUCCUGCAGAUUACCUGCCCGACGAUGUACAUUAUGAUUUCUUGGAGGUGCAGAUACAAAGAUACGAGUACGGGAAGCCUCUCGUCAAAUAUGAAAGUUCUCUAUCAAUGAUGAUGCGAAGGUUGCAUGACUGGUACAUGAAAACCUGCAAAGAGUCUGAGGGGAGGAGUACUUUGUAUGUGAGAGUUAAAAAGGAGCAUGACCUCCUUGGAAUUGAACUGUUGCCUAUUCCAUUUGAGGAGUUCUAUCAGUUUUUCAAUCAAUUGGCCAUCGAUAAAGCAACGGUCACCUGCUACUGUCUGUAAGUAGUACUACUUCUGUCAUUAAGUCUCUCUAUAUAACUCAGCCCUUUCAUUGCAUGUAUUUAUAAUUAUCCUCACUAUAUUAUGCAGAUUGAAGAUCGCCGAAUUGAAGAAAAGACAAGUGGGAGAUAUUGGGUUCAUUAACACAUAUCUCAUAGAUGCAACUGAGGUUCAAUAUCGUGCCCAAGAAAACGAGGACAACUUGCUAUGAUCGUCGGAAAUAAAUGAACACAAAGAUAUAAUACUCUUUCCUUACAACUUCAAGUGAGUGUUACUGUCUUGUGGCAUAUUCGGUUUCCUUAUUAGUCCAGGUUAUAAUAAUGUAAUAUUGAUGAGUUAUGCAUGUGUGCGCAGCUACCACUAUAUUCUCCUAGAGAUUAAGCUUGAGAAGGGAGUAGUAACUGUCUUAGACUCCAAGCGAAAAGAUCCCAAGGAGUAUGCGGACAUGACUGAAAUGCUCGAGAAGUAAGUUAAAUCGAUCAUUAUCCACCAUAUCAGCAACUUUGUUCAUUUCUAAUAUCAAGUAAUUGUUUUCUUUGUAUGGCAGGGCUUGGAGAAAAUUCACCAAAAAAGCUCCGGGACUACCGAAGAAGCUGCAAUUUAGGCACCCGAAAGUAAGUACUAUAUAGUAGCAUAUUCCAUGCAUCUCCUAGUGAUUCAAGCGCUAGUUUCAUCAAUACCAUUUAGCUUGCUUGCUAAUUAUCAGUUUGAUUGACCUCUAUUUCUUGUAAAGUGGUUGUGGCAGGAACAAGGGAAUGAUUUCUGUGGAUACUACAUUUGCGAGUCCAUCCGCCACACGACCUGUGAGCGGGGCUACUCCGACAAACAAUAUGAAGUGCGUAAAUAACAAUAUUCACAAUUUUAUUUUAUUACCAUCAUUUGUGUUGAGUUUCAUUCAUUCAUAUAUAUAUAUAUAUAUAUAUAUAUAUAUAUGUAUUGACCCCCUUCUUAAAAUUAGAUGUUUCGGAUGCGGGAUGAACUCCUAGCACCAGAUCGCAUGCGAGCAAUUCAAGAGGAAUUGGCGGCAUUAUUUCUUGACCACGUGAUAGCUGAAGACGGAGAAUACUAUGUGGACCACGCGUCCGUAUGUUAGGAGAUUAUAUAUUUGUAAAAGAUAAUUAUUGUAUAUAUGUAGCCAGUAGUGUCGGAUAGAUAUACGAGAACUUGUUGUUCGACCAAUCUCUCGGAGAAGGAGAGGUGGUUGAUAUCACUUCUCUCUGUAUGCAUAUAUGUUCAUGACGAUCUUCUGUUUGCUUACAAGCUAGCUAGCGUGUCUAGCUAGUCCUCUCUAUACGUAUGUAUGGUACGUAGCGUCGACCAAGCACGGACAAAAGAGAGGACACUUCUCUCUAUUAAUUAGCUAGCUAUAGCACAAUAUAUGAAACACCUAAAUUNNNNNNNNNNNNNNNNNNNNNNNNNNNNNNNNNNNNNNNNNNNNNNNNNNNNNNNNNNNNNNNNNNNNNNNNNNNNNNNNNNNNNNNNNNNNNNNNNNNNNNNNNNNNNNNNNNNNNNNNNNNNNNNNNNNNNNNNNNNNNNNNNNNNNNNNNNNNNNNNNNNNNNNNNNNNNNNNNNNNNNNNNNNNNNNNNNNNNNNNNNNNNNNNNNNNNNNNNNNNNNNNNNNNNNNNNNNNNNNNNNNNNNNNNNNNNNNNNNNNNNNNNNNNNNNNNNNNNNNNNNNNNNNNNNNNNNNNNNNNNNNNNNNNNNNNNNNNNNNNNNNNNNNNNNNNNNNNNNNNNNNNNNNNNNNNNNNNNNNNNNNNNNNNNNNNNNNNNNNNNNNNNNNNNNNNNNNNNNNNNNNNNNNNNNNNNNNNNNNNNNNNNNNNNNNNNNNNNNNNNNNNNNCGCGUGGAUGCCUAUUGGUCCCGGUUGGUGCCACCAACCGGGACCAAAGGCCCUCCUGCCUGGGCUCAGCGGGCAGGCCACGUGGAGGCCCAUCUGUCCCGGUUCUGGAUUGAACCGGGACUAAAGGGUCAGGGCAUUAGUACCGACCCUUUAGUCCCGGUUCAUGAACCGGGACUAAAGGCCCUCACCAACCAGGACUAUAGGCCCUUUUUCUACUAGUGCAUAGACCACAACAUGUCCCUAGUAAGCCUCUAGUUGACUAGCUCGUUGAUUAACAGAUAGUCAUGGUUUCCUGAUAUGGACAUUGGAUGUCAUUGAUAACGAGAUCACAUCAUUAGGAGAAUGAUGUGAUGGACAAGACCCAAUCCUAAGCAUAGCACAAGAUAGUGUAGUUCGUUUGCUAGAGCUUUUCCAAUGUCAAGUAUCUUUUCCUUAGACCAUGAGAUCGUGUAACUCCCGGAUACCGUAGGAGUGCUUUGGGUGUACCAAACGUCACAACGUAACUGGGUGACUAUAAAGGUAUAUACGGGUAUCUCUGAAAGUGUUUGUUGGGUUAACACGGAUCGAGACUGGGAUUUGUCACUCCGUAUGACGGAGAGGUAUCUCUGGGCCCACUCGGUAAUGCAUCAUCAUAAUGAGCUCAAAGUGACCAAGUGUUUGGUCACGGGAUCAUGCAUUACGGUACGAGUAAAGUCACUUGCCGGUAACGAGAUUGAACGAGGUAUUGGGAUACCGACGAUCGAAUCUCGGGCAAGUAACGUACCGAUUGACAAAGGGAAUUGUAUACGGGGUUGCUUGAAUCCUCGACAUCGUGGUUCAUCCGAUGAGAUCAUUGAGGAGCAUGUGGGAGCCAACAUGGGUAUCCAGAUCCCGUUGUUGGUUAUUGACCGGAGAGUCGUCUCGGUCAUGUCUACGUGUCGCCCGAACCCGUAGGGUCUACACACUUAAGGUUCGGUGACGCUAGGGUUGUAGAGAUAUGAGUGUGCAGCAAACCGAAAGUUGUUCGGAGUCCCGGAUGAGAUCCCGGACGUCAUGAGGAGUUCCAGAAUGGUUCGGAGGUAAAGAAUUAUAUAUGGGAAGUCGAGUUUCGGCCAUCAGGAAAGUUUCGGGGGUCACCGGUAUUGUAACGGGACCACCGGAAGGGUCCCGGGGGUCCACCGGGUGGGGCCACCUAUCCCGGAGGGCCCCAUGGGCUGAAAUGGGAGGGGAACCAGCCCCUGGUGGGCUGGUGCGCCCCCCCUUGGCCCCCCUGCGCCUAGGGAUGGGAACCGUAGGGGAGGGGGCGCCUCCACUUGCCUUGGGGGGCAAGGCACCCCCCUUGGCCGCCGCCCCCCCUAGGAGAUCCCAUCUCCGAGGGCCGGCGCCCCCCUGGGGACCCUAUACAUAGAGGGGGAGGGAGGGCAGCCGCACCCUUGCACUUGGCGCCUCCCUUCCCCCUUGCUACACCUCUCCUCCUCCGUAGAGCUCGGCGAAGCCCUGCUGAGAUUCCUGCUGCAUCCACCACCACGCCGUCGUGCUGCUGGAUAUCCAUCAACCUCUCCUUCCCCCCUUGCUGGAUCAAGAAGGAGGAGACGUCUUCCCCAACCGUACGUGUGUUGAACGCGGAGGUGCCGUCCGUUCAGCUCUCGGUCAUCGGUGAUUUGGAUCACGACGAGUACGACUCCCUCAACCCCGUUCUCUUGAACGCUUCCGCUCACGAUCUACAAAGGUAUGUAGAUGCACUCCUAUCACUCGUUGCUAGAUGAACUCAUAGAUAGAUCUUGGUGAAACCGUAGAAGAAUUUUUAUUUUCCCCAACGUUCUCUAUGCAUGAGUAGAACACAAUUUGUUGUGGGCGUAGAUGUUGUCAACUUUCUUGCCGCUACUAGUCUUAUUUUGCUUCAGCGGUAUUGUGGGAUGAAGCGGCCCGGACCGACCUUACACGUAUGCUUACAUGAGACAGGUUCCACCGACUGACAUGCACUAGUUGCAUAAGGUUGCUAGCGGGUGUCUGUCUCUCCCACUUUAGUUGGAGCGGAUACGAUGAAAAGGGUCCUUAUGAAGGGUAAAUAGAAGUUGACAAAUCACGUUGUGUCUUUUUCGUAGGUAAGAAAACGUUCUUGCUAGAACCCUAUUGCAGCCACGUAAAAGAUGCAACAACAAUUAGAGGACGUCUAACUUGUUUUUGCAGCAAUUGCCUUGUGAUGUGAUAUGGCCAAAAGUUGUGAUGAAUGAUGAAUGAUAUAUUGUGAUGUAUGAGAUCAUGUUCUUGUAAUAGGAAUCACGACUUGCAUGUCGAUGAGUAUGACAACCGGCAGGAGCCAUAGGAGUUGUCUUAAUUAUUGUAUGACCUGCGUGUCAAUGAUUUAACGCCAUGUAAUUACUUUACUUUAUUGCUAAACCGUUAGCUAUAGUAGUAGAAGUAAUAGUUGGUGAGCAACUUCAUGGAGACACGAUGAUGGAGAUCAUGGUGUCAUGCCGGUGACAAGAUGAUCAUGGAGCCCCAAGAUGGAGAUCAAAGGAGCUAUAUGAUAUUGGCCAUAUCAUGUCACUAUUAUUUGAUUGCAUGUGAUGUUUAUCAUGUUUUUCCAUCUUGUUUACUUAGAACGACGGUAGUAAAUAAGAUGAUCCCUCAUAAUAAUUUGAAGAAAGUGUUCCCCCUAACUGUGCGCCGUUGCGACAAUUCAUUGUUUCGAAGCACCACGUGAUUAUCGGGUGUGAUAGAUUCUAACGAUCACAUACAACGGGUGUAAGACAGAUUUACACAUGCAAAACACUUAGGUUAACUUGAUGAGCCUAGCAUGUACAGACAUGGCCUCGGAACACAAGAGAUCGAAAGGUCGAACAUGAGUCGUAUGAAAGAUACGAUCAAGAUGGAGAUGUUCACCGAUGAUGACUAGUCCGUAUCACGUGAUGAUCGGACACGGCCUAGUCGACUCUGAUCAUGUAACACUUAGAUGACUAGAGGGAUGUCUAAUCUGAGUGGGAGUUCAUUAAUUAAUUUGACGAGAUGAACUUAAUUAUCAUGAACUUGGUCUAAAGUCUUUGCAAAAUGUCUUGUAGAUCAUGUCAACAUGAACUUCAACGCGUUCCUAGAGAAAACCAAGCUGAAAGAUGAUGGCAGCAACUAUACGGACUGGGUCCGGAACAUGAGGAUCGUCCUCAUAGCUGCCAAGAAAGCAUAUGUCCUAGAAGGACCGCUAGGUGAAGCACCCAUCCCAGAGAACCAAGACGUUAUGAAUGCUUGGCAGUCACGUACUGAUGAUUACUCCCUCGUUCAGUGCGGCAUGCUUUACAGCUAGAACCAGGGCUCCAAAAGCGUUUUGAGCGACACGGAGCAUAUGAGAUGUUCGAGGAGCUGAAAAUGGUUUUCCAAGCUCACGCUCGGGUCGAGAGAUAUGAAGUCUCUGACAAGUUCUAUAGUUGUAAGAUGGAGGAAAAUAGUUCUGUCAGUGAGCACAUACUCAAAAUGUCUGGGUUGCACAACCGCCUGUCCCAGCUGGACAUUAACCUCCCGGACGAGGCGGUCAUUGACAGAAUCCUUCAGUCGCUCCCACCGAGCUACAAGAGCUUUGUGAUGAACUACAAUAUGCAGGGGAUGGUGAAAACUAUUCCUGAAGUAUUUUCAAUGCUGAAAUCAGCAGAGGUAGAAAUCAAGAAGGAACAUCAAGUGUUGAUGGUCAAUAAAACCACUAAGUUCAAGAAGGGCAAGGGUAAGAAAAACUUCAAGAAGGACGGCAAGGAUGUUGCCGCGCCCAGUAAGCCUGUUGCCGGGAAGAAGUAAAAGAAUGGACCCAAGCCUGAGACUGAGUGCUUUUAUUGCAAAGGGAAGGGUCACUCGAAGCGGAACUGCCCCAAAUACUUAGCGGACAAGAAGGCCGGCAACACUAAAGGUAUAUGUGAUAUACAUGUAAUUGAUGUGUACCUUACCAGUGCUCGUAGUAGCUCCUGGGUAUUUGAUACCGGUGCCGUUUCUCAUAUUUGUAACUCAAAGCAGGAGCUGCGGAAUAAGCGGAGACUGGCGAAGGGCGAGGUGACGAUGCGCGUCGGGAAUGGUUCCAAGGUCGAUGUGAUCACCGUUGGCACGCUACCUCUACAUUUACCUACGGGAUUAGUUUUAAACCUCAAUAAUUGUUAUUUAGUGCCAAGUUUGAGCAUGAACAUUGUAUCAGGAUCUCGUUUAAUACGAGAUGGCUACUCAUUUAAAUCCGAGAAUAAUGGUUGUUCUAUUUAUAUGAGAGAUAUGUUUUAUGGUCAUGCUCCGAUGGUCAAUGGUUUAUUCUUAAUGAAUCUCGAACGUGAUGUUACACAUAUUCAUAGUGUGAAUACCAAAAGAUAUAAAGUUGAUAACGAUAGUCCCACAUACUUGUGGCACUGCCGCCUUGGUCACAUUGGUGUCAAGCGCAUGAAGAAGCUCCAUGCUGAUGGACUUUUAGAGUCUCUCGAUUAUGAAUCAGUUGACACAUGCGAACCAUACCUUAUGGGCAAAAUGGCCAAGACUCCGUCCUCCGGAACAAUGGAGCGAGCAACAAACUUAUUGGAAAUCAUACAUGCUGAUGUGUGCGGUCCAAUGAGCGUUGAGGCUCGCGGAGGAUAUCGUUAUGUUCUCACUCUUACUGAUGACUUAAGUAGAUAUGGGUAUGUCUACUUGAUGAAACACAAGUCUGAGACCUUUGAAAAGUUCAAGGAAUUUCAGAAUGAGGUAGAGAAUCAACGUGACCGGAAAAUAAAGUUCUUACAAUCAGAUCGUGGAGGAGAAUAUUUAAGUCACGAAUUUGGCACACACUUAAGGAAAUGUGGAAUCAUUUCACAACUCACGCCGCCUGGAACACCUCAGCGUAACGGUGUGUCCGAACAUCGUAAUCGCACUCUAUUGGAUAUGGUGCGAUCUAUGAUGUCUCUUACUGAUUUACUGCUAUCAUUUUGGGGAUACGCUCUAGAGACCGCUAUAUUCACUUUAAAUAGGGCAUCGUCUAAAUCCGUUGAGACGACACCGUAUGAAUUAUGGUUUGGGAAGAAACCUAAGCUGUCGUUUCUAAAAGUUUGGGGAUGCGAUGCUUAUGUCAAGAAACUUCAACCUGAAAAGCUCGAACCCAAGUCAGAAAAAUGCGUCUUCAUAGGAUACCCUAAGGAAACCAUUGGGUAUACCUUCUACCUUAGAUCCGAAGGCAAGAUCUUUGUUGCCAAGAACGGAUCCUUUCUGGAAAAAGAGUUUCUCUCGAAAGGAAUAAGUGGGAGGAAAGUAUAACUCGAUGAAGUACUACCUCUUGAACCGGAAAGUAGUGCAGCUCAGGAAAAUGUUCCUGUGGUGCCUACACCGACUGGAGAGGAAAUUAAUGAUGAUGAUCAAGGUACUUCGAAUCAAGUUGCUACUGAACUUCGUAGGUCCACAAGGACACGUUCCACACCAGAGUGGUAUGGCAACCCUGUCCUGGAAAUCAUGUUGUUAGACAACGGUGAACCUUCGAACUAUGAAGAAGCGAUGGCGGUCCCAGAUUCCAACAAAUGGCUUGAAGCCAUGCAAUCCGAGAUAGGAUCCAUGUAUGAAAACAAAGUAUGGACUUUGAUAGACUUGCCCGAUGAUCGGCGAGCGAUAGAAAACAAAUGGAUCUUUAAGAAGAAGACGGACGCGGAUGGUAAUGUUACCAUCUAUAAAGCUCUACUUGUCGCUAAGGGUUAUCGACAAGUUCAAGGGGUUAACUACGAUGAGACUUUCUCUCCCAUAGCGAAGCUGAAGUCCGUCCGAAUCAUGUUAGCAAUUGCCGCAUACUAUCAUUAUGAGAUAUGGCAAAUGGACGUCAAAACGGCAUUCCUUAACGGCUAUCUUAAGGAAGAACUGUAUAUGAUGCAGCCGGAAGGUUUUGUCGACCCUAAGAAUGCUAACAAGGUAUGCAAGCUCCAGCGAUCCAUUUAUGGGCUGGUGCAAGCAUUUCGGAGUUGGAACAUUCGCUUUUAUGAGAUGAUCAAAGCGUUUGGGUUUAUGGAGACUUAUGGAGAAGCCUGCGUUUACAAGAAAGUGAGUGGGAGCUCUGUAGCAUUUCUCAUAUUAUAUGUAGAUGACAUACUUUUGAUGGGAAAUGAUAUAGAACUUUUGGACAGCAUUAAGGCCUACUUGAAUAAGAGUUUUUCAAUGAAGGACCUUGGAGAAGCUGCUUAUAUAUUAGGCAUCAAGAUCUAUAGAGAUAGAUCGGGACGCCUCAUAGGUCUUUCACAAAGCACAUACCUUGAUAAGAUAUUGAAGAAGUUCAAUAUGGAUCAGUCUAAGAAGGGGUUCUUGCCUGUGUUGCAAGGUGUGAAAUUGAGCUCGGCUCAAUGUCCGACCACGGCAGAAGAUAUAGAAGAGAUGAGUGUCAUCCCCUAUGCUUCAGCCAUAGGGUCUAUUAUGUAUGCCAUGAUGUGUACCAGACCUGAUGUAAACCUUGCCGUAAGUUUGGUAGGAAGGUACCAAAGUAAUCCCGGCAAGGAACACUGGACAGCGGUCAAGAAUAUCCUGAAGUACCUGAAAAGGACUAAGGACAUGUUUCUCGUUUAUGGAGGUGACGAAGAGCUCGUCGUAAAGGGUUACGUCGACGCUAGCUUCGACACAGAUCUGGAUGACUCUAAGUCACAAAACGGAUACGUGUAUAUGUUGAAUGGUGGAGCAGUAAGCUGGUGCAGCUGCAAGCAGAGCAUCGUGGCGGGAUCUACAUGUGAAGCGGAGUACAUGGCAGCCUCGGAGGCAGCGCAUGAAGCAAUUUGGGUGAAGGAGUUCAUCACCGACCUAGGAGUCAUACCCAAUGCGUCGGGGCCGAUCAAACUCUUUUGUGACAACACUAGAGCUAUUGCACUUGACAAGGAGCCCAGGUUUCACAAGAAGACCAGGCACAUCAAGCGUCGCUUCAACUCCAUUUGUGAAAAUGUUCAAGAUGGAGACAUAGAAAUUUGCAAAGUGCAUACGGAUCUGAAUGUCGCAGAUCCGUUGACUAAACCUCUUCCGCGAGCAAAACAUGAUCAACACCACAACUCUAUGGGUGUUUGAUUCAUCACAAUGUAACUAGAUUAUUGACUCUAGUGCAAGUGGGUGACUGUUGGAAAUAUUCCCUAGAGGCAAUAAUAAAAGGAUUAUUAUUAUAUUUCCUUGUUCAUGAUAAUUGUCUUUUAUUCAUGCUAUAAUUGUAUUAUCCAGAAAUCGUAAUACACGUGUGAAUACAUAGACCACAACAUGUCCCUAGUAAGCCUCUAGUUGACUAGCUCGUUGAUCAACAGAUAGUCAUGGUUUCCUGAGUAUGGACAUUGGAUGUCAUUGAUAAUGAGAUCACAUCAUUAGGAGAAUGAUGUGAUGGACAAGACCCAAUCCUAAGCAUAGCACAAGAUCGUGUAGUUCGUUUGCUAGAGCUUUUCCAAUGUCAAGUAUCUUUUCCUUAGACCAUGAGAUCGUGUAACUCCCGGAUACCGUAGGAGUGCUUUGGGUGUACCAAACGUCGCAACGUAACUGGGUGACUAUAAAGGUAUACUACGGGUAUCUCCAAAAGUGUCUGUUGGGUUGACACUGAUCGAGACUGGGAUUUGUCACUCCGUAUGACGGAGAGGUAUCUCUGGGCCCACUCGGUAAUGCAUCAUCAUAACGAGCUCAAAGUGACCAAGUGUUUGGUCACAGGAUCAUGCAUUACGGUACGAGUAAAGUCACUUGCCGGUAACAAGAUUGAACGAUCGAAUCUCGGGCAAGUAACGUACCGAUUGACAAAGGGAAUUGUAUACGGGGUUGCUUGAAUCCUCGACAUCGUGGUUCAUCCAAUGAGAUCAUCGAGGAGCAUGUGGGAGCCAACAUGGGUAUCCAGAUCCCGCUGUUGGUUAUUGACCAAAGAGUCGUCUCGGUCAUGUCUACGUGUCUCCCAAACCCAUAGGGUCUACACACUUAAGGUUCGGUGACGCUAGGGUUGUAGAGAUAUGAGUAUGAAGCAAACCGAAAGUUGUUCGGAGUCCCGGAUGAGAUCCCGGACGUCACAGGAGUUCCGGAAUGGUCCGGAGGUAAAGAAUUAUAUAUGGGAAGUGGAGUUUCAGCCGUCGGGAAAGUUUCGGGGGUCACCGGUAUUGUACCGGGACCACCGGAAGGGUCCCGGGGGUCCACCGGGUGGGGCCACCUAUCCCGGAGGGCCCUAUGGGCUGAAGUGGGAGGGGAACCAGCCCCUGGUGGGCUGGUGCGCCCCCCCUUGGGCCCCCCCUGCGCCUAGGGAUGGGAACCCUAGGGGAGGGGGCGCCUCCACUUGCCUUGGGGGGCAAGGCACCCCCCUAGGCCGCCGCCCCCCUAGGGACCCUAUAUAUAGAGGGGGGGAGGGAGGGCAGCCGCACCCUUGCACUUGGCGCCUCCCUUCCCCCUUGCUACACCUCUCCUCCUCCGUAGAGCUCGGCGAAGCCCUGCUGAGAUUCCUGCUGCAUCCACCACCACGCCGUCGUGCUGCUGGAUCUCCAUCAACCUCUCCUUCCCCCUUGCUGGAUCAAGAAGGAGGAGACGUCUUCACCAACCGUACGUGUGUUGAACGCGGAGGUGCCGUCCUUUCGGCACUCGGUCAUCGGUGAUUUGGAUCACGACGAGUACGACUCCCUCAACCCCGUUCUCUUGAACGCUUCCGCUUGCGAUCUACAAAGGUAUGUAGAUGCACUCCUAUCACUCGUUGCUAGAUGAACUCAUAGAUAGAUCUUGGUGAAACCGUAGGAAAUUUUUUAUUUUCUGCAACGUUCCCCAACAGACACCACACUGGAGAUAGAACUGCACACAAGGUAUUGCAAUCCGUUUUUUAUUGGCCUACUCUCUUCAAAGAUGCUCGUAAGUUUUUCUUGUCUUGUGAUGAAUGUCAAAGAAUUGGUAAUAUUAGUAGACGUCAAGAAAUGCCUAUGAACUAUUCUCUUGUUAUUGAACCAUUUGAUGUUUGGGGCUUUGAUUAUAUGGGACCUUUUCCUGCCACUAAUGGUUACACACAUAUUUUAGUUGCUGUUGAUUACGUUACUAAGUGGGUAGAAGGUAUUCCAACUAGUAGUGUUGAUCAUAACACUUCUAUUAAAAUGCUUAAAGAAGUUAUUUUUCUGAGGUUUGGAGUCCCUAGAUAUCUUAUGACUGAUGGUGGUUCACAUUUUAUUCAUGGUGCUUUCCGUAAGAUGCUUGCUAAGUAUGAUGUUAAUCAUAGAAUCGCAUCUCCUUAUCACCCACACAAUUUAGUGGUCAAGUAGAGUUGAGCAAUAGAGAGCUCAAAUUAAUUUUGCAAAAGACUGUUAAUAAAUCUAAAAAGAAUUGGUCCAAGAAGCUUGAUGAUGCAUUAUGGGCCUAUAGAACUGCAUAUAAAUAUCCUAUGGGUAUGUCUCCAUAUAAGAUGGUUUAUGGAAAAGCUUGUCAUUUACCUCUAGAACUUGAACAUAAAGCAUAUUGGGCUAUCAAAGAGCUCAACUAUGACUUCAAACUUGCCGGUGAGAAGAGGUUGUUGAUAUUAGCUCACUUGAUGAAUGGAGAACACAAGCCUAUGAGAAUGCCAAGCUAUUUAAAGAAAAAGUCAAAUGUUGGCAUGACAAAAGGAUACAAAAGCAUGACAAAGGUGAUUAUGUGUUAUUAUUCAACUCUCGUUUAAUAUUUUUUGCAGGAAAACUUCUCUCUAAAUGGGAAGGCCCUUACGUUAUCGAGGAGGUCUAUCGUUCGGGUGCCAUAAAAAUCAACAACUUCGAAGGCACAAGUCCGAGGGUGGUGAACGGUCAAAGAAUCAAACAUUAUAUCUUACGUAAUCCUAUCAAUGUUGAAACUAAUAUCAUUGAAACCGUAACCCCGGAGGAAUACAUAAGGGACACUUUCUAGAACAUUCCAGACUCCGAAAAGGAAUAGGUAUGUGGUACGGUAAGUAAACCGACUCCAAAACAUUUCUAUUGGCAAUUUUUAUCAGUUUUGGAAUAUUUAAGAAUUUUAGGAAGAAAGAAGUAGUCCGGGAAGGACACGAGGCCUCCACGAGGGUGGAGGGCGCGCCCACCCUUACUGGGCGUGCCCCCCUGUCUCGUGGCCACCUCGUGUGCCUCCCGGACUCCUUUUUCUUGCACGUUACAUAUUUUGGUUGGUAAAAAUUCAUUAUAUAAACUCCCGAAGGUUUUGACCACCGUAUCACGCAAAAAUACUCUGUUUUCGUUGCGAGCUGUUUCUGUUAUAGAUUUAGAGCAAGAUGUCUUCUCAAGAGUCAGUUGGGGAGAGUCGGGUGCCUCACCCGACACUAGGUCCAGGAGCAAAAAGCGAUGCUUAUCACUUUGGACCAUCAACGGAGGAUGAGAUGGAGGCCGACUUGAAAAGGAUAGAUGCCAUGGAGGAAGAUCAAGAAGUCACCUCCUGCUUUCAAGCAGGAUUCAUAAUGGGGGAACUACAGAGCUCGGUUGUUCCAAAUUUGGUCAUCCCUUCCAAUGCUAAGUUUCUUACUUAUGAAAAUAUGAAAAAGAGUGUUACUUGUUCUCCACAAGCUAUGCAGCACCCUUGUGUAAAAGGAGCUUUAGCAAUAGCAGGCAAGAUCCGCAAGGAAAAUAUGAACCUCAAGCAACAAGUCAAUAAGCUCGAGGAGGAGAAUCGUAUCCUGAGGGGAAUUAUCGCCGAAAAGAUAACAACACCAACUUUGAAGAAGGAGACAUAAUCACUUGGGUAUGGGCACUCCCCUUGGCAACUGCCGAGCUUGGGGGAGGUGUUGCGGUAUCGUAUCACCAUCACACUCCUAUCUUUACCGUUUUAUUUAGUUCGAUCCUUUUUAGUAGUAUCUUGAUCUAGUAGAUUGAAGUUUUGAUAUCAAGUAGUUUUGAGUUUUGCUUUGUGAUCUCUUUAUGUAAUCGAGCCCAUGAGCUAUCUAUAAUAAAGAUUAGUGUUGAGUCAAGGGCUUUGCUAUCUUGCUAUGAUCUUAAGAAAAAUAGAAAGAAUAAAAAGAAUAAAGAGUUCAUAUUGAUCUUAUGGAUAGUAAUGACUUCACACAUAGAAAGUAUGACGCAUAAAAGUUGUUGAGAGUUGAUAAACGUAGUUUUGGUCAUCGUUACAAUUAAUAGGAAGUAAUAAGGAAAGAGAGGUUUCACAUAUAAAUAUACUAUCUUGGACAUAUUUUAUGAUUGUGAGCACUCAUUAAGUAUGACAUGCUCAAAGAGUCGACGUUGGACAAGGAAGACAACGUAAUGGUUUAUGUUUUCUAACAUCUCAGUUAAAGUAUAUUUUCAUUGACCUUCCGAACAUGUUGAGCUUGCCUUUCCCCCUCAUGCUAGCCAAAUCCUAGCACCAAGUAGAGAUACUGCUUGUGCUUCCAAAUAUCCUUAAACCCAGUCUUGCCAUGAGAGUCCACCAUAUCUAGCUAUGGAUUGAGUAAGAUCCUUCAAGUAAGUUGUCAUCAGUGCAAGCAAUCAAAAUUGCUCUCUAAAUAUGCAUGACUUAUUAGUGCGGAGAAAAUAAGCUUUAUAGGAUCUUGUUAUGGAAGCAAUAAAAGCGACGAACUGCAUAAUAAACGUCCAUACACAAGUGGCAAUAUAAAGUGACGUUCUUUCGCAUUAAAAUUUUGUGUAUCAAACCCUAAAAGCGCAUGACAACCUCUGCUUCCCUCUGCGAAGGGCCUAUCUUUUACUUUAUGUUUUUACUUUAUGCUUGAGUCAAGGUGAUCUUCACCUUUCCCUUUUUCAUUUUAUCCUUUGGCAAGCUCCUCGUGUUUGAAAGAUCAUGAUAUAUAUAUCCAAUUGGAAGUUCGUUAGCAUGGACUAUUAUUGUUGACAUCACCUAAAGGUGAAUACGUUGGGAGGCAACACAAUAAGCCCCUAUCUUUCUCAGUGUCCGGCUGAAACUCCAUAACCACAAGUAUUGCAUGAGUGUUAGCAAGAAGACUAUAUGAUAGUCGAGUAUGUGGACAUGCUGAAAAGCUCUAUUCUUGACUCUUUUUGAUGUUACGAUAAAUUGCAAUUGCUUCAAUGACUGAGAUUAUAGUUUGUUAGCUUUCAAUGAAGUAUCUGAACCAUACUUGACAUUGUGAAUUGAUUGUUACUUGAGCAUGAGAAGUCAUAUGACAAAAUCUAUUGAUGUUGCUGUUAUAAGAAUAAUCAUGAUGCCCUCAUGUCCGUUUUUUAUUUUUAAUAACACCUCUAUCUCUAAACAUGUGGACAUAUUUUUCGAUUUCGGCUUCUGCUUGAGGACAAGCGAGGACUAAGCUUGGGGGAGUUGAUACGUCCAUUUUGCAUCAUGCUUUUAUAUCAAUAUUUAUUGCAUUAUGUGCUGUUAUUACACAUUAUAAAUCAAUACUUAUGGCUAUUCUCUCUUAUUUUAUAAGGUUUACCAUGAAGAUGGGGAAUGCCGGCAGCUGGAAUUCUGGCUGGAAAUGGAGCAAACAUUGGAAACCUAUUCUGCACUGCUCCAAAAGACCUGAAACUCCACGAAACUUAUUUUUCGAAUUAAUGAGAAUUAUUGAGCGGAAGAAACACCUCAGGGGGCCCACACCCUGGCCAGGAGGGUGGGGGGCGCGCCCAGUGGGCGCGCCCCCUGGUGGCCCUCCGGUAUCCAUCUUCUGCUAUAUGAAGGAUUUUACCCUGGAAAAAAUCAUGGGCAAGCUUACGGGACGAAACUGCGCCGCCACGAGGCGGAACCUUGGCGGAACCAACUGGGCGCGCCCCCUGGUGGCCCUCCGGUAUCCAUCUUCUAUUAUAUGAAGGAUUUUACCCUGGAAAAAAUCAUGGGCAAGCAUACGGGACGAAACUCCGCCGCCAUGAGGCGGAACCUUGGCGGUACCAAUCUAGAGCUCCGGCAGAGCUGUUCUGGCAUGGACACUUCCCUCCGGGAGGGGGAAACCAUCACCAUCAUCAUCACCAACGAUCCUCCCAUCGGGAGAGGGUCAAUCUCCAUCAACAUCUUCACCAGCACCAUCUCCUCUCAAACCCUAUUUCAUCUCUUGUAUCCAAUCUUGUAUCCAAAACCACAAAUUGGUACCUAUGGGUUGCUAGUAGUGUUGAUUAUUCCUUGUAGUUGAUGCUUAUUGGUUUACUUGGUGGAAGAUCAUAUGUUCAGAUCCUUAAUGCAUAUUAUUACUCCUCUGAUUAUGAACAUGAAUAUGCUUUGUGAGUAGUUACGUUUGUUCCUGAGGACAUGGGUGAAGUCUUGCUAUUAGUAGUCAUGUGAAUUUGGUAUUCGUUCGAUAUUUUGAUGAGAUGUAUGUUGUAUUUGCUCUAGUGGUGUUAUGUGAACGUCGACUACAUGACACUUCACCAUUAUUUGGGCCUAGAGUAAGGCAUUGGGAAGUAAUAAGUAGAUGAUGGGUUGCUAGAGUGACGGAAGCUUAAACCCUAGUUUAUGCGUUGCUUCGUAAGGGGCCGAUUUGGAUCCAUAUGUUUAAUGAUGUGGUUAGGUUUACCUUAAUACUUCUUUUGUAGUUGCGGAUGCUUGCAAUAGGGGUUAAUCAUAAGUGGGAUGCUUGUCCAAGUAAGGGCAGUACCCAAGCACCGGUCCACCCACAUAUCAAAUUAUCAAAGUACCGAAAACGAAUCAUAUGAGCGUGAUGAAACUAGCUUGACGAUAAUUCCCAUGUGUCCUCGGGAGCGCUUUUCUCAUUAUGAGAAAUUGUCCAGGCUUGUCCUUUGCUACAAAAAGGAUUGGGCCACGCCACCUUGCUGCACUUUAUUUACUUUCGUUGCUUGUUACUCUUUACAAUUUAUCUUAUCACAAAACUAUCUAUCACCUACAAUUUCAGAGCUUGCAGAGAAAACCUUACUAAAAACCGCUUAUUAUUUCCUUCUGCUCCUCGUUGGGUUCGGCACUCUUACUUAUCGAAAGGACUACGAUAGAUCCCCUACACUUGUGGGUCAUCAUUGAUCAUUCAUGCUUCACUUAGAACAUCAUGGUAUUUGCUAUGGUUAUAAAUUUGGUCCUAGAAUGAUGAGCAUCCAACUUGGGUAUAAUAAAAACUAUCAUAGAAAGUGCAUUAAAAACUAUGAUCAAUUUGAUGGUUGAUAAUUGUUUUGAGAGAUAAAGGUGGUAAUGUUAGAGUCACGCUAGUUGGGUAAUUAUGAAAUUGAGAAAUACUUGUGUUGAACUUGGCAAGUCCCGUAGCAUGCACGUAUGGUAAAAGUUAUGUAACAAAUUUGUAGCAUGGGGUGCUCUCUGAGUGCUUUCCUUAUGAGUGGCAGUCGGGGACGAGCGAUGGUCUUUUCCUACCAAUCUAACCCUCUAGGUGCAUGUGUAGUAGUACUUUACUUCGAGGGCGAAUAAAUUUUUGCAAUAAGUAUAUGAGUUCUUUAUGACUAAUGUGAGUCCAUGGAUAUAUGCACACUUACCCUUCCACUUUGCUAGCCUCUAUUAUACCGCGCAACCUUCGCCGGUAUCAUGAACCCAUUAUUUACCAUCCUCAAAACAGCCACCAUACCUACCUAUUAUGGCAUUUCCAUAGCCAUUCCGAGAUAUAUUGCCAUGCAACUUUCCAUUGUUUCGUUUAUUAUGACAAGCUCCAUCAUUGUCUCGCUCUUUGCAUGAUCAUGUAGUUGACAUCGUAUUUGUGGCAAGGCCACCUUCAUAAUUUUUCAUACAUGUCACUCUUGAUUCAUUGCAUAUCCCAGUACACUGCCGGAGGCAUUCACAUAGAGCCAUGUCUUGUUCUAAGUAUCGAGUUGUAAUUCUUGAGUUGUAAAUCAAUAAAAGUGUGAUGAUCUUCAUUAUUAGAGCAUUGUCCCAAGUGAGGAAAGGAUGAUGAAGACUACGAUUCCCCCACAAGUCGGGAUGAGACUUCGGACUUUAUAAAAAUAAAAGAGGCCAAAGAAGCCCACCAAAAUAAAAAAAAUGAGAGAAAAAGAGAGAAGGGACAAUGUUACUAUCCUUUUACCACACUUGUGCACCAUGAUCUUCAUGAUAGAGAGUCUCCUAUGUUGCCACUUUCAUAUACUAGUGGGAUUUUUUCAUUAUAGAACUUGGCUUUUAUAUUCCAAUGAUGGGCUUCCUACAAACGCCCUAGGUCUUCAUGAGGAAGCAAGUUGGAUGCACACCCACUUAGUUUCUUUUGUUGAGAUUUCAUAUAUUUAUAGCUCUAGUGCAUCCUUUGCAUGGCAAUCCCUACUCACUCACAUUGAUAUCUUUUAAUGGGUGAUGUCUACUACACAACCUUCUUCUUGUAGACAUUGUUGGGCCUGCACAUGCACAGGUUUGUAGCACAGUAGCAAAUUUCCCUCAAGUGGAUGACCUAAGGUUUAUCAAUCUGUAGGAGGCGUAGGAUGAAGAUGGUCUCUCUCAAACAACCCUGCAAGCAAAUAACAAAGAGUCUCUUGUGUCCCCAACACACCCAAUACAAUGGUAGAUUGUAUAGGUGCACUAGUUCGGCGAAGAGAUGGUGAUACAAAUGCAAUAUGGAUAGUAGAUAAAGGUAUUCGUGAUCUGAAAUUAUAAAAACAGCAAGGUAGCAAGUAACAAAAGUGAGCAUAAACGGUAUUGCAAUGAUAGGAAAUAAGGCCUAGGGUUCAUACUUUCACUAGUGAAAGUUCUCUCAACAAUAAUAACAUAAAUAGAUCAUAUAACAAUCCCUCAAUAUGCAACAAAGAGUCACUCCAAAGCCACUAAUAGCGGAGAACAAACGAGGAGAGUAUGGUAGGGUACGAAACCACCUCAAAGUUAUUCUUUCGGAUCAAUCUAUUCAAGAGAUCGUACUAGAAUAACACCUUAAGACACAAAUCAACCAAAACCCUAAUGUCACCUAGAUACUCCAUUGUCACCUCAAGUAUCCGUGGGCAUGAUUAUACGAUAAGCAUCACAUAAUCUCAGAUUCAUCUAUUCAACCAACACAAAGUACUUCAAGGAGUGCCCCAAAGUUUCUACCGGAGAGUCAAGAACGUCUGCCAACCCCUAUGCAUAGGUUCAUGGGCGGAACCCGCAAGUUGGUCACCAAAACAUACAUCAAGUGGCACAUGAUAUCCCAUUGUCACCACAGAUAAUCACGGAAAAACAUACAUCAAGUGUUCUCAAAUAAAGACUCAAUCCGAUAAGAUAACUUCAAAGGGGAAAACUCAAUCCAUUACAAGAGAGUAGAGGGGGAGAAACAUCAUAAGAUCCAACUAUAAUAGCAAAGCUCGGGAUACAUCAAGAUCGUGCCAUAGAGGGAACACGAGAGAGAACACGAGAGAGAGAGAGAGAGAUCAAACACAUAGCUACUGGUACAUACCCUCAGCCUCGAGGGUGAACUACUCCCUCCUCGUCAUGGAGAGUGCCGGGAUGAUGAAGAUGGCCACCAGUGAAGGAUCCCCCCUCUGACAGGGUGCCGGGAAGGGCUGCCGAGAGGUUUUUGGUGGCUACAGAGGCUUGGGGCGGCGGAACUCCCGAUCUCUCUUGAUAUUCGAUGUUUUUAGGGUACAAGGGAAUAUAUAGGCGAAAGAAGUCAGUCGGGAGGUGCUCGAGGGGCCCAGGAGACAGGGGGCGCGCCCAAUAGGGGGGCGCGCCCUCCUAUCUCGUGGCCUCCUCGAGGGUCUUCUGACGUGAACUCCAAGUCUCCUGGGUGUUAUUCUUCCAAAAAAUCACGUUGCCGAAGGUUUCAUUCCGUUUGGACUCCAUUUGAUAUUCCUAUUCUUCGAAAUACUGAAACAGGCAAUAAAACAGCAAUAUGGGUUGGGCCUCCGGUUAAUAGGUUAGUCCCAAAAGUAAUAUAAAAGUGUAUAAUAAAGCCCAUAAUCAUUCAAAACAGGUAAUAAAAUAGCAUGAAUGCUUCAUAAAUUAUAGAUACAUUGGAGACGUAUCAGCAUCACCAAGCUUAAUUCCUACUCGUCCUCGAGUAGGUAAAUGAUAAAGAAAGAAUUUAUGAAGUGUGAAUGCUAGAAGGUGCACAAGUUUGAUCAAUGAUAAUUCCAAUCACCUUUUCUAGCAUGAUUAUAUGUCAUAACAAUAGUUCAUCUCAUAAAACUUUUCAUAAUCAAGUAACAAGCUAUUCACAUGUAUAAGCAUAGACCAUAAACUUUCUUGAAAACUAGCAAACUUCAUUCUUAAUCAUCAAACAAUUGCAAUUCAUCUUAUUUUCAGGAAGGGUCUAUGUCAGAGCUUUGAUUUAAUUAGCAAACUUCACAUACUCAACUAUCAUAUAGUCUUCUACAAUUGCUAACACUCACGCAGUCCUUGUGGUUAUGAAGUUUUAAUCAGACACAGAGAAAGAUUGGGGCUUAUAAUGUUGCCUCCAAACGUAUUCACCUUUGGGUGAUGUCAACAAUAAUAGUUCAUGCUAACGUACAUCCAAUUGGAUAUAUAUAUCAGGAUCACCCCAACACAAAUUUCUUGCCAAAGGAUAAAAUGAAAAAGGGAAAGGUGAAGAUCACCUUGACUCUUGUAUAAAAGUAAAAGGCCCUUCGCAGAGGGAAGCAGGGAUUUUCAGAGGUGCCAGAGCUCGAUUUUUAAAAUAGAGACAAAUAAUUUCGAGAGGUAUGAUCUCAUUGUCAACAUAACAACCAAGAGUUCCCAGUAUCUUCCAUACUACGUACAUUAUAGGCAGUUCCCACAAAGAAUGGUAAAAGUUUAUACUCCCCCAACCACCAACAAGCAUCAAUCCAUGGCUUGCUCGAAACAACGAGUGCCUCCAACCAACAACAAUCCUGGGGGAGUUUUGUUUAAUUAUUUUGAUUUGAUUUUGACCUUUUUUAUCAUGGGACUGGGCAUCCCGGUUACCGCCACUUUCUCGUGAAUGAGGAGCGGAGUCCACUCCUCUUGAGAAUAACCCACCUAGCAUGGAAGACACUGACAGCCCCUAGUUGCUACAUGAGCAAUUCGGGCAUACAAAACAUAUUAUAAUUUGAAGGUUUAGAGUUUGGCACAUGCAAAUUUACUUGGAACAGCAGGUAAAUACCGCAUAUAGGUAGGUAUGGUGGACACUCAUGGCAAAAACUGGGUUUAAGGAUAUUGGAUGCACAAGCAGUAUUCCCGCUUAGUACAGAUAUUUAGGCUAGCAAGGGGAGAAAGGCAAGCUCAACAUGUUUGAAUGAUCCAUGACAAUAUACUUUAACUGAGAUGCGAGAGAACAUAACCCAUUACGUUGUCUUCCUUGUCCAACAUCAACUCUUUAGCAUGUCAUACUUAAUGAGUGCUCACAAUUAUAAAAGAUGUCUAUGAUAAUAUAUUUAUAUGUGAAAUUUCUCUUCCUUAAAUAUUCUUUCAUGAAUUGUUCAAAUGGCCAAUACAAUGCUUGCUAACCUUCAAUAAAUUACUACCUCUACUUCUUAGAUGUGAAGUCAUUACUCCCCAUGGGAUAAGCAAAUGAAACAUAUAUAAUUUCAGAUUUAUGACAUUCAACUCAACCAUUAACUCAUAGGAUAUAAGUGAAGCACACGAGUAAAUGAGAAACUACUCCAAAAAAAUAUAAGUGAAGAUCAAUGAGUAGCUAAAUAAUUAUGCAACUAUGUGAAGACUCUCUCUCAUUUAAUAAUUUCAGAUCUUGGUAUCUUAUUCAAACAGCAAGCAAAGCAACAUAAAAUGACAUUGUAAGGAUAGCACAACUGAUGUGAAGAAGCAAAAACUUAGGUUCAACCGAUACUAACCGAUAGUUGUUGAAGAAAAAAGGUCGGAUGCCUACCGGGGCAUCCCCAAGCUUAGGUGCUUGAGACUUCUUGAAAUAUUAUCUUGGGGUGCCUUGCGCAUCCCCAAGCUUGAGCUUUUCUGUCUCCUUAAUUCCCUUUUAUAUCACGGUUUCUCUUCUUUUUAUCAAAAAGCUUCAUUCACAACAAACUCAACAAUAACUCGUGAGAUAGGUUAGUAUAAACCAAUGCAAAACCUUAUCAUUUUCUACUGUAACGAAUCACUAAGAUUAUUAUUAAACAUUUAAUACUAAAUGUCUCUGCAUAUUUAAUACUCCUAUCCUCAAACAGAAUCAUUAAACAAGCAAACAUAUGCACACAAUGCAAACAUAACAGCAAUCUGCCAAAACAGUACAGUCUGUAAAGAAUGCAAGAUUCAUCAUGCAUCCCUAACUCCAAAAAUUAUAAGGAAACUACUAUGCUGUAAAAUAUUUAUCAGAGCUCAUUAUGCAAAAAGAUUCAACAUUAUAUCACUCUCUGACUUUUCUAGGGAACUUUUGCAACAGCGGUAAACUUUCUGUUUUCAAACAGCAACAUGUAUACUUGCAAAAUAAGCAUGGUAAAGGCUAUCCUUGACAUUUUUAUUGAAAAUGAAGAUGAAAACCAUUAAUAUAAAUAACAUCAAGCAAAUACUAACAAAAUAAAAUGACACUCCAAGCAAAACACAUAUCAUGUGGUGAAUAAAAAUAUAGCUCCAAGUAAAGUUACCGAUGAACGAAGAUGAAAGAGGGGAUGCCAUCCGGGGCAUCCCCAAGCUUAGGCUCUUGGUUAUCCUUGAAUAUUACCUUGGGGUGCCUUGGGCAUCCCCAAGCUUAGGCUCCUUCCACUUAUUAUUCCAUAGUCCAUCGAAUCCUUACCCAAAACUUGAAAACUUCAACCACACAAAACUCAAAACAAAACUCGUAAGCUCCGUUGGUAUAAGAAAGAAAAACCACCACAUAAGGUACUGUAAUGAACUCAUUCUUUAUUUAUAUUGGUGUUAAACCUACUGUAUUCUAACUUCUCUAUGGUUCAUACCCUUACAUACUAGCCAUAGAUUCAUCAAAAUAAGCAAACGACACCAUGAAAGCAGAAUCUGUCAAAAACAGAACAGUCUGUAGUAAUCUGUAUCAAACGUAUACUUCUGGAACCCCAAAAAUUAUGAAAUAAAUUGAUAGACCUGAGUAAUUUGUCUAUUAAUCAUCUGCAAAAAUAAUCAACCGAAAAGCACUCUCCAGACAAAAAAUGGUAUCUAAUCUCGUGAGCGCUAAAGUUUCUGGUUUUCACAGCAAGAUCAUAAAGACUUCACCCAAGUCUUCCCAAAGGCUCUACUUGGCACUUUAUUGAAACAAAAGCUAUAAAACAUGAUUACUACAGUAGCAUAAUCAUGUGGACACACAAAAACAGUAAGGGUUAAUAUUGGUAUGUCUCCCAACAAGAGCUUUUAUUUAAUGCCUUUCUAGCUAGGCAUGAUGAUGGCAAUGAUGCUCACAAAAAGGAUAAGAAUUGAAACAUAAAGGGAGCAUCAUGAAGAAUAUGACUAGCACAUUUAAGUCUAACCCACUUCCCAUGCAUAGGUGUUUUUUGAGCAAACAACUUACAGGAACAAUAAUCAACUAGCAUAGGAAGGCAAAACAAGCAUAACUUCAAGAUUUUAAGCACGUAGAGAGGAAACUUAAUAUUAUUGCAAUUCCUACAAGCAUAUGUUACUCCCUCAUAAUAAUUUUCAGUAGCAUCAUGAAUGAAUUCAACAAUAUAACCAGAACCUAAAGCAUUCUUUUCAUGAUUUACAAGCAUGGAAAAUUACUACUCUCCACAUAAGCAAAAUUCUUCUCAUAAAUAGUAGUGGGAGCAAACUCAACAAAAUAACUAUCAUGUGAGGCAUAAUCCAAUUGAAAACUAAAAUGAUGAUGACAAGUUUCAUGGUUAUCAUUAUUCUUAAUAGCAUAGAAGUCAUCACAAUAAUCAUCAUAGAUAGCAAUUUUGUUUUCAUAAUCAAUUGGAACCUCUUCCGAAAUAGUGGAAUCAUCACUAAAUAAAGUUGACACUCUUCCAAAUCCACUUUCAUAUUCAUCACAAUAAGAUUCAACAUCCUCCAAAAUAGUGGGAUCAAUACUACCUAAAGUUGACACUCUUCCAAACCCACUUUCAUCAAUAUAACCAUCAUAAAUAGGAGGCAUGUUGUCAUCAUAAUAAAUAUUCUCAUCAAAACUUGGGGGACUAAACAUAUCAAAUUCAUCAAACAUAGCUUCCCCAAGCUUGUGGCUUUGUAUAUCAUUAGCAUCAUGGAUAUUCAAAGAGUUUAUACUAACAACAUCGCAAUCAUGCUCAUCAUUCAAAGAUUUAGUGACAAACAUUUUAUAGAUUUCUUCUUCUAGCACUUGAGCACAAUUUUCCUUACCAUCAUUCUCAUGAAAGAUAUUAAAAAGAUGAAGCAUAUGGGACAAACUCAAUUCCAUUUUUUUGUAGUUUUCUUUUAUAGACUAAACUAGUGAUAAAACAAGAAACAAAAAGAUUCGAUUGCAAGAUCUAAAGAUAUACCUUCAAGCACUCACCUCCAAAAAGAGCUUAGUUGACGGGGUGUGAGUACCAUUUACCUAGCCUCCCUGGCAACGGCGCCAGAAAAGAGCUUGAUGUCUACUACACAACCUUCUUCUUGUAGACAUUGUUGGGCCUGCAAGUGCACAAGUUUGUAGGACAGUAGCAAAUUUCCCUCAAGUGCAUGACCUAAGGUUUAUCAAUCCGUAGGAGACGUAGGAUGAAGUUGGUCUCACUCAAACAACCCUGCAACAAAAUAACAAAGAGUCUCUUGUGUCCCCAACACACCCAAUACAAUGGUAGAUUGUAUAGGUGCACUAGUUCGGCAAAGAGAUGGUGAUACAAGUGCAAUUUGGAUAGUAGAUAAAGGUAUUUUGUGAUCUGAAAUUAUAAAAACAGCAAGGUAGAAAGUAACAAAAGUGAGCGUAAACGGUAUUGCAAUGAUAGGAAACAAGGCCUAGGGUUCAUACUUUCACUAGUGCAAGUUCUCUCAACAAUAAUAACAUAGAUAGAUCAUAUAACAAUCCCUCAAUAUGCAACAAAUAGUCACUCCAAAGCCACUAAUAGCGGAGAACAAACGAAGAGAUUAUGGUAGGGUACGAAACCACCUCAAAGUUAUUCUUUCGGAUCAAUCUAUUCAAGAGUUCGUACUAGAAUAACACCUUAAGACACAAAUCAACCAAAACCCUAAUGUCACCUAGAUACUCCAUUGUCACCUCAAGUAUCCGUGGGCAUGAUUAUACGAUAAGCAUCACACAAUCUUAGAUUCAUCUAUUCAACCAACACAAAGUACUUCAAGGACUGCCCCAAAGUUUCUACCAGAGAGUCGUGUGCCAACCCCUAUGCAUAGGUUCAUGGGCGGAACCCGCAAGUUGGUCACCAAAACAUACAUCAAGUGGCACAUGAUAUCCCAUUGUCACCAUAGAUAAUCACGGCAAGACAUACAUCAACUGUUCUCAAAUAAAGACUCAAUCCGAUAAGAUAACUUCAAAGGGGAAAACUAAAUCCAUUACAAGAGGGUAGAGGGGGAGAAACAUCAUAAGAUCCAACUAUAAUAGGAAAGAUCGAGAUACAUCUAGAUCGUGGCAUAGAGGGAACACGAGAGAGAACACGAGAGAGAGAGAGAGAGAGAGAGAGAGAGAGAGAGAUCAAACACAUAGCUACUGGUACAUACCCUCAGCCUCGAGGGUGAACUACUCCCUCCUCGUCAUGGAGAGCACCGGGAUGAUGAAGAUGGCCACCGGUGAAGGAUCCCCCCUCCGGCAGGGUGCCGGGAAGGGCUCCCGAGAGGUUUUUGGUGGCUACAGAGGCUUGCGGCGGCGGACUCCCGAUCUCUCUUGAUAUUCGAUGUUUUUAGGGUACGAGGGAAUAUAUAGGCAAAAGAAGUCGGUCGGGAGGUGCUCGAGGGGCCCACAAGAUAGGGGGCGCGCCCAUUAGGGGGGGCGCCCUCCUAUCUCGUGGCCUCCUCGAGGGUCUUCUGACGUGAACUCCAAGUCUCCUGGGUGUUAUUCUUCCAAAAAAAUCACGUUGCCGAAGGUUUCAUUCCAUUUGGACUCCGUUUGAUAUUCCUUUUCUUCGAAAUACUGAAACAGGCAAUAAAACAACAAUAUGGGCUGGGCCUCCAGUUAAUAGGUUAGUCCCAAAAGUAAUAUAAAAGUGUACAAUAAAGCCCAUAAUAAUUCAAAACAGAUAAUAAAAUAGCAUGAAUGCUUCAUAAAUUAUAGAUAUGUUGGAGACGUACCAAUGGGCAUCUCCAUAGCCCAUUGAUAUGCCUAGUUGAUGUGAGACUAUCUUCUCCCUCCUUGUCUUCAUAACCACCACCAUAUACCACACAUAGUGCUAUGUCCAUGGCUUGCGCUCAUGUAUUGGUAAGAGUUGAAAAGGCUGAAGCGCGUUAAAAAUUAUGAACCAAUUGCUCGGCUCGUCAUCGGGGUUAUGCAUAAGGGGAGUAUUUUGCUUUAUAAAAAUGAAGCAUGGCCUAACUAUAUGAUUUUGUAGGGAUAAGCUUUCUUUGGCUAUGCUGUUUUGAUAAGAGAUGAUUAUUUGUUAGUAUGCUUCAAGUAUUACUAUUUUUAUGUUUUAUAAGCUUUUAUCUUGAAUCAUUUGGAUCUAAACAAUCAUGCCACAAUAAAUAGAAUUACAUUGAGAAUUAUGCUAGGUAGCAUUCCACAUCUAAAAUUCUGUUUUUAUCAUUUACCUACUCGAGGACGAGCAGGAAUUGAGCUUGGGGAUGCUUGAUACGUCUCCAACGUAUCUAUACUUUUUAUUGUUCCAUGCUAUUAUAUUACUUGUUUUGGAUGUUUAUGGGCUUUAGAGGCGCUCCUGCCUCAUCGGCGAAAUGAUCGGCCUUUAGGACCCCAACCGCAUGGGGGUGACGCGGCUGUCUGCGGAGCAGGUCGCGCGUGGCAUGAACGACAUCUCCAAGGCCAACCUUGGAGAGGACUAGCGAUUCGGCAAGGCGCCGUAUAGCCAGUCGAACCCGGCACCGCAGGUGAGUGUCUGGUCUUCUUACUUUGCUGCUUCCCAUCUUCUCAUUCGUCCCGACGCGACGCGGGAGAUACUCUAGAACGCGAUUCGGCAUCCUUACACCCGGGCUCCGUCGCAGGUGGCGCCGGUGGCACAGAGGAGCCCGCGGUCCAAGGCGGCGAGGAGGUGGCCGAGUCCAACGCCGGCGCUGGGCAUCGCGCGGGUAAGUCAUGAAUUCUUCUUUCUUUAUUUGUCUUGAAUUGUUGAUCAUGUCGCGGUGCGGGCGACACUGACGCCGAUUGUUGGUGUAGUGGCGUUGGGCGGGGAAGGCGGCGACGCAGGCGGAGCCGGGUCCUCGCAUGGGGUAGCGCCGAGCCGCCCGCAUGGGAAAGACAGCGUCCUGCCGCAACCCCGGGCCCGAAAGCGCGCGACGGACCCGGCCGAGCCUGGGAGGCCGGCCAAGCGAAGGCGCGGCGGGAGGCCGACCCCGGUCCCGGUCUUGAUGGGGUAAGCUUUAUCUUCUGUGUGCAUCCGGAUUGUUGAGCCGGAGUUGUCUUCUUUUUCUUUGGCUUAUUCUGCCUUCUUCUUCAGGUCGCCAAUCGCGCUGGCGAGGGCGGUGGCGGAAGCCGCGGCCGCCGAAGGGGCCGCGUUCCGCAAGAGCUGGUCCGACGUCGCUGACCAAGCCGAGGCGGAGGGACGGACCGACUCGGACCUCUACCUGGACCCGAACGACGCCAAAGCCUUGGCUUGGCGGGACAGGAAUCGGGACGAGGCGGAGCUGGAGGCGGCAUCGGUCUGGGCUUGGACCGACGCAGCGGCGGUGUGGGCGCGAGCCGUCACGGAGCCGGCCUGGCGCGAGAUGCCGGAGGGCACAGUGGUGGCGGCGACGGUCUUUGAGCCGUCGUUAGUGAGGGAGCGCGGCUGGGGAGGCCGGGCUGAGGUGGUGAUACUCGACCAGGAGGUCGUGGAGGUGUAGGGCGAUACCCCUCCGCGGGACGACGUGGUUGUGUGCGCGGGGGCUGAUGGUGGUGGAGACGGCGUCGUCUUGGAAGAGGCACCGCGAGCGGCGGUGUCGGAGGUGCCGCUGGUGCUGGAGGCGACACCGCGGAUGGCGGUGCCGAAGGCCACCACGGCAGCUGGACCGGUGGUGGCACAGCAGGACGUCCCAGCAUCCGGAACGAAGGCGGCGACGCAGGGCGUCCCGGUGUCCGGGUCCGCGAAGGAGGUGCUGGCCGCGUCGCGAGCGGCCAGCGGGGAGCACACCUUGGUGCUCUAGCAGGGUGGGCGUCGGGCUGCCGCGCCGCAGCCGGCGUGGAGCGGGGGCGCCACUGUAUUCGGCCCUCAGACCCAGGAGGAGGAGGCGCUGGAUGCCGUCAGCCGUCGUCUGCGCGGGCGGACGGAUCGGCUCGAGGCCUUUGCCGAGGCCGAGGUGGAGCGGACGCGCGACCUGGAGCGCCAUUCUGGUAAGCCUUCUUUUUUUUCUUGCAAUUUCUUCUUUGUGCGGGCGCGCCAGCGCACCCACUGGGUGUAGCCCCUGAGGUUCGGGCCAACUACGUUGCAGUUGGGUCGAAUCUUAAGAGCGUUGGCCUUGUUCUGACUUCUGUAUUUUUCAGCAUCUUGACGCCUUCCGGGUUGCCGCUUUCAACCGUCUCCUGGGCAAGCAUCGGGAGCUCAAGGAGCAACUUACUGGCAAGGAGGAGGAGCUUCGCGUCGCCGCAGGUACCCUUGUGCUCUUUUCUAGUGGGGGCGCGCUAGCGCACCCACUGGGUGCAGCCCCCGAGAUUCGGGCCAACUAUGUAACAGUUGGGCCAAAUCUUAAGUCUUGUCUUUUUUCUUCUGCUGAAUCCUUCUUCUUUGCAGCCGAGGUGCUGUCCUGGCGGACUCGUCUGCUCCAGGCCGGCCAUCACUAUGACCGGCUCGUUGCCGACACUGGCCGUCUUGGCGUCGAGGCGGCGCAGGCGAGGGCGGAGGCGGCCGCGGCCCGACGGUCUCUUGAUGAGGCCAACCGGCUGCAUGAGCAGCUGGUAGGUCACAAGAGCCGCCUCGAGGUGGAGCUUCUUAAGGCGGAGGCCGCCAAGGUGAUGGAGACGCAACAGGCCCUGGUCGAGGCGGACCAGCAGCGCGGCCAGCUGGUCGAUGACAAGGGCCGGCUCCAGGCCGAGGUGGAUCGCCUGCGGGAGCAGGCCACUGCGGCUGAGGGGGCCCAUCAGGACGAGCCCGCCACCGCGAGGGGGCCGAGAAGGCGGCCGCAGACAAGGACGCCGAGCUGAAGGCGGCCCUUGCUAAGGCGGCCAAUCUGGAGAAGGCGCUUGGGGAGCGCGACCGCGCCAUGGAGCGGGAGCGGCGUGGUACGUUGCUUGAGGCACAGCACCUGGAAGAGUCCUUCUCCAGUAAGUGACGUUUCUUGUAGUUUGCCGGGUCGGGACCCGGCCUUUCUUCCUUGUUGUUCUUCUUCUAACUUGCUUCUUCCUUUGUGACAGGGGCCUUCCCGAAGUCGCAACGGCUGGCGGAGGAAGCCGUCCGCUAUCAGCGCGACCCGACCGGUGUUGCCGGGUCUGGGACGGAUCCGCGGACGGCCUGGACCUUCCCGGAGAUCAUCGCCGCUGCUGAGGCCCGCCUGCGGGUCUUGGGUUCGCAGAUGGAGCGGCUGUCCCGGGCCGGCACCGCGAUGACAGAGGCCUUGUAGCCGGAUUCCGUCCAUCCACGUAGCUUCUCGCGCCUGGCGCGUUGGUUGGAGAUGGGUCCGGACUGGCUUGACGAGUGGCGUGUUUCCACCGGUGCUGAGAUGGUGCUCCGGUUCGUGCUGUCUUAGCAUCUGGAUGUUCAACUGGACGCGUUGAUGGGCCACAGCGCCGGCUCGGAGCAGUUGCUGUAGGAGCAAGCCGACCGGAUCGCCUCUCGAGCCAGCUACAUCGCCGAGUUCGCCUUCCAUGAUGAGUUCCAUCUGGAGCGGACGGCAGGGCCGUGGAUGGCGAUGACUACGACUUGCUUCUUCAGGAUUUGGAGGGGAGCUCGGAGGAAACGGGCGUCUACGGCGACGCGGAUGCCGAAGAGGACACUGGUGCCUCGCCGGACCCGGAGGCCGUCAGGGGAGAGCUGUCGACGUCACGACGCGGCGCUGGAGAUGCCUGAGACACAUCGUGUAAAAACUGUUAAGUAGCAGGUCCACCCACCCACUGGGGGUUUUAGGGUGUAAUGAACUCGGGCUGUGGGCCUUUGCUUAAAUAUUUGUGUGUAAAUGUCGUGAGUGCUUUUUUGCUCUUUGUCGUUCGCUUUUUUGAACCGAUUUCANNNNNNNNNNNNNNNNNNNNNNNNNNNNNNNNNNNNNNNNNNNNNNNNNNNNNNNNNNNNNNNNNNNNNNNNNNNNNNNNNNNNNNNNNNNNNNNNNNNNNNNNNNNNNNNNNNNNNNNNNNNNNNNNNNNNNNNNNNNNNNNNNNNNNNNNNNNNNNNNNNNNNNNNNNNNNNNNNNNNNNNNNNNNNNNNNNNNNNNNNNNNNNCGCGCAGGACUUGGGUCCUUAGAAGCAUUGAGCGCGAGCGAAACACCCACCGGGCCGGCAGGCGGCAAUCCGGCUUAGCGGGUUGGUGAGCAGCCAGUCGUGCGGCUACUUAUUUGAUGAGUGACGGGCCAGGUUGAUCGACCCAGCGGCCUUUGACUUAGUGUAUGAAUCAUAGAGGAGCUUUGGCCCGUUGUGCUUGUCCGCCGACAGCCAAAGCUGGAUCUGCGGUUUUAGGGCGAAGUGGGGGACCGCGGCGUCCCAACUUUAUCAGGAAUCACCAAGUAAGGUGGCGGGGUGGCGACUGAGCCGGCCUGCCCCCGAGCCCCCGGGUCGAGCGAGUCGAGCCGGUGGCCGGGUUCAGUGGUAAAGUGAUGCAGAAAAAUAGGGACGCAAAUAAAUUGGUCAACAAAAGGCAGCCCCCGAGUCUCGUUCGGGGACCCCAUAGUUUCAUGCGUUUACAAAAGGCGAAGAUACAUACACUCGUGCGGCUAACUGUAAAACGGGCGGAGGAGUUCCGCGUUCCAUGGCCGAGUGUUUCUUCACCGGCGGUGUCCUUGUUGCACUACUUUGACUUGCGUGCAUCGAUGUGGUAGUAGGCAUUGCGAUCGCGCAAGGCCCUGCUCACGAUGAAUGGGCCCUCCCAUGGAGAGGACAGCUUGUGCUGGCCUGCCUGCUCUUGGACGAGUCGGAGGACGAGGUUGCCCUCGCAGAAUGCGAGGGGCUUGAUCUUCUUGUUGUGCUAGUGCCUCAGGCCUUGCUGGUAGAUGGCCGAACGGCUGAGUGCCAGAAGGUGCGCUUCCUCGAGCAGGUCGACGCCGUCUUCGCGUGCCUCUUUGGCUUCGGCUUCGGUGUACAUCGUGACGCGCGGCGAGUCGAACUCGACGUCGGUCGGGAUGACGGCUUCGGCUCCAUAGACGAUGAAGAACGGGGUGAACCCGGUCGACCGGUUCGGCAUGAUGCAUAGACUCCAGAGAACUGCCGGCAACUCGUCAAGCCAGUUGCCAGGUGAGCGGAUGAGUGGCUCGACGAGUGGCGGCUUGAUGCCGGAUAGGAUGAGUCCGUUCGCCCGCUCCACCUUCCUGUUGGACUACAGAUGUGCCAUGGAGGCCAGGUCGAGGCGGAUGCCGGAGACGAAGCAGUAUUGCUCGAGCGCGCCCUUGGCGAAGUUGGUGCCGUUGUCGGUGAUGAUGCCGUUCGGCAUGCCGUAGCACACCUCUAUGUCCUUAAUGAACCGGACGGCUGUUGGCCCAUCCAGUUUCUUGAUUGGUCUUGCCUCGAUUCACUUGGUGAAUUUGUCCACUGCCACCAGCAGGUGCGUCAUGCCGCCUUGAGCGGUUUUGAAGGUUCCCACCAUGUCGAGUCCCCAGACCGCGAAGGGCCAGGCGAUCGGUAUGGUGUGGAAUGCUGACAUUGGUGGUGACUGCAUUUGCUGAAGCGCUGGCACCCCUCGCACUUGAGAACGAGUGACUCGGCGUCUUCGAGGGCCGUGGGCCAGUAGAAACCGUGGCGGAAUGCCUUGGCCACCAGGGAUCGCGAUGCGGCGUGGUGCCUGCACUCGCCCUAGUGAAUGUUGAGGAGGAUGUCGAUGCCCCGAUCCUGCUCGACGCAGCGCUGGAACACGCCGGUGGAGCUGCGCUUGACGAGCUCGUUGUUGAUGAUGUUGUAGGCGGACGCCCCAUGCUGCACUUGCCGAGCCUCGGUUUCGUCCGUGGGGAGAACCCCGUUCUUCAGAAAUUCUGAUAUCGGCAGGGCCCAAGAUGGGGCCGCUACCACGAUGAAGACGGCCACCUGGGUGGGUUCCGAGUAGGCGGCCCCUGGGCCGGGUUGAGCAGCCCCCGGAUUGGGCACGGCGACGGCCGGGUCUGGGGUGAUGGUGGCCGGAUUGAGCUGAGCAGCCCCUGGGCCGGGUUCAGCGGUCCCCGGGUCGGCUUGCGGUGCGGUCGGGUCCUCUGGGACGUGGAUGGACUCGGAGUCCGGCGAUGGCUUGACGGACGGCUUGCGCAGGUGCUCGAGGGAGACGCCGGACGGGAUGGCUUGGUGUGACGAGGCGAUCUUGGCGAGUGUGUCGGCUGCUUCCUUCUCCGCGCGCGGGACAUGGAGGAACUCGUAGCCCUCGAAGGAUCCGGAUAGCUUGUGGACGAGGAAGCGGUAGCUUGCCAUGUUGGAGUCGCGGGCGUCCCAUUUGCCGGAGCAUUGCUGCACCACCAGGUCCGAGUCGCCGUAGCACAGGAUGCGCCGGAUGCCGAGUUCCUUGGCAAGCCGGAGGCAGUGCACAAGGGCUUCAUAUUCGGCGACGUUGUUGGAGGCGGCGAAGUGGAUCUGGAGCACAUAGCGGAGCCAGUCGCCCUUCCGAGAUGACAGUACAAUGCUGGCCCCCAAGCCGAGUUGCAUCUUGGGCCCGUCGAAGUGCAUGUGCCAAUGCGUCGAGUUGGGAGGCGGCGGUAAGUACUGGGUCUCGGUCCAAUCGACGAGGAAGUCGGCCAGGGCUUGAGACUUGAUCGUGGUGUGGGGCUCGUAGAGAAUGGUGUGGCCGGCUAGCUGGAUCGCCCACUUGGCGACCCGGCCAGAGGCAUCCCGGCACCCGAUGAUUUCUUCGAGAGGCGUCGUGCUGAUGACGGUGACGACCUGCUCUUGAAAGUACUGCUUCAGCUUCUUGGCAGUGAGGUACACGCGGUAGCACAUCUUCUAGUAGUGCGGGUAGUUCUGCUUGGAGGUGGAGAGCACCUCGCUCAGGUAGUAGACCGGAUGCUGGACGGCCUGGAUCUUGCCCUCAUCCGGUCGCUCGACCACCACCACCGUGCUGACCGCCCGCGAGGUCGCGGCUAUGUUGAGCAACAGCGGCUCCUUGUCGGUCGGCGCAGCCAGGACUGGUGCGGUGGAGAGCAUUCGCUUGAAGUCUUGGAAGGCCUCGUCUGCCUUGCCGUUGCAUUCGAACGGGCUUGUCUUCUUCAUCAGCUGGUAAAGGGGUAGCGCCCUCUCGCCCAGCCGGCUCAGGAACUGGCUGACCGAGGCCAAGCACCCGGUGAACUUAUGGACGUCACGCAGCCGAGCCGGCUUGCGCAUGCACUCAAUGGCCUUGAUCUUUUCCGGGUUCACCUCGAUGCCGCGUUCCGAGACGAGGAAGCCGAGUAGCUUUCCGGCCAGGAUGCCGAAGACGCAUUUAUCCGGGUUAAGCUUGACCUUGUAUUCGCGGAGGUUGGCGAAUGUUUCCUUCAAAUCGGCAAGGAGCGUGAGGUGCUGCUUGGUCUUCACCAUGAUAUCGUCCACGUACACGUGGAUAUUGCCACCAAGUUGCGGCAGCAGGCAUUUCUGCAUGCAGCGUUGGAAGGUGGCGCCGGCGUUCUUCAAGCCAAACGACAUGGUGAUGUAGCAAUAUGCCCCAAAGGGCGUGAUGAAGGACGUCUUCAGGGCAUCGGCCGGGUCCAGGUUGAUCUGGUGAUAGCCGGAGUAAGCAUCCAGGAAGGACAGGAGCUCGCACCCGGCGGUCGAGUCGAUGACUUGGUCGAUCCGCGGGAGGGCGAACGGGUCCUUGGGAUAGGCCUUGUUGAGGCUGGUGUAGUCGAUACACAUGCGCCAGGUCUUGUUCUUCUUCAGGACGAGGACUGGAUUGGCCAGCCACUCGGGGUGAAACACUUCCAUUAUGAAGCCGUCCGCCAAAAGCUUGGCGACCUCCUCACCAAUGGUUCUUCUCUUCUCUUCGGAAAAUCAUCGGAGGGGUUGACGGACAGGCCUGGCGUCCUUGCGGACGUGAAGUUUGUGCUCGGCAUACUUCCUCGGGAUACCGGGCAUGUCCUUGGGGGUCCAUGCGAAGAUAUCCCGAUUCUCACGGAGGAAGUCGACGAGCUCUCCUUCCUGUUUGAUGUCGAGGCAGGCUCCUACCAGUGGCGGUGCCAGGAUCGAAACCUUGUGUUGUCAAGCUUUAUACAAAUGAAACAUUUUGUAGGUAAAUUAAACAAGAACACAAAAAGACCAUACUUCAUUUGAUACAUAUUUGUUGUACCAGCUUUUUUUAUCAUAUAUAUUUCAUCUUAAACAUGUCUUUUGAUAUAAAGAUCUUAAACAUUUUUAUGGUAACAACGCUUUGACAAAUGUAUCCAAUUACCAUUACCAAACUUAAGACCUAACAAAUGACAAAACAAGGUUUUGCUAAAAGAAACAAUAUCUGAAUUUCAUGUGAGAAUAUAAAAUUUCAAGAGAAAGAAGACAGAAACUUACAAACAGAAAAGGAAGGGCCUCGUCCUAUACACUCGCCGAUUCGCUGAAGGUGCAGUACUAUGGAGAUCGGAGACUGCUAGAGCAGCGGAGGAGGCCGUGCUCAUUGUGGUGAUUCCAGGCAACGGCGACCUCAGCGGUCGGUGAGCAGCAUGUGUAUCCAUGCAUGAUGUGCUUCACUGCUCCUCCCCACGGCGUAGUGCAUGAUUGGCCAUUAGAGAUUAUACACAGGAAGGUGAAAAAGGAGAGAGUUCGAAGGAAUAUCACGGGAUUUCAGGAGACGGUCACGAAGUUGUUUUGGAGGACGACUAGGAAAGUUAAUAAUGACGUAGGGAGCUUCCUUUUUCUAUAUGGGCCAGCCAAAUCUCACAAAAAACUGAUACCAACUGGGCAUGUUUUAGUUAGAGGACCUCUUUUAGUUAAUUUCCAGAACCUGUUUAUUUGGAAGUGGGGUACGAUGUCACGGACUCACGGUAGUGUUUGAGUACCAAAUUCCUGUGUAGUCGCUUGACAACAUAGUCAUAGUGUGGAUUCGCCACUGGCGCCUAUGACAACGUACUUGCUGCAGCUGGGGUCUUCCGGGUUGAGCUUCACUCUCUUGGUCUCCUUGGAGGGCUUGAAGGCUGCCUCAUCGACCGGGUCCAGGGUCGGGAUCGACGCAGCGGAGGCCUCACCGGCCAGGGCGACGAUCCAGUCGAGUUGCCGCCGCUCCUCGGCAAUGACCAGUGACUCAGCCAACUUGGCGUUGUCUCGGGCGCACUCCAAGGACUUGCGGUAAUCGCCGGUGAUGGUGAUGAGACCCUUGGGACCCGGCAUCUUCAUCUUCAGAUAUGCGUAGUGGGGAACAGCCAUGAACUUGGCGAGCGCGGGCCGGCCCAGCAACACGUGAUACGUGCUGGACAGGUCCACCAACUCGAACCAGACCGGUUCGCGUCGGAAGUGGCUGUUGUCGCCGAACAGGACAUUGAGCUGGACCCGGCCAAUGGGCGAGCAGGAGAGGCCGGGUAUGAUGUCGUGGAAGAUUGCCCGGGUCGGUUCCAGGUCCUCGGCCUUGAGGCCGAGCUUGGUCAUCGUGUCGCGGUAGAGGAUGUUGAUGCUGCUGCCGCCGUCGAUGAGGACUCGGGAGAACUUGCAUGUACGCUGUGCGACGAUGGUGGGGUUGAGGACGAGGGCGUAGCCACCCGGGCUUGGCAUGACUACCGGGUGAUCCUCCCGGGUCUAGGUGAUCGGGUGAUCCGACCAAUGCAUAAACUCCGGCUUGGCUGGGACGACGGUGUUCACCUCCUGCCGAAGGAGGCGCUCGCUGCGCUUGUCGUUGCCGAGGCUGGUGAAGACGACAUAGGCCGCGUUCUGGUCCGGGUAGGUGUCUUCCGCAUCGCGCCGCCAGCGGGAGGCGGCGGUAGAGGCGGAGGCAGCUGUCCCACGCCUGGAGCCGGAGGCGGAGGAGGCGGGACGUCGCCCCUCAUGAUGCGCUUGGUGAUGGCGCACUACCGAAGCGUGUGCGUGGAGGGUCUUGUGCGCUGUGGUGCUUGCAGGGGGCGUCGAGCAUCUCUUUGAAACUCAUGGCGGGUUGCCAUGCCAUCUUGCCGGUUUGCCAGCGCUUCACCGCCGGGUCUGUCGCGGGCUCGGCCGCCGCGACGAGCAGGUUAUCGUGACGCUGCGCCGGCUGGUCGGCCUUGCGCUUGUUGUUCUGGUGAUGCUGCUGCCGGCUGCUUUCACCGGCCAGCUUCGGAGGGGGAACCGGCUUCGCCUUGCCGGCUUCAUCUAGCGCCACCUGGAUCUUCAUGGCGGAGUCUGAUGACCCACAAGUGUAGGGGAUCUAUCGUAGUCCUUUCGAUAAGUAAGAGCGUCGAGCCCAACGAGGAGCAGAAGGAAAUGAUAAGCGGUUUUUAGUAAGGUUUUCUGCAAGCACUGCAAUUGUAGGUGAUAGAUAGUUUUGUGAUAAGAUAAAUAGUAACGAGUAACAAGUAAACAAAGUAAAUAAAGUGUAGCAAGGUGGCCCAAUCCUUUAUGUGGCAAAGGAUAAGCCUGGACAAUUUCUAAUAAUGAGAAAGGAGCUCCCGAGGACACAUGGGAAUUAUCGUCAAGCUAGUUUUCAUCAAGCUCAUAUGAUUCGCGUUCGGUACUUUGAUAAUUUGAUAUGUGGGUGGACCGGUGCUUGGGUACUGCCCUUACUUGGACAAGCAUCCCACUUAUGAUUAACCCCUAUUGCAAGCAUCCGCAAGUACAACAAAAGUAUUAAGGUAAACCUAACCAUAGCAUGAAACAUAUGGAUCCAAAUCAGCUCCUAACGAAGCAACACAUAAACUAGGGUUUAAGCUUCUGUCACUCUAGCAAGCCAUCAUCUACUUAUUACUUCCCUAUGCCCUCCUCUGGGCCCAAUAAUGGUGAAGUGUCAUGUACUCGACGUUCACAUGACACCACUAGAGGAGAAGAGAACAUACAUCUCAUCAAAAUAUCGAUCGAAUACCAAAUUCACAUGACUACUAAUAGCAAGACUUCACCCAUGUCCUCAGGAACAAACGUAACUACUCACAAAGCAUAUUCAUGUUCAUGAUCAGAGGUGUAAUAAUAUGCAUUAAGGAUCUGAACAUAUGAUCUUUCACCAAGUAAACCAAUAAGUAUCAACUACAAGGAGUAAUCAACACUGCUAGCAACCCACAGGUACCAAUUUGUGGUUUUGGAUACAAGAUUGGAUACAAGAGAUGAACUAGGGUUUGAGAGGAGAUGGUGCUGGUGAAGAUGUUGAUGGAGAUUGACCCCCUCCCGAUGAGAGGAUCGUUGGUGAUGACGUUGGUGAUGAUUUCCCCCUCCCAGAGGGAAGUGUCCCCGGCAAAACAGCUCUGCGAGAGACCUAGAUUGGUUCGGCCAAGGUUCCGCCUCGUGGCGGCGGAGUUUCGUCCCGUAAGCUUGCCCACGAUUUUUUCCAGGGUAAAACGAUGAUAUAGCAGAAGAUGGACACCGGAGGUCCACCAGGGGGCCCAGGAGAUAGGGGGUGCGCCCUAUAGGGGGGGGCACCCUAUAGGGGGGCGCCCCCCUGUCUCCUGGACAGGGUGUGGGCCCCCUGGUGUAUUUCUUUCGCUCAGAAAUUCUUAUUAAUUCCAAAAGUUGUUUCGUGGAGUUUCAGGACUCUUGGAGUUGUGCAGAAUAGGUUUCCAAUGUUUGCUCCUUUUCAAGCCAGAAUUCCAGCUGCCGGCAUUUCCCCUCUUCAUGGUAAACCUUGUAAAAUAAGAGAGAAUAGCCAUAAGUACUGAGAUAUAUUGUGUAAUAACAGCCCAUAAUGCAAUAAAUAUUGAUAUAAAAGCAUGAUGCAAAAUGGACGUAUCAGAGUCGGCGUUGGCGUACUUGUCCGCCGUCACCAUGAGCGCGGCCAUGGUGGCCGGCUUGGAGCGUAGGAGCUUGUGUUUGAGGAGGGUUCCGUCUCGGCACCUGCUGAUGAAGUACUGUAUCGCCUGGACUUCAUGGACGCCCUCGCAGCUGUUCCGGAGCUCGGUCCAGCGUGUGAGGUACUCACGGCCGGUCUCCUCGGCCCCUCCACGCACAUGGCGAGCUGGCUGGGGUGACCGGGUCACUUGUAGGCCCCCGUGAAGUUUUGGACAAAGGCUUCCACGAAGUCGACCCACGCGUUGAUGCUGCCCAUCGGCAGGCUGUUCAACCAUGUGCGGGCCGACCCCUGGACCAUGAGCGGUGCGUAGCGCACGGCGAGACAAUGAUUGGCACCGGUGACGCCAAUGGCCGUGGUGUAGUCGGUGAGCCAAUCUUCCGGCUUCACCGUCCCGUUGUACUUGGGGGCGUCGCGGGGGAGCACGAACCCUUUGGGAAUGGGCUCCUCCCGGAUGCGUGGUCCGAAGCACGCCGGCCCGAUAGCGCCGCUCUCCCCCACAUCCAGGGAGCGAGCGAGCUGAUCGAGGCGGUGGCACGCGUCGGCGUCAUUGAUGGCGCGCGGGCCGAGUCGACUGGCGGCGAAGCCCCGAGGGGCCGGGCCGGUUGGAGCCGGACGUCGGCCAUGCUGGCCGGGUCCGCUCUGGGUCUCUGAGGCGGGCUCAUUGCCCGGGACGUCGGCGGCCAUGGUGGCCGGGUUGCGCCAAGUCCGGGUUCGGCCGGAGUGCACCUCACCGGGCGGCGAGGAAGCCAUGUACAGGAGUUCGCCGGGUCCGCCAAGGCGGGCGGAACCGGACCACGCCGGCUUGGCAAGCUGGUUGAGGCGAUCCUGCUGGGUGUUGGCGGCGUGGAGGAGCUCGCACAUCCGCCUGCGAGUUGGUCGAGGCUGACCGCGGCUGCCUCCGCAGCGCGCAUGUUCUUCACUGGGGUCUCGUAGACGGCCUGGAUGGCGCCGAAGGCCCGACCGAUCGCUCCUUCCCAGGUGCGAGCAUCGGCGAACCGGCUUGGCUCGGCCGCGGCGGGUGUGAAUCCGUGGGCGGCGUCAUGCUCCAACUGAGCGGCCUCCAAGCGACGCCUUGUGGCGGCCAGCGUCUCGGACAGGUCCAGCAUAUGAUUGCGUCUAUCCUCGAGCUGGGUUCGGGCUUCGGCGACAUUGGUGGGGUCGAUGUUGGUGCCGAUGGGGAUGCGGAGGCUUUGCAUCGCGGCGCUGUUGGAAAUAUGCCCUAGAGGCAAUAAUAAAAAGUUAUUAUUAUAUUUCUUUGUUCAUGAUAAUAGUCUUUUAUUCAUGCUAUAACUGUAUUAUCCGGAAAUCGUAAUACACGUGUGAAUACAUAGACCACAAUAUGUCCCUAGUGAGCCUCUAAUUGACUAGCUCGUUGUGAUCAAUAGAUAGUCAUGGUUUCCUGGCUAUGGACAUUGGAUGUCGUUGAUAACGAGAUCACAUCAUUAGGAGAAUGAUGUGAUGGACAAGACCCAAUCCUAAGCAUAGCACUAAGAUCGUGUAGUUCGUUUGCUAGAACUUUGCCAAUGUCAAGUAUCUCUUCCUUAGACCAUGAGAUCGUGUAACUCCCGGAUACCGUAGGAAUGCUUUGGGUGUAUCAAACAUCACAACGUAACUGGGUGAUUAUAAAGGUGCACUACAGGUAUCUCCGAAUGUGUCUGUUGGGUUGGCACGAAUCGAGACUGGGAUUUGUCACUCCGUGUAAACGGAGAGGUAUCUCUGGGCCCACUCGGUAGGACAUCAUCAUAAUGUGCACAAUGUGAUCAAGGAGUUGAUCACGGGAUGAUGUGUUACGGAACGAGUAAAGAGACUUGCCGGUAACGAGAUUGAACAAGGUAUCGGUAUACCGACGAUCGAAUCUCGGGCAAGUAAAAUACCGCUAGACAAAGGGAAUUGCAUACGGGAUUGAUCAAGUCCUUGACAUCGUGGUUCAUCCGAUGAGAUCAUCGUGCAACAUGUGGGAGCCAACAUGGGUAUCCAGAUCCCGCUGUUGGUUAUUGACCGGAGAACGUCUCGGUCAUGUUUGCAUGUCUCCCGAACACGUAGGGUCUACACACUUAAGGUUCGAUGACGCUAGGGUUAUAAAGGAAGUUUGUAUGUGGUUACUAAAUGUUGUUCGGAGUCCCGGAUGAGAUCCCGGACGUCACGAGGAGUUCCGGAAUGGUCCGGAGGUAAAGAUUUAUAUAUGGAAAGUUGUUGUUCGGGUUCCGGAAAAAGUUCGGGUUUUUUCGGUAUUGUACCGGGAAGCUUCCAGAAGGUGCCGGAGGAUUCCGGAGGGGUCCGGAGGUCCGGAAAUUGUUCCACCACGUCCAAUACAGUAGCAUGGGCUGUAAGGGGGCGCCCUAGCCUUUAUGGGCCAAGGGAACCACCCCCCCAAGGCCCAUGCGCAUGGGAAAGGGGAAACCCUAAAGGGGGAGGCCUCCACUUGACUUGGGAGGCACUCCUCCCCCCUUGGCCGCACCCCUUGGGGUGGGAAACCCUAAAGGGGGCGCAGCCCCCCCUUCCCCCUAUAUAUAGUUGAGGUUUGGGGCUGCUAAACACACGAGAACCUCUCCCUCUUGGUGCAACCCUACCUCUCUCCCUACUCCUCCUCUCUCGUGGUGCUUGGCGAAGCCCUGCUGGAUUGCCACGCUCCUCCACCAGCACCACGCCGUUGUGCUGCUGCUGGACGGAGUCUUCCUCAACCUCUUCCUCUCUCCUUGCUGGAUCAAGGCAUGGGAGACAUCACCGGGCUGUACGUGUGUUGAACGCGGAGGUGCCGUCCGUUCGGCACUUGGUCAUCGGUGAUUUGGAUCACGACGAGUACGACUCCAUCAACCCCGUUCACUUGAACGCUUCCGCUUAGCGAUCUACAAGGGUAUAUAGAUGCACUCUCCUUCCCCUCGUUGCUGGUUUCUCCAUAGAUAGAUCUUGGUGACCCGUAGGAAAAUUUUGAAUUUCUGCUACGUUCCCCAACAGUGGUAUCAGAGCUAGGUCUAUUGCGUAGAUUCUUUGCACGAGUAGAACACAAAGUAGUUGUGGGCGUUGAUUUUGUUCAAUAUGCUUACCGUUACUAGUCCAAUCUUGUUUCGACGGUAUUGUGGGAUGAAGCGGCCCGGACCGACCUUACACGUACUCUUACGUGAGACAGGUUCCACCGAUUGACAUGCACUUGGUGCAUAAUGUGGCUAGCGGGUGCCAGUCUCUCCCACUUUAGUCGGAACGGAUUCGAUGAAAAGGGUCCUUAUGAAGGGUAAAUAGCAAUUGGCAUAUCACGUUGUGGUUUUGCGUAGGUAAGAAACGUUCUUGCUAGAAACCCAUAGCAGCCACGUAAAACAUGCAAACAACAAUUAGAGGACGUCUAACUUGUUUUUGCAGGGUAUGCUAUGUGAUGUGAUAUGGCCAAGAAGAAUGUGAUGAAUGAUAUGUGAUGUAUGAGAUUGAUCAUGUUCUUGUAAUAGGAAUCACGACUUGCAUGUCGAUGAGUAUGACAACCGGCAGGAGCCAUAGGAGUUGUCUUAAUUUAUUGUAUGACCUGCGUGUCAUUGAACAACGCCAUGUAAUUACUUUACUUUAUUGCUAACCGGUAGCCAAAGUAGUAGAAGUAAUAAGUUGGCGAGACGACUUCAUGGAGACACGAUGAUGGAGAUCAUGGUGUCAUGCCGGUGACGAUGAUGAUCAUGGAGCCCCGAAGAUGGAGAUCAAAAGGAGCAAAAUGAUAUUGGCCAUAUCAUGUCACUAUUUGAUUGCAUGUCAUGUUUAUCAUGUUUAUGCAUCUUGUUUACUUAGAACGAUGGUAGUAAAUAAGAUGAUCCCUUACAACAAUUUCAAGAAGUGUUCUCCCCUAACUGUGCACCGUUGCUACAGUUCGUCGCUUCUAAGCACCACGUGAUGAUCGGGUGUGAUGGAUUCUUACGUUCACAUACAACGGGUGUAAGACAGUUUUACACAGCGAAAACACUUAGGGUUAACUUGACGAGCCUAGCAUGUACAGACAUGGCCUCGGAACACGGAGACCGAAAGGUCGAGCAUGAGUCGUAUAGUAGAUACGAUCAACAUGAAGAUGUUCACCGAUGAUGACUAGUCCGUCUCACGUGAUGAUCGGACACGGCCUAGUUGACUCGGAUCAUGUAAUCACUUAGAUGACCAGAGGGAUGUCUAUCUGAGUGGGAGUUCAUAAGAUGAACUUAAUUAUCUUGAACAUGGUCAAAAGACCUUUUGCAAAUUAUGUCGUAAGCUCGCGCUUUAGUUCCACUGUUUAGAUAUGUUCCUAGAGAAAAUAUAGUUGAAAGUUGAUAGUAGCGAUUAUGCGAUCAGUAGAAAGCUUAUGUCCUUAAUGCACCGCUCAGUGUGCUGAACCCCAAACGUCGUUUGUGGAUGCUGCGAACAUCGGACAUACACGUUUUGAUAACUACGUGAUAGUUCAGUUAAAUGGUUUAAGUAAAGGCACCAAAGACGUUUUCGAAAUGUCGCGGAACAUAUGAGAUGUUUCGAGGGCUGAAAUUGGGAUUUCAGGCUCGUGCCCACGUCAAGAGGUAUAAGACCUCCGACGAUUUUUCUUAGCCUGCAAACUAAGGAAGAAAAGCUCAAUCGUUGAGCUUGUGCUCAGAUUGUCUGAGUGCAACAAUCACUUGAUAGUGAUGUUUCUCCAAAGUCAUCGCCACCAAGCUGCGAGAGCUUCGUGAUGAACUAUAACAUAUCAGGGAUAGAUAUGAUGAUCCUUGAAAUAUUCGCGAUGUUUGACACUGCGAAAGUAGAAAUCAAGAAGGAGCAUCAAUUGUUGAUGGUUGGUGAAACCACUAGUUUCAAGAAGGGCAAUGGAACAAAGGGAUACUUCACGAAACGGCAAUUCAGCUGCUGCUCUAGUGAAGAAACCCAAGGUUGAACCCAAACCCGAGACUAAGUGCUUCUGUAAUAAAGGGAACAGCCACUGGAGCAGAAUUACCCUAGAUACUUGGUAGAUGAGAAGGCUGGCAAGGUCGAUAGAAGUAUAUUGGAUAUACAUUAUGUUAAUGUGUACUUUACUAGUACUCCUAGUAGCACUAGGGUAUUAGAUACUGGUUCGGUUGCUAAGUGUUAGUAACUCAAAAUAAAAGAGCUACGGAAUAAACGGAGACUAGCUAAAGGUGAGCUGACGAUAUGUGUUGAAAGUGUUUCCAAGUUUGAUGUGAUCAAACAUCGCACGCUCCCUCUACCAUCAAGAUUAGUAUUAAACCUGAAUAAUUGUCAUUUGGUAUUUGCGUUGAACAUAGACAUAAUUGGAUUAUGUCUAUCGCAAUACGGUUAUUCAUUUAAAGAGAAUAAAGGUUACUCUAUUUAUUUGAAUAAUACCUUCAAUGGUCUUGCACCUAAAGGAAUGGUUUAUUGAAUCUCGAUCGUAGCGAUACACAUUUUCAUGCCAAAAGAUAUAAGAUAGUAAUGAUAGUACCACUUACUUGUGGCACUGCCAUGUAAGUCAUAAUGGUAUAAAACGCAUGAAGAAACUCCAUGUUGAUGGAUCUUUGGACUCACUCGUUUUUGAAAAGUUUGAGACAUGCGAACCAUGUCUAUUGGUGUAUACGCAUGAAGAAACUCCAUGCAGAUGGAUCGUUUGGACUCACUUGAUUUUGGAUCACUUGAGAUAUGCAAAUUGUACCACAUGGGCAAGAUGACUGAAAGCCUUGUUUUUAGUAAAAUGGAACAAGAAAGCAACUUGUUGGAAGUAAAACAUUUUGAUGUGUGCAGUCCAAUGAGUGCUGAGGCAUGCAGUGAAUAUCGUUAUGUUCUUACUUCACAGAUGAUUCGAGUAGAUGUUGAGAAUAUUUUCUUGAUGAAACACAAGUCUGAAUUAUUGAAUGGUUCAAGUAAUUUCAGAGUGAAGUAGAAGAUCAUUGUGACAAGACGAUAAAAUGUCUAUGAUAUGAUCAUAGAGAUGAAUAUCUGAGUUACGAGUUUUGGCACGCAAUUAAGACAUUGUGGAAAUUGUUUUACAAUUAAUACCGCCUGGAACACCAUAGUGUGAUGGUGUGUCCGAACAUCAUAGUUGCACCCUAUUGGAUAUGGUGCGUACCAUGAUGUCUCUUAUCAAAUUACCACUAUUGUUCAUGGGUUAGGCAUUAGAGACAACCACAUCCACUUUAAAUAGGGCACCACAUAAUUCCGUUGAGAUGACGCCGUAUGAAUUAUGGUUUAGAGAAACCUAAGUUGUCGUUUCUUAAAGGUUUGGGGCUGCGAUGCUUAUGUGAAAAAGUUUCAGGAUUGAUAAGCUCGAACCCAAAGCGGAUAAAAUGCAUCUUCAUAGGACACCCAAAACAGUUGGGUAUACCUCCUAAUUCAGAUCCGAAAGCAAUAUGGAUUGUUUCUUGAAUCGGGUCCUUUCUCGAGGAAAGGUUUCUCUCGAAAGAGUUGAGUGGGAGGAUGGUGGAGACUUGAUAUGGUUACUGAACCAUCACUUCAACCAGUGUGUAUCAGGGCACAGGAAGUUGUUCAUGUGGCACCUACACCAAUUGAAGUAGAAGCUUAUGACAGUGAUCAUGAAGUUUCGGAUCAAGUCACUGCAGUACCUCGUAGGGUGACAAGGAUACGUACUACUUCAGAGUGGUAUGGUAAUCCUGUCCUGAAGGUCUUGUUGCUAGACAACAAUGAACCUACGAGCUAUGGAGAAGCGAUAGUGGGCCCAUAUUCCGACAAAUGGUUAGAAGCCAUGAAAUCCGAGAUAGGAUCCAUGUAUCAGAACAAAGCAUGGACUUUGGUGGACUUGCCCGAUGAUCGGCAAGCCAUUAAGAUAAAUGGAUCUUUAAGAAGAAGACGUACGUGGACGGUAAUGUCACCGUCUAUGAAGCUCGACUUGCGGCGAAGAGUUUUUCACAAGUUCAAGGAGUUGACUACGAUGAGAUUUUCUCAUCUGUAGCGAUGCUUAAGUCCGUUGGAAUCAUGUUAGCAUUAGGUGCAUUUAUGAAAUCUGGCAGAUGGAUGUCAAGACGAGUUUCCUUACCAGUUUUCGUAAGGAAAGGUUGUAUGUGAUACAAUCAGAAAGUUUUGUCGAUCCUAAGGAUGCUAAAAGGUAUGCUGGCUCCAGCGAUCCUUCCAAGGACUGGAGUAAGCAUCUCGGAGUUGGAAUGUACGCUUUGAUGAGAUGAUCAAAGAUUUUGGGUUUAUAUAAAGUUUAUGAGAAACUUGUAUUUCCAAAGAAGUGAGUGGGAGCACUAUAGAAUUUCUGAUGAGUAUAUGUUGUUGACAUAUUGUUGAUCAGAAAUGAUGUAGAAUUUCUAGAAAGCAUAUAGGGUUAUUUGAAAGGUGUUUUUCAAUAGAAAACCUGGAUUAAGAUACUUAAACAUUGAGCAUCAAGACCUAUGAGGAUAGAUCAAAAUGCUUAAUAAUACUUUCAAAUGAGCACAUACCUUGACAUGAUCUUGAAGGUGUUCAAGAUGGAUCAGUCAAAGAAGGAGUUCUUGCCUGAGUUGUAAGGUAUGAAGUUAAGACUUAAAGCUCAACCUCGGCAGAAAAGAGAGAAAGGACGAAGGUCGUCCCCUAUGCUUUAGACGUAGGCUCUAUAGUAUGCUAUGCUGUGUACCGCACCUGAAGUGUGCCUUGCCAUGAGUCAGUCAAGGGGUACAAGAGUGAUCCAAGAAUAGAUCACAGUACAGCGGUCAAAGUUAUCCUUAGUAACUAGUGGACUAAGGAAUUUUCUCGGUUAUGGAGGUGAUAAAGAGUUCGACGUAAAGAGUUACGAUGAUGCAAGCUUAACACCUAUCCGGAUAGCUCUGAAUAGAGAUACCGGAUACGUAUAAUGGAGAAACAAUUUAGAAUAGCUCCAAGUAGAACAGUUAUUUGGAAUAGCUCCAAAUAGAGCGUGGUAGCUGCAUCUAGGAGAUGACAUAGAGAUUUGUAAAGCACACACGGAUCUGAAAGGUUCAGACCCGUUGACUAAAACCUCUCUCACAAGCAACAUGAUCAAACCCAAAACUCUUUGGAUGUUGGUCACAUGGUGAUGUGACCUGUCAGUGUUAAUCACAUGGUGAUGUGAACUAGAUUAUUGACUCUAGUGCAAGUGGGAGACUGUUGGAAAUAUGCCCUAGAGGCAAUAAUAAAUAAGUUAUUAUUAUAUUUCUUUGUUCAUGAUAAUAGUCUUUUAUUCAUGCUAUAACUGUAUUAUCCGGAAAUCGUAAUACACGUGUGAAUACAUAGACCACAAUAUGUCCCUAGUGAGCCUCUAGUUGACUAGCUCGUUGUGAUCAACAGAUAGUCAUGGUUUCCUGGCUAUGGACAUUGGAUGUCGUUGAUAACGGGAUCACAUCAUUACGAGAAUGAUGUGAUGGACAAGACCCAAUCCUAAGCAUAGCACUAAGAUCGUGUAGUUCGUUUGCUAGAGCUUUGCCAAUGUCAAGUAUCUCUUCCUUAGACCAUGAGAUCGUAUAACUCCCGGAUACCGUAGGAAUGCUUUGGGUGUAUCAAACAUCACAACGUAACUGGGUGAUUAUAAAGGUGCACUACAGGUAUCUCCGAAAGUGUCUGUUGGGUUGGCACGAAUCGAGACUGGGAUUUGUCACUCCGUGUAAACGGAGAGGUAUCUCUGGGCCCACUCGGUAGGACAUCAUCAUAAUGUGCACAAUGUGAUCAAGGAGUUGAUCAUGGGAUGAUGUGUUACGGAACGAGUAAAGAGACUUGCCGGUAACGAGAUUGAACAAGGUAUCGGUAUACCGACGAUCGAAUCUCGGGCAAGUAAAAUACCGCUAGACAAAGGGAAUUGCAUACGGGAUUGAUCAAGUCCUUGACAUCGUGGUUCAUCUGAUGAGAUCAUCGUGGAACAUGUGGGAGCCAACAUGGGUAUCCAGAUCCCGCUGUUGGUUAUUGACCGGAGAACGUCUCGGUCAUGUCUGCAUGUCUCCCGAACCCGUAGGGUCUACACACUUAAGGUUCGAUGACGCUAGGGUUAUAAAGGAAGUUUGUAUGUGGUUACCGAAUGUUGUUCGGAGUCCCGGAUGAGAUCCCGGACGUCACGAGGAGUUCCGGAAUGGUCCGGAGGUAAAGAUUUAUAUAUGGAAAGUUGUUGUUCGGGUUCCGGAAAAAGUUCGGGUUUUUUCGGUAUUGUACCGGGAAGUUUCCAGAAGGUUCCGGAGGAUUCCGGAGGGGUCCGGAGGUCUGGAAAUUGUUCCACCACGUCCAAUACAGUAGCAUGGGCUGUAAGGGGGCGCCCUAGCCUUUAUGGGCCAAGGGAACCAGCCCCCCAAGGCCCAUGCGCAUGGGAAAGGGGAAACCCUAAAGGGGAAGGCCUCCACUUGACUUGGGAGGCAAUCCUCCCCCCUUGGCCGCACCCCUUGGGGUGGGAAACCCUAAAGGGGGCGCAGCCCCCCCUUCCCCCUAUAUAUAGUUGAGGUUUGGGGCUGCUAAACACACGAGAACCUCUCCCUCUUGGUGCAGCCCUACCUCUCUCCCUACUCCUCCUCUCUCGUGGUGCUUGGCGAAGCCCUGCUGGAUUGCCACGCUCCUCCACCACCACCACGCCGUUGUGCUGCUGCUGGAUGGAGUCUUCCUCAACCUCUCCCUCUCUCCUUGCUGGAUCAAGGCAUGGGAGAUGUCACCGGGCUGUACGUGUGUUGAACGCGGAGGUGCCGUCCGUUCGGCACUUGGUCAUCGGUGAUUUGGAUCACGACGAGUACGACUCCAUCAACCCCGUUCACUUGAAUGCUUCCGCUUAGCGAUCUACAAGGGUAUGUAGAUGCACUCUCCUUCCCCUCGUUGCUGGUUUCUCCAUAGAUAGAUCUUGGUGACACGUAGGAAAAUUUUGAAUUUCUGCUACGUUCCCCAACAGGCGCGCAGCGGGUCGGACGGCACGGUCCGUGCCGCAGCGGCCCCGGCUUCUGCGACCCUCCUCGCCUUGCUCGACGAGGAAGAGGCGCGAUCGCCGGUGACGAAAACCUCCACAUGGACGUCCAUCGCCCCGGCGGCGAUACCGCUGCCGAGGGAGAGUGGAGAGUCAGAGUGUUGAGCAUCUCCCUGGGGUACUCGUCGACCGCGAACGCAUCAGGGAUGCGUAGCGCGGUGAAGGAGGCGGCGAGCGCGCCUAUGACGUCGUCCGCCAGAGCGACGGACUCGUCGGAGUAGGAGAAGGGCCCCGUCUGAAGCAUGCUCGCGGCCAGCUCCUCGAGCUACCCCAUGGUGAGCGCCAACUGUCGUGGUGGGCGCACGGCAGAUGCCAAGGGAUGGCUAAAGAGAGGAGGAGGCUCGAGGGCGCUGGUGGGCUCCAGAGGCGAGGUUGGCAUGCGCGGGCGCGGGACGCCGGACAUACCCAGGUUAGGGGCUCUCCGGAGACAUAACACCCCUAGUCCUGCCGAGUUUAGUUGGAUAGUCGAUUGCAACAAUGUUGCUCCUGGAGCUGCAUGGAGGAGGAAGGAAGCUGGCCAAGGCUUGGGCCGCUCCUUCUCUCCGGCGCUGCCAUUGGGUGGCUAGUCCGAUGCUUGCUUGUGUUUCUCUUGUGUCUCGUACAUAUGACUCUCUCUGUAGGCGCGGGUUCCUGGGGGAUUUUAUAGAUCAACCCACCCAGGGUUACAAUGGUAAUACGCCGAGUCGGUGGGUCCCUAUUGUCGGUGUCUGGGAUACCGGGCUGGGUCCCCACUUGAGGGCUUGUGGUUCGCCGGGUUACCCUAGGUGCGGGCCCCGCGUGCCUAGGGGAACUGUUCGCCGUCUUGUCGAUCGUCAGGGCGUGGCCGAGUCGAGUCGUGUACAGUGCUCUCCAUCAGGUUGCAGCUUGUUGCCGUCAUCGGUGAGGGCAGGAGCACUGUUCCCACGCCAGCCUCGGUCAGCGGGUAGGUCAAGGGCAUUGUUGCCAUGCUCCGGCUGACCAUAGGCAUGGGCGGAAGCACUGUAGUCUUGGUCAUCGGUGAUUAAAGUCUCAUCCCAUCGUACGGCCUGGAUGGGAUGGGAGCUGCGUGGCUGGGUUGCCGUGCACGCCACGGGUGAGGUCGGCUUGUUGGGGAAGCCUUGGUGGCGCCGGGUUGGGUUGUCUUGUGCCAGUUGCUGUGGCCGGGUCGACGUACCUUGCCGAGUCGAAGAGCUUGGCCGGGUUGCAGGCCUUGCCGGGUCGAGCGACCCGGCCAGGCGCGUGCCGGUUCGUGGGGCGAUGUGGGCCCUGCCAUUCUUGAAAAGGAUCCGGGUUCCAUUGCCUGCCCGGGGUUCAUCCCCCCGACAGGGGUGGUGCCCAGGCCACUUAGGGGCUGGUUCCCUUCGACAUACAGCCCAUAGGGCCCUUCUGGGCAGGUGGACCCUCCCGGUGGACCCCCGGAACCCCUCUGGUGGUCCCGGUACAAUACCGGUAAACCCCCGAAUACUUCCGAUGACCGUAUGAUGACUUCCGAUAUAUAAAUCUUCACCUCUGGACCAUUCCGGAACUCCUCGUGGUGACCGGGAUCUCAUUUGGGACUCCGAACAACAUUCGGUAAUCACGUACAAAUCUUCCCUUUAACCCUAGCGUCAUCGAACCUUAAGUGUGUAGACCGUACGGGUUCGGGAAUCAUGCAGACAUGACCGAGACAGCUCUCCGGCCAAUAACCAACAGUGGGAUCUAGAUACCCAUGUUGGCUCCCACAUGUUCCACGAUGAUCUCAUCAGAUGGACCACGAUGUCGAGGAUUCAAGCAAUCCCGUAUGCAAUUCCCUUUGUCAAUCGGUACGUUACUUGCCCGAGAUUCAAUCAUCGGUAUCCCAAUACCUCGUUCAAUCUCGUUACCGGCAAGUCACUUUACUCGUUGCGUAAUGCAUGAUCCCGUGACUAACUACUUAGUCAAAUUGAGCUCAUUAUGAUGAUGCAUUACCAAGUGGGCCCAGAGAUACCUCUCCGUCAUACGGAGUGACAAAUCCCAUUCUCGAUUAGUGCCAACCCAACAAACACUUUCGGAGAUACAUAUAGUGCACCUUUAUAGUCACCUAGUUACGUUGUGACGUUUGGUACACCCAAAGCACUCCUACGGUAUCCGGGAGUUACACAAUCUCAUGGUCUAAGGAAAUGACACUUGACAUUAGAAAAGAUUUAGCAAACGAACUACACGAUCUUGUGCUAUGCUUAGGAUUGGGUCUUGUCCAUCACAUCAUUCUCCUAAUGAUGUGAUCCCGUUAUCAAUGACAUCCAAUGUCCAUAGUCAGGAAACCAUGACCAUCUGUUGAUCAACGAGCUAGUCAACUAGAGGAUCACUAGGGACAUGUUGUGGUCUAUGUAUUCACACAUGUACUACGGUUUCCAGUUAAUACAAUUAUAGCACGAAUAAUAGACAAUUAUCAUGAACAAGGAAAUAUAAUAAUAACCAUUUUAUUAUUGCCUCUAGGGCAUAUUUCCAAUAGUCUCCCACUUGCACUAGAGUCAAUAAUCUAGUUCCAUUGUGAUGAAUCGAACACCCAUAGAGUUCUGGUAUUGAUCAUGUUUUGCUCGUGGAAGAGGUUUAGUCAACGGAUCUGCGACAUUCAGAUCCGUAUGUACUUUACAAAUCUCUAUGUCUCCAUCUUGAACAUUUUCACGAAUGGAGUUGAAGCAACGCUUGAUAUGCCUAGUCUUCUUGUGAAACCUGGGCUCCUUGGUAAGGGCAAUAGCUCCAGUGUUGUCACAGAAGAGAGUCAUCGGGCCCGACUUAUUGGGAAUAACUCCUAGGUCAGUAAUGAACUCCUUCCUUCAGAUUGCUUCAUGCGCUGCCUCCGAGGCUGCCAUGUACUCCGCUUCACAUGUAGAUCCCUCCACGACGCUUUGUUUGCAACUGCACCAGCUUACUGCCCCACCAUUCAAAAUAUACACGUAUCCUAUUUGUGACUUGGAGUCAUCCACAUCUGUGUCGAAGCUAGCAUCGACGUAACCCUUUACGACGAGCUCUUCGUCACCUCCAUAAAUGAGAAACAUAUCCUUAGUCCUUUUCAGGUACUUCAGGAUAUUCUUGACCGCUGUCCAGUGUUCCAUGCCGGGAUUACUUUGGUACCUCCCUACCAAACUUACGGCAAGGUUUACCUCAGGUCUGGUACACAACGUGGCAUACAUAAUAGACCCUAUGGACGAGGCAUAGGGGAUGACACUCGUCUUUUCUCUAUCUUCUGCCGAGGUCGGGCAUUGAGCUAUGCUCAAUUUCUCACCUUGCAAAACAGGCAAGAACCCUUUCUUGGACUGAUCCAUAUUGUACUUCUUCAAUAUCUUAUCAAGGUAUGUGCUUUGUGAAAGACCGAUGAGGCGUCUCGAUCUAUCUCUAUAGAUCUUGGUGCCUAAUAUGUAAGCAGCUUCUCCAAGGUCCUUCAUUGAAAAACACUUAUUCAAGUAGGCCUUUAUGCUAUCCAAAAGUUCUAUAUAAUUUCCCAUCAAUAGUAUGCCAUCCACAUAUAAUAUGAGAAAUGCUACAGAGCUCCCACUCACAAUCUUGUAAACGCAGGCUUCUCCAUAAGUCUGCACAAACCCAAACGCUUUGAUUAUUUCAUCAAAGCGAAUGUUCCAACUCCGAGAUGCUUGCGCCAGCCCAUAGACGGAGCGCUGGAGCUUGCACACCUUGUUAGCAUUUUUAGGAUCGACAAAACCUUCCGGCUGCAUCAUAUACAAAUCUUCCUUGAGGAAACCGUUAAGGAAUGCUAUUUUGACGUCCAUUUGUCAUAUCUCAUAAUCAUAGAAUGUGGCAAUUGCUAACAAGAUUCGGACGGACUUCAGCUUCGCUAAGGGUGAGAAGGUCUCAUCGUAGUCAACCCCUUGAACUUCUCGGUAACCCUUAGCGACAAGUCGAGCUUUAUAGAUGGUAACAUUACCAUCCGCGUCGGUCUUCUUCUUAAAGAUCCAUUUAUUUUCUAUUGCUCACCGAUCAUCGGGCAAGUCUAUCAAAGUCCAUACUUUGUUUUCAUACAUGGAUCCUAUCUCGGAUUGCAUGGCCUCAAGCCAUUUGUUGGAACCUGGGCCCGCCAUCGCUUCUUCAUAGUUCGAAGGUUCACCAUUGUCUAACAACAUGAUUUCCAGGACAGGGUUGCCAUACCAUUCUGGUGUGGAACGUGUCCUUGUGGACCUACGAAGUUCAGUAGCAACUUGAUCUGAAGUACCUUGAUCAUCAUCAUUAACUUCCCCUCUAGUCGGUCCAGCCACCACAGAAACAUCUUCCUAAGCUGCGCUACUUUCCGGUUCAAGAGGCGGUACUUCAUCAAGUUCUACUUUCCUCCCACUUACUUCUUUCGAGAGAAACUCUUUCUCCAGAAAGGACCCGUUCUUGGCAACAAAGAUCUUGCCUUCGGAUCUGGGGUAUAAGGUAUACCCAAUGGUUUCCUUAGGGUAUCCUAUGAAGACGCAUUUUUUCCGACUUGGGUUCGAUCUUUUCAGGUUGAAGUUUCUUGACAUAAGCAUCGCAUCCCCAAACCAUUAGAAAUGAUAGCUUAGGUUUCUUCCCAAACCAUAAUUCAUACGGUGUCGUCUCAAAGGAUUUAGACAGUGCCCUAUUUAAAGUGAAUGUAGCUGUCUCUAAAGCGUAUCCAAAAAAUGAUAGCGGUAAAUCGGUAACAAACAUCAUAGAUCGCACCAUAUCCAAUAGAGUGCAAUUACGAUGUUCGGACACACUGUUACGCUGAGGUGUUCCAGGCGGCGUGAGUUGUGAAACAAUUCCACAUUUCCUUAAGUGCGUACCAAAAUCGUGACUCAAAUAUUCUCCCCUACGAUCUGAUCGUAAGAACUUUAUUUUUCUGUCACGUUGAUUCUCUACCUCACUCUGAAAUUCCUUAGACUUUUCAAAGGUCAGACUUGUGUUUCAUUAAUUAGACAUACCCAUAUCUACUUAAGUCAUCAAUGAGGGUGAGAACAUAGCAUAGCCACCGCGAGCCUUAACGCUCAUUGAACCGCACACAUCAGUAUGUAUGGUUUCCAAUAAGUUGGUUGCUCGCUCCAUUGUUGCAGAGAACGGUAUCUUGGUCAUUUUGCCCAUGAGGCAUGGUUCGCACGUGUCAAAUGAUUCAUAAUCAAGAGACUCCAAAAGUCCAUCUGCAUGGAUCUUCUUCAUGCGUUUGACACCAAUGUGACCAAGGCGGCAGUGCCACAAGUAUGUGGGACUAUCAUUAUCAACCUUACAUCUUUUGGUAUUCACACUAUGAAUAUGUGUAACAUCACGUUCGAGAUUAAUUAAGAAUAAACCAUUGACCAGCGGGGCAUGAGCAUAAAACAUAUCUCUCAUAUAAAUAGAACAACCAUUAUUCUCGGAUUUAAAUGAGUAGCCAUCUCGCAUUAAACGAGAUCCAGAUACAAUGUUCAUGCUCAAAGCUGGCACUAAAUAACAAUUAUUGAGGUUUAAAACUAAUCCCGUAGGUAAAUGUAGAGGUAGUGUGCCAACGGCGAUCACAUCGACCUUGGAACCAUUCCCGACGCCCAUCGUCACCUCGUCCUUCGCCAGUCUCCACUUAUUCCGCAGCUCCUGUUUUUAGUUACAAAUACGAGCAACCACACCGGUAUCAAAUACCCAGGAGCUACUACGAGUACUGGUAAGGUACACAUCAAUAACAUGUAUAUCACAUAUACCUUUGGUGUUGCCGGCCUUCUUGUCCGCUAAGUACUUGGGGCAGUUCCGCUUCCAAUGACCGUCUCCCUUGCAAUAAAAGCACUCAGUCUUAGGUUUGGGUCCAUGCUUUGGCUUCUUCCGGGCAACUGGCUUACCGGGCACGGAAACUCCCUUGCCGUCCUUCUUGAAGUUCUUAUUUCCCUUGCCUUUCUUGAAACUUGUGGUUUUAUUGACCAUCAACACUUGAUGUUCCUUUUUGAUCUCCACCUCCACUGGUUUCAGCAUUGAAAAAAAACCAGGAAUGGUUUUCACCAUCCCCUGCAUAUUGUAAUUCAUCACAAAGCUCUUGUAGCUAGGUGGGAGCGGCUGAAGGAUUCUGUCAAUGACCGCGUCAUCCGGGAGAUUAACUCCCAGCUGAGACAAACGGUUAUGCAACCCAGACAUUUUGAGUAUGUGCUCGCUAACAGAACCAUUCUCCUCCAUUUUACAACUGUAGAACUUGUCGAAGACUUCAUAUGUCUCGACCCGGGCAUGAGCUUGGAAAACCAUUUUCAGCUCUUGGAACAUCUCAUAAGCUCCGUGCUGCUCAAAACGCUUUUGGAGCCCCGGUUCUAAGUUGUACAGCAUGCCGCACUGAACCAGGGAGUAAUCAUCACUACGCGACUACCAGGCGUUCAUAACGUCUUGAGUUGCUGGGAAAAUGGGUGCUUCACCUAGCGGCGCAUCUAGGACACAUGCUUUCUUGUCAGCUAUGAGCAUGAUCCUCAAGUUCCGGACCCAAUCCGUGUAGUUGCUACCAUCGUCUUUCAGCUUGGUUUUCUCUAGGAACACGUUGAAGUUCAGGGCAACAUUAGCAUGGGCCAUUUGAUCUACAAGACAUAUUGCAUAGAUUUUUAGACUAAGUUCAUGAUAAUUAAGUUCAUCUAAUCAAAUUAUCUAAUGAACUCCCACUCAGAUAGAAAUCCCUCUAGUCAUCUAAGUGCUACAUGAUCCGAGUCAACUAGGCCGUGUCCGAUCAUCACGUGAUACGGACUAGUCAUCAUCGGUGAACAUCUUCAUGUUGAUCGUAUCUACUAUACGACUCAUGUUCGACCUUUCGGUCUCUUGUGUUCCGAGGCCAUGUCUGUACAUGCUAGGCUCGUCAAUUCAACCUAAGUGUUUUUGCAUGUGUAAAUCUGGCUUACACCCGUUGUAUGUGAAUGUUAGAAUCUAUCACACCCGAUCAUCACGUGGUGCUUCGAAACAACGAACUUUCACAAUGGUGCACAGUUAGGGGGGACACUUUCUUGAAAUUUUAUGAGGGAUCAUCUUAUUUAUGCUACCGUCGUUCUAAGCAAAUAAGAUGCAAUAACAUGAUAAACAUCACAUGCAAUCAAAUAGUGACAUGAUAUGGCCAAUAUCAUUUUGCUCCUUUUGAUCUCCAUCUUUGGGGCGCCAUGAUCAUCAUCGUCACCUGCAUGACACCAUGAUCUCCAUCAUCGUGUCUUCAUGAAGUUGUCUCGCCAACUAUUACUUCUAUUAUUAUGGCUAAUGGCUUAGCAAUAAAGUAAAGUAAUUACAUGGCGUUAUUCAAUGACACGCGGGUCAUACAAUAAAUUAAGACAACUCCUAUGGCUCCUGCCGGUUGUCAUACUCAUCGACAUGCAAGUCGUGAUUCCUAUUACAAGAACAUGAUCAAUCUCAUACAUCACAUAUAUUUCAUUCAUCACAUCCUUUUGGCCAUAUCACAUCACACGGCAAAUGCUGCAAGAACAAGUUAGACGUCUUCUAAUUGUUGUUGCAAAUUUUUACGUGGCUGCUAUAGGUUUCUAACAAGAACAUUUCUUACCUAUGCCAAAACCACAACGUGAUAUGCCAAUUGCUAUUUACCCUUCAUAAGGACCCUUUUCAUCAAAUCCAAUCCGACUAAAGUGGGAGAGACAGACACCCGCUAGCCACCUUAUGCAACUAGUGCAUGUCAGUCGGUGGAACAUAUCUCACGUAAGCGUAUGUGUAAGAUCGGUCCGGGCCGCUUCAUCCCACGAUGCCGCCGAAUCAAGAUAAGACUAGUAGUGGCAAGUAAAUUGACAAAAUCGACGCCCACAACAACUUGUGUUCUACUCGUGCAUAGAAACUACGCAUAGACCUAGCUCAUGAUGCCACUAUUGGGGAUCGUUGCAGAAAUAAAAAAAUUCUACGCAUCACCAAGAUCAAUCUAUGGAGAAACUAGCAACGAGAGAGAGUGGAGUUCAUCUUCAUACCCUUGAAGAUCAUGAAACGGAAGCGUUGCAAGAACGCGGAUGAAGGAGUCGUACUCGUAGCAAUUCAGAUCGCGGUGGAUUCCGAUCUAAGCGCCGAACAACGGCACCUCCGCGUUCAACACACGUGCAGCCCGGUGACGUCUCCCGCGCCUUGAUCCAGCAAGGAGGAGGGAGAGGUUGAGGAAGACAGCUCCAGCAGCAGCACGACGGCGUGGUGGUGGUGGAGCAACAGUUCUCCGGCAGGGCUUCGCCAAGCUCAAACGGAGGAGGAGAGGUGUUGGAGAGGGGGAGGGCUGCGCCUUGGAUGUGGUGCGGCUUCCCUCCCUCCUCCCCUCUAUUUAUAGGCUGAAGGGGGAAGGGGGCCGUCCCCUCUAGAUGAGAUCUAGAGGGCGGGCAGCGGCCAAGGGGAGGGGGCUUGCCCCCCAAGCCAAGGGGGCGCCCCCUUUAGGGUCCCCCCCCAACCCUAUGCGCAUGGGCCCUUGGGGGUGGCGCUCAGCCCACUUAGGGUCAGGUUCCCUUCUACCUACAGCCCAUAGGGCCCUCCGGGGCAGGUGGACCUCCCGGUGGACUCCCGGAACCCCUCCGGUGGUCCCGGUACAAUACGGGUAAACCUCCGAAUACUUCCGGUGACCGUAUGAUGACUUCCCAUAUAUAAAUCUUCACCUCUGAACCAUUCCGGAACUCCUCAUGACGUUCUGGAUCUCAUCCGGGACUUCGAACAACAUUCGGUAAUCACGUACAAAUCUUCCCUAUAAACCUAGCGUCAUCGAACCUUAAGUGUGUAGACCCUACGGGUUUGGGAAUCAUGCAGACAUGACCGAGACAGCUCUCCGGCCAAUAACCAACAGCGGGAUCUGGAUACCCAUGUUGGCCCCCACAUGUUCCAUGAUGAUCUCAUCGGAUGAGCCACGAUGUCGAGGAUUCAAGCAAUCCCGUAUGCAAUUCCCUUUGUCAAUCGGUACGUUACUGACCCGAGAUUCGAUCAUCGGUAUCCCAAUACCUCGUUCAAUCUUGUUACCGGCAAGUCACUUUACUCGUUGCGUAAUGCAUGAUCCCGUGACUAACUACUUAGUAACAUUGAGCUCAUUAUGAUGAUGCAUUACCGAGUGGGCCCAAAGAUACCUCUCCGUCAUACGGAGUGACAAAUCCCAGUCUCGAUUCGUGCCAACCCAAGAAACACUUUCGGAGAUACCUAUAGUGCACCUUUAUAGUCACCCAGUUACGUUGUGACGUUUGGUACACCCAAAGCACUCCUACGGUAUCCGGGAGUUACACAAUCUCAUGCUCUAAGGAAAUGAUACUUGACAUUAGAAAAGCUUUAGCAAACGAACUACAUGAUCUUGUGCUAUGCUUAGGAUUCGGUCUUGUCCAUCACUUCAUUCUCCUAAUGAUGUGAUCCCGUUAUCAAUGACAUCCAAUGUCCAUAGUCAGGAAACCAUGACCAUCUGUUGAUCAACGAGCUAGUCAACUAGAGGCUCACUAGGGACAUGUUGUGGUCUAUGUAUUCACACAUGUAUUACGGUUUCCGGUUAAUACAAUUAUUGCAAGAACAGUAGACAAUUAUCAUGAACAAGGAAAUAUAAUAAUAACCAUUUUAUUAUUGCCUCUAGGGCAUAUUUCCAACAAGCACCAGGUUCGGGCCCUCUAUAUGGAGGUAAUGCCCUACUUCCUGCUUGAUUGAUCUUGAUGAAUAUGAGUAUUACAAGAGUUGAUGUACCACAAGAUCGUAAUGGCUAAACCCUAGAAGUCUAGCUUGUAUGAUUGUCAUGAUCCUUUAUCGACUAGCCUGGUCUUGGCCUAUAUAAUGCACCAGAGGCCUAGGGUAACAAGAGUCCUAGCCGAAUACGUUGGUCGAGAGGAGUCCUUGUCUUGAUCACCAAGUCUUGUGGAAUACUCCAUGUAUGCGGCAUGGGCUGCACAAAGUGGCCCAUGAGUAAACUGCCACGGGGUUCCUCGGCCCGAUCCACCUGGUCGGGAGACGAUGUGGUGAGUACCCCCUAGUCCAGGACACCAUCAGUAGCCCCCUGAACCGGUCUUCAAGUUGGGGAUGCUCCUUGAUCCUUCAGAACUGUUCUUCAUCUUCGGUCGUCGGUCUUGAAAACUGGUUCAACAAAUCUUCUCGUCUUUGAUCUUGAGGAUCGCCGAAAUGAAUCCGAAGGGUUUACACAUCGGGUAUCCAAGGAGCCCCUUUAAGUUCUCGACCUUUAUCAAUGCCUUAGGAUUAUUUUUUACGCCACACCUCGGGUUUGAAGUUGUUCCUGUGCGGCGGUGUCCUCUUGCAUCCGAGCUCCAACGCCGGACUGCAUUCGAGAUAUCUUUUGCAGCCGAGCACCAACACCGGACUAUAUCCGAGCUCCAAUGCCGGACUAUGUCCGAGGUGUCAUAGAUCACCUUGGCUUGAAAAAGUUUGAAGGAGGUUAUCCGAGUUUAACGCUAAAAAGUUCUCUAUGGAACGAGCCAUUUGAAUCCGGGCUUUAUGCCGGACCACUUCCGAGCUCCAACAAUGGUCAGCGCCCGAGGUGUCGUAAACUACCUCGGUCUUUUAAAAGAUGCCGAGUUAUUGUCAGAAAUGCCCUCCAUGGAGCCAGCCACUGGCGCCCAAACAUUAUGCUGGACUACUUCCGAGGUGGUGCACCACCCCGACCGCGGGCUGAUUUUUGUGAAUAUUUUUUAUUGGUGCAAUUUACUCUCUGCCUUGAUAUAUAGCUAGUAUAUGUAUAUCCAGUAGCCCUCAAGGUGUGUGUCAGCCUAAACCCGAGGUGCACCUGAAGGAAAACAUAAAACUGCUGAUCCUGGUAGGCCCUGACACUCAGGUCGAUUUGCAAAAUCGGCCUGAGGAUCAACUCCUAGCUCGGCAGGAUACAUAGAAAUAGAAACACAGUGUAAUAUAUUAGAGAUAAUAGUGAUCGGCGAACGGGCCCUUGAGAGAGGGUCUUGAGAAGUUGCCGCAAUAUAUUAGCUUUACGCCAUAUAGGUCCAGAUGGUACCUAUUGUUGUCUGAAGACGUGUUUGCCCAUAGUUCAGUCAAGCUGGACACUAAGCACUUUGAAGUUUCUGCAUUGAAUAGGCAACGAAGUAACCCCCGAGACACUGGUCAGGUGGCAACACCAGAUCAGGGAAACGAUGUGCCCCUUUAAUAUUUAUAAAUAAUGAGCGUGAAGCCCAGUAGCCCCAGAGCCUUAAUGUGGGCACGGGAGGCCGAAUUAAGGAUCGAUAUCCGUGUGACAAAAAAUUUUGUUCUGUUUAACACAAACUUCUCGAAAAGUGAAUAAAGAUCUCUUAAAGGAGCUAGAGCUAGCGUGCUCGCCAAGGUUGGUCCCAAGGUCCUUUGCAUUGAACACAUAAACAUUGUUAAGAUCUUUGGGUUUUAUAUUUCUGUUGUGAUCGAACAAAGAUUAAACUUUUCCAGGAGAAUCAUGGGAGCCUUCCACAAAUCAAACUGUUGAGUUGGUCACGCGGAAUAUCAUAUUGACAUUUAAUAAUCAAACACCAGCAUGUUUAUAUUUUUGGUUGGGCCUAUCGAUCCAAACCUGUGAUACAUAUGUACGAGCAAUCAAAAUGAUCAAAAUUAAGCUAGCAUAUUGAGAGUAUAUAGAAAUGUCCACAAGCAGUUUUGUACCCUACUGUGACAUGUGAAGAUUACACGAGGCAUCAAGAUCCAAAUACACCAUAAUAGUAUAUGUUAUUUCUUCAACAACUACUACUUUGCUAUAAUUGUAUUUUUCAAAUUAGUGUAAAAAGGGACACGACAUGUCACAAUGUGACAUGGUGAUUGCCAUAAAUAGUUAGAUCACUAUUUUGCGUGAUACAAAGCUAUGGUUGUAUGCACGGAACGACAUUAUUUGUUUCCGCCGACACAAUGAACAUAUAACGAGGAUUAUAUAUUUGCGCCAAUAAUAAUUGUGUUUUCGCAUAAUUUGGUGACAAAAAUAUUAGUAGUGAAUCAGAACUCCCUGUGAAUGCCUUUAGCCCUCCUGUAGUUUCCAUCAAUUUCAUUACUCUCCUGUUCUUGUUACUAUUAUUUUAGCACACCUUAAUUCUUGUUCACAAACUCUUGCAAUAUUUUCACUUUCACACCUCUUUGAUCAGGAGUUAAAAUAUUUGCAUGCACUUUCUGAUAAACCUCUAGUAGAGGCAAAAGACUAUUUCUUAAUUUUUCUUUUGGGUCAAGACUAUUACUUCAAAAUGGCUACAACUAUAUUGUGUGCACUUGCAUGAGAUCAGAAAAAACAUAUUGAUUGGAAUGCACUAAUUUAAGAAUAAAUUUUUGGAGCAUGUUUACCAAAAGCUUGGUUAUCAUCUUGAUGGAGCAAUUCAGAAAGGAAAUAGGUCUGAAAUCAUUAUCCUAAAUUGCGGAGCCAUUUUUGGAAUUAGAGUAAUUAAAGAAGAGUCAAUGCUCUAAAUAUUGAUUGAACCAUGGUAAAACUCCUCAAACAAUGCAUAGAAAUCAGGGGCAAUAGUCUCCCAACAAACUUUAACAAAAUCUGAAUUAAGACCAUCUAGGCCUGGGGAUUCGUGAGAGGGCAAAUUCCUGACUGCUUUAACAAUUUCCUCUUUAGUGAAAGAUUUCUCUGAAAAAAGUAGACCAUCAUUUCUCGUAAGCAAAGAAUCCAAAUUCAUAAGGUUGAAAGUUGGGACAAUAUAGCCAAGUCUUUGCUUGAAAGAUCUACCAAAGAAAGCAGCCUUGGCAUGAUGUUCGGAGUGCCCAUGCCUCUGCUUAUCUCUUAAUAUAGCAAUGUGAUUAUUUCUGAAUAAUUGAUGCCUCUGCAUGAUUUUGUUUUACUUUGCUUCCCCCAAAGGUACCCAUAUAAUAGUGUCUCUUUGUUUCGAGUAGAUUUGCCGGUGUGGGAGAAGCUGAAGGAGAUGAUUUUCGAGGAUUUGUCUGAUUGUUCCAGUUAUGAAUUGCAAGAUUUCUAAAUUCUUCAAUACUGUCAUAGAAUUAAUCACUGAGUUUGGUAGCUUUGAUAGUGGUAGAGAGAUUAGAAAUUAUUUUGGAACACAGUUUUAAACCUUUUCUUGGUCUUUUGAAAUUUGCAUUUACUCUUUUGGAACUAUCAUGUUUGUGAAUUUGUUGGUCCCAAAUUGUAUUAAAAGUAUCUUUAAAGUCUGGGUGUUGCAACCAGUAAAUUUCAAACCAGAAAAUAGAGGACUCAAGAAUAGAUGUACCAAUCCAAAUGAAACAAGGGAUGUGGUAAAAAAAUAGGUCUGCCCUAAGGAAUAGCCAUAGUGUUUGGAUAAUUAAUAGUCUAGGAUUUAGAGGAGAAUACCCGAUCAAGCUUUUCCAAGAGAGGAGCACUCUGCAUAUUGCUCAAAGUAAACAUUCUGCCUCCAAGGGGAAUUUCAAUAAGAGCAAGGGAAGUGAUGGCUUCAUUUAAAGAAAACAUGGCAUGUGCACUACCGUCUUCUCUAUUUUUUGUUCUUAGGGCAGAUGACAUAAUUGAAAUCUCCAACCACCAACUGUAAGUGCAUCUAGUUCCCCUUAGUGAUUUUGGUGUAUUGAAGACUUAUAGGUUAAGGGACUAAUGUGUUUAUGAGUGUACACAGGUCUAUAAGUCUAUGAGGAGUUUGAUAUUUACAGAGAAAGUCGACCCCUAAAAAUGAAGUUCUUCAACAGAAGACUUUGGUAUUCUGAAGACUUUGAAAGUGAAGAAAUUGGUGUGACCUUGAAGACUUGGUAUUCAUUUGAGGAACAUGAAGCGCGAAGACUUUUGUUUUCAUAGUUUCGUUUUUCUCUUUCUUGAGUCAUAGGAAACACCGUACUGUUAAAGGGGGUCGAGGAAAUACUAAGGAAAAAUUUCCAUGUGAUGCUCAACUCAAAAUCCUACACCUACCAAUUCCUUCGAGUGAAGCCUUUGGAAAUCUCAUACAGUUCAGUCAAUUUCAUCAGUGACAGAGACAAAGUUCUUCUGGUCGCUGAGGAAUUUGUUCUGACUGAGGAGUUAGGAAUUCGCCAGUGCGAAUUGCCUACACAGUGAGGAACAUGAUAGCCCUAAGGAAUUUGAGAGUCAAAUUUCUGACCGUUGCUGUGCUGCGCGCCAGCUGUCCCAAAAUAUCUUAUCCACCUAACGGUCAUAUCAUUGAAGGGCAUUUAUGUCUUAUCAUGUCAGGCUGCUCCCUAGGCUAUAAAUAGCCGCCCCCUACAACCACUAGCUGGUUGGCUGCUCCACGAGAACUUGACACUUGUCAUUUGAGAGCAACCCAACCUCCGAGGACUUUGAGCGAAAAUCAUCGAGUGAGGAAAACCCAAAAACCAAACCCCUACAAACCCAAAGUGAUUGAGCAUCACUGAAGAGAUUGAUCCUGCGUGGAUCCGAUGCUUGUUACCUUUGAAGACUGUGCUUCUUCCAGACGGUUAGGCAUCAUGGUCUAGAGCAUCCAAGAGGAAUUGUGGAUCGCCGAGUGACCAAGUCUGUGAAGGUUUGGAAGUCGCCUGAAGACUUACCACGAGUGAUUGGACGAGGUCUGUGUGACCUUAGUUCAAGGAGAUUACGGUGAGGACUGGGUGUCCUGAGCUGCGUGCUCAGAGACUGGGUGUCCGGGACUGUGUCCUCGAGUUUAAAUACUCAGCCGCUCCAACCAGACGUACAACUGAGACAGCAGUUGGAACUGGUAUACCAAAUCAUUCUCUUCACCAACCUAACUGGUUCCAUUUCCUCAACCCAUUCAUUUCCUCAUUACUGUGUUAACUUUUUGUUCAUAUCUGUGUUUGAACACUUUGACUGAAGACUUUCUCAAUUUCCUCAGUUCAAUUUCUUCAGUCUGUUUGUCUUCAUCUUGUGCUAUCCUGUGUUUACGCUUUCUAUACUCUUUGAUUGUCUUCAUUUCAUCAUGAUGACCAUGCAUGUAUUCUGCUAUGCUUACUUCUGAGUGCUUAUUCCGGUGCAAGUAGUUCUUCGCUAAGGAAUUUCCUCACCGGCAAAUUCCUCAGUGAAGAAUUCAUAAAAAUCGCCUAUUCACCCCCCUCUAGUCGAUAUAACGCACUUUCAAUUGGUAUCAGAGCAAGGUACUCCCUUGUUCUGUGUGAUUUUGGUUUAACCACCUGGAGUUUUAGUUAUGUCGACCGCAGGUAUGAAGAAAGUGACUUGCCCUAUCUUUGACGGUCAUGAUUAUCCCAAGUGGAAGGCCAUGAUGAGGAAGCCCCUCAUGGCAAUGGACAGCGAGGUGUGGACCGUCACUGAAAUCGGUCUUACUGAUCUGUGCAAGUCGGCGAACGCAGAUGAUAUUCGCAAGUACACUCGACUUGACAUCAUGGCGAAGGAUAUCAUCUGUUCCUGCCUAUCUACAGAUGAAUUCAAGCGCAUUAUGCAUCUUUGCAAUGUGAAGCUUAUCUGGGACCGAAUCUCUGAUGUCUAUGAAGGUCAUUGAACCCGUCAUGAUCCUUGGUUUGAGGACUUCAAGGAAUCUCUCAAAACGAUGACUUUCGAACCAGAAUCAUCAUCUUCUGCAUCAUGUCUCAUGGCAAAGGGUGACAAGGUAACCGAAUGUUCCUCAUCCGAGUAUAGUGACAAUGAAUCUGAUGAUGAUGGAUCUGAUGAUGAUAUUGAACCAAACUAUACCAAGCUUGUUUGUAUUGCCACCAAACAACAACAUGCCUUGGAAAAGGUUCAAAACAUGUUAGGUAAAAGUGAUGAUAUGUUAGGUGAAGAAAUGAAUCGCACUAAAGCCCUGACUGAAAAUCUUCAGAGACUUCAGUCUAGGUUUGAUAACCUUCAAGGUCAUCAUAAGACUCUUUUGUCAGAUCAUGAGAAACUUUCUUAUGAAUUUCUUCAAAGAAAGCAAGAUCUUGAGAAGCUAAGAGUGAGUUAUGAAGAUCUUCAGAAGGAGCGUGAUUCAUUGCUAGCUCAACAAAUCAGCGCUUCUCAGGAAGAAUUUGUUCCUCCAUGCUUAAAGUGCAUUAAACGUGAAUCUGCUAAUUCUUCACCAGAAUGUUCAAAUGCUUCAACUGUUAUAAAUUCUUCACCUGCAUCUGCUAUCACUAAUUCCUCAUCUGAGGACAUUGCUAGUAAAACUGACAAUGCAGGGCUGAAGGAAUUGUACAUGACAGGCAUGUACAAAAGCCUCAAAGGGCAUCAGACUCUUUAUGAUGUGCUUAAAAAGAAGAUCCUCAACAGAAACCCUAGAAAAGAGGGUAUUGCCUUUGAGAGGAAACUCAAUGCUGAUGGAACAUAUUGGAAGCCUAAGCAGUACCCCAAAACCUCACGGGUUGCUGCAAAGGGACCUCCAGUUGAUCCAUCUAACUUAUCUGGCUUUACAUGUGAAUCUCCUCAUUCUUCUGAUGAGUCAUUUGACUCCAACUAUAAACUGUUCAAAAAUUAGAAUGGUGAAGUAUUUGCUAGAUAUGUUGGCACUAACUGCAGGAAUGGUUCUCCUAUGAAGAAAAUCUGGGUUCCCAAGAAGUGCCUUGAAAGCCUUCAGGUGAAUGUCCUCAUGACACCACCUGUGAAGAAUAGGAACCCCAGAUCAAAUUCUUCAUAUGUACCAAAUUCUUCAUAUGGAUCCAAGUCCUCAUACGGACAUAAUUCCUCACGUGGAUCAAAUUCCUCAAAAGGAUCAAAGUCCUCAUAUGAUUAUCAUUGUGCUAACAACUCUGUUUUGCAGGGUAGAGCUAAGGGCUAUGAAUAUGUGCAUUAUUCUUCAAACCAUUAUGUUCAUAAGUCCUCGAAGAAUUUCUCUCCUUAUUCAUAUGCUUACCCUAACCCCUCUUAUGUGAAACGCAAUGGUUUGGCCUCUAUGCCACCAUUCUCUUAUGGUGCUCGCAGAGUGAUGAACUCUUUGCCACCCCUUCAGAUGUGGGUGAUGAAGAAAAAGAACUAAUCUCUUCUGCAGGGUCAGGUCUCCAUACGUGCUUUAACGUCUGAAGAAUUUGCUGGGGACCUGACAAACUUGCCUGAUAGGACGCAGGCUAAUCAUGAUGAAAUGAACUUUCAUUUCACACGUCCUCAUACUGCUUAUCUGUUAAUACUAACUGAUGAAAUUCAUCUGAUGAACUUGAUAUCAUAUUGUUCACUGAUGAAGUAUAUGAGAUCGUAAGUUGCACUAAUUCAUCUGCAGGAUGAUCAACCCAAAGCCACUGAGUGGGUCCUCGAUAGUGGAUGUACAAAUCACAUGACUGGUGACAAGAAUCUAUUGAUGGAUGCCCCCUUAUCACCGUCACAUCUGAAGCAUAUCAUCUUCGCUGACAAAGGCAAAAGUCAGGUAUUGGGUCUUGGUAAGGUUGCGAUCUCUAAGGACAUACACAUGGACAAAGUCAUGCUUGUUGAGUCCUUAGGAUACAACCUCAUGUCAGUCUCAAUGCUUUGUGAUCUUGAUAUGGUUGUUGUCUUUGGCAAGUAUCACUGUGUUGUGAUUAUGGAUGCUGACAAUUCCAAAGUCUUCGAAGGCUUUAAGAGAGGAGACUUCUAUAUUGUUGAUUUCUCUACAGGACCACAACCAGCCGUGUGUCUACUUGCAAAAGCUUCAGAAGGCUGGCUAUGGCAUCGACGACUUGGUCACGCAGGCAUGAGGAAUUUGCACACGCUUGUGAAAAAGAAGCAUGUUAUUGGCAUUGAGAAUGUCAAAUUCCUCAAGGAUCACUUAUGUGGUGCCUGUGAAGCUGGAAAAAUGACCAAGGCCAAGCAUCCAGCGAAGACUAUCAUGACCACUACUCGUCCAUUCGAAUUGCUUCACAUGGACCUCUUUGGACCUAAUCAUUACUCAGCAAUCUCUAAUGAUGCAUCUCUAUAUGGCUUUGUUAUUGUUGAUGAUUAAUCUCGUUACACAUGGGUACACAUUGCUACUUACAAACAUGAAGUGCAGGAAGUCUUCAAACGAUUUUCCUCGAGGGCUUCAACCAACUCUUGUGUGAAGAUCAAGCACAUCAGGAGUGACAAUGGAACUGAGUUCAAGAAUUCCGGUCUUGAUGACUAUCUUGAUGAACUUAUCUGCUCCUUAUACUCCUCAGCAGAAUGGCGUCGUGGAGCGCAAGAACAGAACUCUCGUUGAGAUGGCUCGCACUAUGCUUGAUGAAUACAAAACGCCUUAUCGUUUUUGGAUUGAUGCAAUUGAUACUGCGUGCCACAUCAUCAACAGAGUAUAUCUUCACAAAUUCUUCAAGAAGACUGCCUAUGAACUCCUCACUGACAAGAAACCCAAUGUGAGUUAUUUCAAAGUCUUUGGUGCUAAAUGUUGGAUUAGAAAUCCUCAUCACAAUGCUAAAUUUGCACCGAAAGCACAUGAAGGUUUUAUGCUUGGUUACGGAAAGGACUCGCACACCUACAGAGUCUUCAACAUCGCCCUUCACAAGGUUGUUGAAACUGUAGAUGUGCGGUUCGAUGAAACUAAUGGCUCGCAAAGAGAGCACCUACCUUCUGUGAUAGAUGAACCAGCACCUGAGGAGUCCAUCAAGUUCAAGGCAACUGAGGAUGUCAUUCCUACUGAAGAAUCUGCUAAAGAAUUCAUUCCAGUACGCGAAGAACGUCGAGCUGAUGCACCUGAAGAUAAUGCUGAAGACAAUGGUGCUAAGGAAAAUGAUCAAAUACCUCGACGACAACCAGCUCAUCCUCGCAUUGCAAAAGAAGUACAAGUUGACAAGAUCAUCGAUGACAUUGAAGCGCCAGGUCCUCUCACACGCUCAAAAGCUUCACACUUAUCUAACUUUUGUGGGCACUAUGCUUUUGUCUCUAUCACAGAGCCCACUAAGGUAGAUGAAGCAUUUCUGGAGCCGGAGUGGAUCCAGGCAAUGCAAGAAGAAUUACAUCAGUUCGAGCUCAACAAUGUCUGGGAACUGGUCAAACAUCCAAAUCCUCGCAAGCAUAAUAUCAUUGGCACAAAGUGGAUCUACCGCAACAAGCAAGAUGAAAAUGGCCUUGUGGUGAGGAAUAAGGCACGACUUGUAGCUCAAGGCUACACACAGGUUGAAGGAAUUGAUUUCGAUGAAACUUUUGCACCUGUUGCUAGACUUGAGGCUAUUCGCAUAUUACUUGCUUAUGCUAACCAUCAUGAUAUCAUCUUAUAUCAAAUGGAUGUGAAAAGUGCAUUCCUCAAUGGUAAGCUUGAGGAAUAAGUAUAUGUUGCUCAACCCCCAUGUUUUGAAGAUCCAAAGAAUCCUGAAAAAGUCUUCAAACUCAACAAGGCUCUCUAUGGUCUCAAGCAAGCCCCUCGGGCGUGGUAUGAUACAUUGAAGGAAUUCUUCGUGAAGAAUGGCUUCACACCCGGUUCACUCGACCCUACUCUUUUUACUAAAUCUUAUAAUGGUGAACUGUUUGUGUGCCAAAUAUACGUUGAUGAUAUUAUCUUUGGCCGUACUGACCAACGUUAUAGUGAUGAAUUUGCCUAUAUGAUGAGUGAAGAAUAUCAAAUGUCCAUGAUGGGAGAGUUGAAAUUCUUCUUAGGUCUUCAAAUUCGUCAACGGCGCAAUGGCAUAUUCAUAUCUCAGGAGAAAUACCUCAAAGAUGUACUGAGGAAAUUCGGCAUGCAAGAUUGCAAAGGCGUCAAAAUUCCUAUGCCCACAAAUGGCCAUCUAUGCACUGAUGAAAAUGGUAUUGACUUUGAUCACAAGGUAUACCGCUCCAUGAUUGGUUCUUUAUUGUACUUAUGUGCAUCUAGGCCAGAUAUAAUGCUUAGUGUUUGCAUGUGUGCCCGAUUUCAAGCUGCACUGAAGGAAUCACACCAUAAGGUUGUGAAACAUAUUCUUCGAUAUCUAGCUCACACACCAACACUAGGAUUAUGGUAUCCCAAGGGCUCUGCUUUUGAUCUCAUUGGAUAUUCUGACUCUGACUAUGCUGGUGAUCGUGUGGACCGCAAGUCAACAUCUGGCACUUGUCAUUUCCUCGGACGUUCUUUGGUCUGUUGGUCCUCGAAGAAACAGAACUGCGUAUCACUGUCUACUGUGGAAGCUGAAUACAUUGCUGCUGGCUCUUGCUGUGCUCAACUACUAUGGAUGAAGCAAACUCUCAAGGACUACGGCGUCAACGUGAAGAAUGUGCCUCUCUACUGUGACAAUGAGAGUGCCAUCAAGAUUGCUCACAACCCAGUUCAGCACUCGAAGACAAAGCACAUUUAGAUUCGUCAUCAUUUUCUUCGUGAUCAUGUGUUGAAGGGCAACAUCUCCAUCGAUCACGUGAAGACUGAAGAACAGCUAGUUGAUAUCUUCACUAAGCCCUUGGAUGAAAAUAGAUUUAGCAAGUUGCGGUGUGAGCUAAAUAUCUUAGAAUCUUCUAAUGUUCUUUGAAAAGGACACACAUCCUGACCCUUAUGCAAAAUUGAUGACUUAGAUGUGCAACACAUGAAGAAAAGUUUUUCUUCAAUCAAUGAAGAAUAACACUCUAAGUGUGAAGGAAUUAAUGAAGAAUUUGAUUCUCAGAACCCUACGACAAUUGUACACGGUGUCUGAAAUCAUCAUUCUUAUACGGUGGGUCACGCCACCACCAAAGUUGAAAAUCUUCGAAUUUGAGCUUUUCCUCAGUUUUGGAAUUCUUCAGUUUUUCAAAUUCUUCAACUUUGCAAAAUCUUCACUGUUUCCAUCAUUUUUCUUCAUUGGUCAUAUAUAUAUAUGAGUUUAUGUCCUCUACAGCAUUCACUUAUGGCUAUUUCUUCAUGUUGCGUUUUCUGCUAAGUGAAUGUGAUCGGACCCUUCCCCCUCUAUGCUAUACUCAACUCAAUAUAUUCACAAAUUCUUCAUGUGCGUUCUAUUUGAAACUCGUUCAAAAUCUUCACUGUGUCCUUGUCAGCUGAAGAAAUUGCGAACGGAACUUUAAAACUGAUCUUAUCCAAACUUUCGGUUUUGCCGCUCAAACCGUUCCGCAUCCCACGAUGCAUUAUCCUAUUCACCCACGAUCGUACACGAUCUCCACUACAUAGUACGUGGGUGACACAUGUCGUGAGAAGGAGAAUGGUCAGGGGCAUGUUCGUCCUAAAUCUUCGGGCGACCAGUUUUUCACUGCCUCUAUAAAUACCCCUCUCUCCAUCCUCACUUCUUUUACUCCACUCGACCGUUCUCUCUCCCGCUCGAGCUCCUCAAACCCUAGCGCCGCCGCUACUCCAUCGUCGCCGGUGAGGAAGAGCUUCGCUGCCUCGACCUCGUCGCCGUCGUACUCGCGCCGGUUGCGGAAAUCUUCACUCCGCCGCCGCCGUAGCUGUCUUCCUCUGCCAAGUUAGGGCAAGGAAGAUCUAACUUGACGAACUUCCCAUCUGUUCUUCUCAGUUCGUCGUCUUCUUCACUUCGGAUAAUUAAAAGUUACUUUUAUUACUCGCUUUGAUUCUCAAGCUUUCCUGAAAAUCUUCAAAGGUGUUUAUUCUUCAAAUCUUCACACAUAUGAACACCUGACACAUAAUAUGCUCUUGAUUCGUUUCUCUAAGCAAUGAUUUUUCUUCAAGAUUCCUCAAUUGUGUGGAUCCUCGAUCUAUACAACUCUGGAACCUAAGACAAAGAACGCUUAGUGAAAUUCUUGAAGGCACAUCUGGUCAAAAUCCUCAAAACUUGUUUUCUUUUUGAAAAACCUUCUGAAAACGCAUAUGACCUCUCCAAAUUCCUCGAAACUAUACUCUGUUCACAGGUACAAAUGUCCGCUGCUGAAUCACUAGGUUCUCAUCAACUUAACUCAUUUGCAGCGUUCCUCGAAGAAAAGUUGCACACUUCUUCAGAGAAUUCGAUUGUUCAAAUUCCUCAUCUGAAGACUAUGGCUGACGGUAAGAAGCCCUAGAAAGGUGGAAAGAAGCCUGAGGUUAUGACUGCGUUUGAAAUCCCUGAGGAAAUAUAUGCUGAUUAUUGCACACCUGAUGAAGCCAAAUAUGGCAAAGAAAACAAAAGUCAACGCAAGGUGCGCAUUCAGAGGAUUGAACGGAGAUGGGCACGGGAAUGGAGGGAGUACAGAUAUGUAACUCCAAAGUACAUGAAGAAAUUCGCACUCAAUCCUCCAUGCCCAAGAGCUCCAUUGGCACCUGGCCAAGUAGCUGAUCCCACCAGCAUCGAGCGUGGUGAGGACUUUCCUGAAGAAUGGGCCAAGCGCCAAGCUAAAUUGUCAAGACAAGCCAAGGAGGCAGUGAAGAAAUUCAAUGAGGAUUCUGCCACUGCUGCUGCUACUGAGGCCUCUGUCAAACUGAGGAAAUCUAUGCCAAAGAAGCCUGCUCGUAAGCCAAGUGCUUCACCAACAGCGCCCUCACGGCCAAGUUCCUCAACAAUGCCCUCACGGCAAAUUCCUCAUGCUGCUCCUGCUCCUUCAAAGUCCUCAGCACCUGUGCAUCUGGCCACGUGUCAAAGGACUGCUGGUUUCUCUAUUGCCUCUGGUGUCUCGGCAAGUUCCUCAGCUGCACCAAUUUCCUCAUCUGGUCCCACACUGUUGAAGACCAAAGCUACUGCUGGACGAGGUCCUCGGCCAAGUCCGAAGAAGAAACAGGUCGCAUUCCAUGUGCCAUCUGAUGAUGAAGCUUCUGAUGAUGAACUUGCAGAAAUCAUCAGAGACAGACAGGUGAAGGCCGCUAGUGCCAAAGGCACAUCUGUGCCACUGCUUUUGGAUCCGAAGAAGAUCCUCGACUACAUUGAUCUCUGGCACAAGGACCCUAACACUCCUAUGCCCGAUUUUCAUCUGACUCCUGGUCAAAGUCACAUGCUGACGCAUUUCAUCGCUGAAGAGAAAUGGAAAUUUGAGAAGGCCAGGCAGAUCAAGAAAGCUCAAUACAGAAAGGAGAAGCUCCUGAAGAAAAACAUUGUCAAAAUGACACCUGAGGAACUUCUCCAGGUUCAAACUGAAAUUCAAGACCUCAGCAAACACUUCGAUGCUUAUUAUGCUGAUUGGCAAGGAGCCAAGGUCAGAUUCGUCAAUCUGACGAAGAAUUUCACAAAUGUUGCAACCCCAACGCAACAGGAAAUUCCUCAGGCUGCAGCUUCUGCUCAGCCUGCUGAAGAACAUGCCAGCACGGCUGAUGAUUUUCAGCCUGCUGAUGACAAUGCUAGUUCCAGGGCUGAUGACUCAAUUCCAGCCGCUGAAGAAAUUGCCAGGGAAUCCACUAGUGGUGCGCCUGAAGAAACUGAAGAGAUCAGGGCAACUGCAUCAGUUGCGCCUGAGGAAAUUCAUCCUUACUCCUCAGCUCCUCCUACGCCAACAACAACUCCAAUUCUUCCAUCUGCCUCUGAUGUGAAGAAGACUAAAGCUGAAGAGCGAGCUGCUGUGAAGAAAAGGAAGGCAUCAGCUGCGUCAAAUUCUUCGGCUGCGAAGAAAAUGAAGCCAAUGACCAGCUCCUUUGAAAAUCCAAUUGAUGAUGUUCCUAUUUCCUCAAUUCCAUCAAAGGACCUUGUUCCUUUUGGUGAAGACUAUGUGAUCCCAAGCGGAUCUGAUGAAGAAAAUCAUUCUGCUGCUUCGUUAGAGCAGAUUGAUGAAUAAAUUGAGGUGGAUGCUAUCCCCUCAACGCCAAUCAUUUCCUCACCUAUGCCUCAGUUCACAGCUGAAGAGGCUGGUGUUGAGGAAAUUGAAGAUGAAGAUGUGGAUAUUGGAAGCACAACGCCCGUGAUGGAUGAUGACUUCUGGGAUAGUCAGCAUCCAAAUUCACCACUCUUCACCCCAAUCCAACAAAUUCCUCAGUCCCCUGCACCAACAGUUCAACUGGGCUCUGUGCAUGAAGAAAUUCCAGCCGCUAGUGCUGAAGAACCUGCUGUUGUUGUUGAUCCUCAGACUGCACAUGAAGAGGAACCAGAAAUUCCUCAGCCUGAAGAACCUGAGCUCGUGAUUCCUGAGGUGGUGAUGCAACUCACUGACACCCCUCUGCCAAAGCCAAAGAAUCCGUUCUCAAGUAAACAGAAGUUCAAGGCUGAAGACUUCUAUGGCGAGCAUGUUUUCUUCACUGAUUACAAUCCUUAUGACUCUGCUCGCAUAAGGAAGAGGCGGUUCUGGACUGCCAGCCAAGCAAAUUUCUAUUCCUCUAUGCUAUUCAACAAGGACAAAAUCUUAGAUCAUGCACAUAUUCCUCAUGUGGACAUGGAAUCUCUACCGUGCUUCGAGCCAGUCCUCAAUGUUCUUCACGAUGCAGGACUACUGAAUUUCUGCACUGACAUCUGUGAUUGGAAUGAAGAACUUAUUCUUCAGUUCUACACGACACUGCAUAUCACUGUAGAUGCUGAAGACGUGAACUCAUGGGUGUUGGACUGGAUGUCUGGAAACACUCACUACAAGGUACCAGCAACUGAAUUGCUUCGUGUCCUUCCUCUCAGUCCUCCCCUUGAUAGUGCACGUUGCAUCUACAAUGACCCUGAACUGACAAAUCACUAUAUGCAAGUGCUAAUGAAGCCUUUGAAGCCAAGGCAGGCCCCAAGAACCAAAUUCCUCGUCAAGGAAUUAUUGUAUGUGCCUCGGACUGUCUAUCGGAUUCUGACGAAGACAAUGAGUCCUAUCAAAGGCCACGACUCAAAUGAUGAAGAAGCCGUUGGCAUCAUGAAGAAUAUGCUUUUCAACAUCAUUCAUGGCGUUCCCAUAAACUUCUAUGAUUUCUUCAUGAGGACUCUGGCCAACAUUGCUAUGUCACCAUUUGAGCUGAAGCCUUAUGCGCCUUGGAUAAUCAGAUUCAUCAGGACAAGGUCUUCACUCAAUUACAAAGUUGAUACUCUGAACCACUACAGCUACUUGCCUCCAAUUGAAGUCCUCAAACGGACAGUUUCCUCAGCUGAUGACAAAGGCAAGGCCGCUGCUGUGAUAGAUGAAGGCAUUCGUCCAUUGGAUGGUCAAUUCCGUAAAGCAGCAUCUUACUCUACCAAUGACGACUCUGCCACUCAUGACUCUGCCGCAAAUACCUCAGCCAAGCAAAAUCCUCAAGCUACAACACCCAGGGUGAUGACUGAUCGUGAGUUACUCCUCAGUCUUCAUCAGAAGGUUGAUCGCAAUCAUAAAUGGGUCAAACGUCAGCUUGGUUCAAUUCUUCACAACAUGACCUCAACACACAAUGCAGUGAAGAAGAACCAGUACUACCUUCAUGAAACAUUCAACCGCACCUGGGCUGUUCUUUCUCAUGUCUAUAGCGCUGAAGAACUGAAGACGAUGGGUCUCAAGGAAGAAUUUGACUGGUCUGCACCUCCGCCGAAGAAAUUCAAGAGGGUCAAGGUUCCUCCAGUGGUGGCCAGCUCAUAUUCUUCAUCGCGCGACACUGAUGAAAAUGAAGAUUUGGACGACACUGCGGCAGGCCCUACUACAACAACCGACCCCGACAACGCUGGCGCUCCUCCAUCAACUUGAUAUUCUUCAGGGGCGUUAGUCCUCAGUUUCGAUCCUUUUGGUCAUUUGAUGACAAAGGGGGAGAAAUUUGAGUUAGUCUUCAAGCGGGUCUAUCAUAUGGGCAUAUAUCGCAUUUUUUUGCUAAGUUACAACUCUCGUUCUUCUGAAACUAUAUCGGAUCGAGUUGUAAUCUUAAACCCGAUGGUGCGCUGAUACUUUUGUUGCACUAGCUCUGAUACUUUGGAUGCAUUUUUCCGCAUGCUUAUUCCUCAUUAAUAUUAUUGCACGCAUGCUGAAUUUCAUCAGGCACCAUAUUUCAUCAUGCAUUUCAAAUUCUUCAUAUUAUAUAUCAAAUGCGUGUAUGAAUUACAAGAUAUAGGGGGAGAUCUCCAUGAUUCAACUCUUCAAGUGUGCAUUGCCUCAAAAGAAAAUUCCUCACUAUGCACAUCUUCAGGGGGAGUUCUUCUAUAUCUUGCAAUCAAAUUCCUCAAAAUCAGUAUUUACACUUCAUAUGUUUAUCCCCGUUGAAAACUUAACCUAUAUUGUCAUCAAUCACCAAAAAGGGGGAGAUUGUAAGUGCAUCUAGUGCCCCUUAGUGAUUUUGGUGUAUUGAAGACUUAUAGGUUAAGGGACUAAUGUGUUUAUGAGUGUACACAGGUCUUUAAGUCUAUGAGGAGUUUGAUAUUUACAGAGAAAGUCGACCCCUAAAAAUGAAGUUCUUCAAUUGAAGACUUUGGUAUUCUGAAGACUUUCUGAAGACUUUGAAAGUGAAGAAAUUGGUGUGACCUUGAAGACUUGGUAUUCAUUUGAGGAACAUGAAGCGCGAAGACUUUUGUUUUCAUAGUUUCGUUUUUCUCUUUCUUGAGUCAUAGGAAACACCGUACUGUUAAAGGGGGUCGAGGAAAUACUAAGGAAAAAUUUCUAUGUGAUGCUCAACUCAAAAUCCUACACCUACCAAUUCCUUCGAGUGAAGCCUUUGGAAAUCUCAUACAGUUUAGUCAAUUUCAUCAGUGACAGAGACGAAGUUCUUCUGGUCGCUGAGGAAUUUGUUCUGACUGAGGAGUUAGGAAUUCGCCAGUGCGAAUUGCCUACACAGUGAGGAACAUGAUAGCCCUGAGGAAUUUGAGAGUCAAAUUUCCGACCGUUGUUGUGCUGCGCGCCAGUUGUCCCAAAAUAUCUUAUCCACCUAACGGUCAUAUCAUUGAAGGGCAUUUAUGUCUUAUCAUGUCGGGCUGCUCCCUAGGCUAUAAAUAGCUGCCCCCUACAACCACUAGCUGGUUGGCUGCUCCGCGAGAACUUAACACUUGUCAUUUGAGAGCAACCCAUCCUCCGAGGACUUUGAUUGAAAAUCAUCGAGUGAGGAAAAACCCAAAAACCAAACCCCUACAAACCCAAAGUGAUUGAGCAUCACUGAAGAGAUUGAUCCUGCGUGGAUCCGACGCUUGUUACCUUUGAAGACUGUGCUUCUUCCAGACGGUUAGGCGUCAUGGUCUAGAGCAUCCAAGAGGAAUUGUGGAUCGCCGAGUGACCAAAUCUGUGAAGGUUUGGAAGUCGCCUGAAGACUUAGCACGAGUGAUUGGACGAGGUCUGUGUGACCUUAGUUCAAGGAGAUUACGGUGAGGACUGGGUGUCCUGAGCUGCGUGCUCAGAGACUGGGUGUUCGGGACUGUGUGUCCUCGAGUUUAAAUACUCAGCCGCUCCAACCAGACGUACAACUGAGACAACAGUUGGAACUGGUCUACCAAAUUAUUGUCUUCACCAACCUAACUGGUUCCAUUUCCUCAACCCAUUCAUUUCCUCAUUACUGUGUUAACUGUUUGUUCAUAUCUGUGUUUGAAGACUUUGACUGAAGACUUUCUCUAUUUUCUCAGUUCAAUUUCUUCAGUCUGUUUGUCUUCAUCUUGUGCUAUCCUGUGUUUACGCUUUCUGUACUCUUUGAUUGUCUUCAUUUCAUCAUGAUGACCAUGCAUGUAUUCUGCUAUGCUUACUUCUGAGUGCUUAUUCCGCUGCAAGUAGUUCUUCGCUAAGGAAUUUCCUCACCGGCAAAUUCCUCAGUGAAGAAUUCAUAAAAAUCGCCUAUUCACCCCCCCCCCCUCUAGUCGAUAUAACGCACUUUCACCAACUAAGCCUGAUAAACUGGCAUGCACAUUUUGGAAUCAGUCAAUGAAAGUAGUUAAGGUUUUGACUUGAUAGGGUCCAUAUGUAUUGGUUAGAAUCCAAGACUCACCUAAGUGUAUUGAGGUGAACCUGUUGGAUAUAGGAAAUUCAUUAUGAACGCAACUUCAUUCUGAGCUACAAAGAAACCACUAGAGGCCCUAGAGAGGGCAUAAUUAAAAUUUGCUAAAUAUUUUUGGACCAUAUAGAAGACAAGGUUUCGAUAACAAAUACACGACUUGAUCUUAUGGUAUAUGAUAUUGUACACAAAGCAUAUAUGAUAAGCACUCUGUCUGCAUACUAUUUCUUCCAAAAGAAAGUUCCACAGGUAUCAUAAGGUAACAAGACAUAACCGCCUUGCUAUUCUAUGAUCUACCUAGGACUUCUCUUUGGAAAAUGACAAGGCGCUCCUUUAUUUUUGCAUCCUUAGAGCGAGCACACAACAAUCCAUAACAUAUGUAAACAUCUUACUUUGGGAGCACAACCUUAUGGAUAGACCUCAAUGACAGCUCGAGCUCCCAGCUUCUUCACAAUCUUAUAGCCACUGAACCCCGCCUUGACGAAGAUCUCACUCCAGUCCUUCUCAUCGCGCUGUCGGCCUCUUGUCACCACUAGCAUGACCAUAUCCAUGAGGUGUUGGGUUUCCAGCAUUGGCCCUGAAACAGAUCCAAGCACAAUGUCUAUGACGAUGACUUUUCCUCCUGCAUCCCGGGGAGGAACAGCCUUCUUGCAUUGUGCCAGGAUCUUGACGCAAUCCUCGUCGCUCCAGAAGUGCAGUACAAGCUACAUUACCAUGCAUGGAUAAACUUGUAGUUUAAGGUUAAUCAAGCCUGACUAGGAUGAAAUAUGAAGGGAUUUUAUUAUUUUAAGCUGUUAUUAUUUCAGAAAUGAAAACUAAUUAAGCAUUGCUUGAAUAUUUCAAUUUUGCUAAGUCUUAGUGGACUAAGACUUUGUUAUGUAUCGAUCGAUGUUAUAUUCAUUUGAUCUUGCAUGGAGAUUCAUAUAAAAAAAUUAUUUUCAGUUUUUUUUACUUCUAUAUACUCCAUCCGUUCGGAAAUACUUGUCAUGAAAUGAAUAAAAGGGGAUGUAUCUAGACGUAUGUCUAGAUACAUUCCUUUUAUGUAUUUCCGGACGGAGGGAGUACUAUAUUACUUGACUCAGACUUUAAGUCUCAAUCGACCAAGACCUAACCACACCCUUAAUAUUUCACUUGGAAUAAAAAUUAUGGAAUGUGCAACAUUCAUAUCAUAUAUACCUUGAGCAACACGGCUUGAGCAGGUGGGACAACGUGGAACAGGUCACCGGAAACAUACUUAACUGCUCCUUCUUCAGCGGGAAGAACUUUGUCCAUGACCUUUGGAAGGUCCAGCACAGUGCACGUGAUGUGAGGGUAGGCCUCGACGAUGGACCUCGCGGUAGUCCCAUCGCCACCGCCGCAGUCAGUGAGAGACUCAAGCCCAUCG
Molecule: long non-coding RNA, 111292 nt
Filed under: Triticum aestivum (bread wheat)
Lineage: Eukaryota; Viridiplantae; Streptophyta; Magnoliopsida; Poales; Poaceae
Description: long non-coding RNA (TAES_LNC012677)
Source: RNAcentral